GUACUGAUUCGAUUCUCUAACUUAAAAGCAUCGAUCUCUUUCUUCUUUGAAGGUGCUUCCAUUUCUCUCACCACAUCAUUGAUCUUCAAAGUGUCCCGAACCCACUUAUAUUGAUUCUGCUUGUGGCUCUCUCCAUUCAGCAAGCUCAUAAGAGGAUAAGAUAUAAUAAGGCACACAAUAUCCUUCGUCCUGUUCAAUAUCUCAGCACUCUGCUUGAUUCUUUUGUGGACACUCCUGUCAUCUUCUAACUGUGUGGAAGGCCCAGCUAUAUUGGUUUUGCUUCUGCAGAAAUGAAGGAAAAAACAUUAGAGAGAGUUCAACUAGAAAGCAAUUUCAGAGAACUAUUUGUAGUUAACCUCUUAUGAGUUGUGACAAGUGUGCACAGUAAGUACAAAUACAAGAUUGUUUGAGAAAAAUCUCGAGCAAAACAUGGUGGUAAAAGAAAUAUAGAAGCCAUUUGCAGAUAAAAUGAUAACUUUAAGUGAUUUUUAGAAGAAUUGCUUUCAAAAAUUUACUUUCUCAUACGACUCCAAGAUGAAUUCUUAAUCCAAUGUUUGCUUAGUGUAGGGUGCCUUGGUGAGAGGGACCUCAAAUACUAGAGUAUACUAAAAAGAUGUGGGGCCAUUUAUUUUUGAACAGAAAAUUUCUUUAUAUUUUUGUUUCCAAAAGUUUGCUUUUGAGAACAGAAAGUCUGGUUUAUUUUGAGUGUUGAAUCAUUAUAAAUAUUAGGAAGUGGUGGUUGAUUAUAUUUUUUCUUGAGUUUCGAAAAAGAAUUAAGUGUUUAGGAAGCCUCACAGUUCAUUGGUUUUCUCACAGGUUACAAGUUGUUCGGUCACUCAAAAAAUCUAUGAAAAUUGUUGUGUUACUGGAAACUUUAAUGCAAAUAAUAUUAGUUCAAGAACACAAAAGAUAAAAAUAAUUGACAUAAAGAAACACAAGGUUUUAACAUUGUUCGAACAAUCAUGCCUAUAUCCACGGAUGAGAGAGAAUUAUUCUACUAUACUAUAUACAAAGGAUAGAACCAAAUACAAAUAUUGUGUUCCCAAAACAUCUCAUAUUUCCUCACUCCUUUGUAGCAAUACCCUAAAUCACAAGUCCCUCACUCCAUUGGGUGUCAUCUAUUCUUCUUCACAUCUCUAUCCACCCACCCUCUAUAAUUUUUACAAGGUCAUCUCUAUCUCAUGAUUUUUCUCCUCAUGACCUGAAAUAUUUAUAGAAAUAUUCCUAACAACUUUCCUUAUUGUAUAAGAAAAUCUAAUAUUUAAAUAAGAGGAAAAGUAGAUUUUGACUCACUAAUUUGAAAAAAAUAUAAAAAAAAAACCCCUCAAAUUUGUAAAUAGGUUUUAUAUUCAUUUAUUUAAAAAUAUUUUAAAAUGCAUGUACUUUUUCAUAACUUAAUAAUUAUUUCCUGAAAUGACUUUAUUACUUAUGAUGUUAAUAACACCAAUUAACAAUUUUUUUAAUCGUAAGACUCGAUUUGACAUUAAUAAAAUAAGAAAUUUUAAAAAUUAAAAACACAAUUAAAACUAAAAAAAAAAACUUUAAAGUUAAAAAUAUAAAAAUAAAAUAUUAUGCAUCUUUAAAAUUUUUUGGUUUUUAAUUUUAUUUAAUCAUUAUGUACUUUAGUUUUAAUUCUAUUUUAAAUUUUUAAAAUUUCUUACUUUAUUGUUGAUGUCAACUAAAAUUUUUAUUCAAUUUUAUUAAAAAAUAUAUAUAUGAGAAGAUGAGAGGCUUUAUAUAAUAUAGGACAUAAAAUCAUUAUUAACUAAGAGAUAAGAAGGAUUAGAAAGAUUUUAUUUAUCACUUGAGGUUGUUGGAGAAUUUUCAUAAUGAUUUGUAUCUCAUAUUAUAUAAUAAAAAAUUUAUAAUACGUUUCAUUGUAAAACAUUUUUAUCAAAUUAAAAUGAUAAAUGAAUUUUGGAUAAUUUUAUUUAAUAUUAUCAAGUAAAAAGGUAUUUCAGGAAAUAAUUAUUUAACUUAUGAAAAAGUACAUGCAUUUUAAAAUAUUUUUAAAUAGAUGAAAAUAAAAUUGAUUUAUAAAAGUUGAGGUUUUUUUUUCUGUAUUUUUUUUUUUAAAUCAGUGAGUCAAAACCUAUUUUUCCCUUAAUAAUAUAUCAACUUAGAAAAUAUACUAUAUAAUAUUUUUUACGAAAAUGAAUCUAUAAUAAUUAGGAAUUUUGGGCACUUUUUAACCAUCUACAUAUCUUGGAUCAAUUUCUGUUAAGUUAAUCUAUCAUCCUUUUAUGAUAGACACUUUUUUGUUUAUAUCACAUCCUGAUAUCCUGAUAAGAGAAUAAUCGACUCUACCUUCAACUAAAAUUCUUUUUGCCAUCAUCUAUUGUACUUUAUUCUCUUUGCCUUCUCCAUAAAUCUUCAACCCAAAACUCUUAUACCAAUUUAUUAUGUCAGCAAAAGUUUUAAUACAAAUAAUGUUAGUUCAAGAACACAAAGAUAAAAACAUCCCACACAAAGGAACAUGAGGUUUGAACGUAGUUCGACUAACCAAACCUACAUUCACGGAUAAGGAAGAAUCAUUCUACUACACCAUAGAAAAUAUUACAAAGGAUAUAACCAUUCUACUAUACCAUAUAAAACAUUACAAAAGACAGAAUCAAAUACAAGUAUUACGUUCUGAAAUAUCUCAUGUUUCCUCACUUCUUGUAUCAAUACCUUGAACCAUAAGUCUCUCAUUUCAUUGGAUGUCUCUUAUUAUUUUUCACAUCUCUAUCCACCUCUCUCACUCCAUUGAGUGUUUCUUAUUCUUCCUCAUAUUUCUAUUCACCUCAUGUGGCCUUUACAAGUCUAUCUCCAUCUCAUAAUUUUUUCCCUCAUAAACUAGAAUAUUUAUAGAGACAUUCCUAACAACUUUCUUUAUUUUGUAAGGAAAUUUAAUAUUAUGAUAAUAUAUCAAUUUAAAAAAUAUUCUAUAUAAUAUCUUUUUACAAAAAGGAAUCAAUAUUAAUUAGGAAUUUGAGACAUUUUUUUAACAAAAAUCAAUGUAAUGGAGUAAGUAUUUAUCCAAAGAAGCUAGUGGUAUUUUUACAACACAUGGGAUAGAAUGGUGACUAAGUGUGUUUGGGAGUGUGUCUAUUUGAACUCUUUUUAGUUAAAAUACUUAAAAAAACAUUUUUAAGAUAAUUACUUAUCAAGUACUUCUUUAAAAAGCACUAUAAGUGAUUUUUCAACUUUUAAAAUUUUUCCAAACAAUAGCUUUUUUUUUUUUUUUCCAAAAGUACUUUUUAUGCUAGAAGGAUUCUAAAAAAAAAAGACAAGGAAUAAAAUAUUAAUGAAAAGCAUAGGAAAAUAUUAAAAUAUUUCAGUUUCCGUGUAUGUAUAUUUUUUAACAAUUUAAUUUUCUUUUCCUUAUAUUUCUUCAAAUUGAUAAAUGGUAGUUUUUUUCAUUCAUACUUUCAUUCGUUCAUGUACAUAGUAUAUAUAGAGGGUAAUCACCAUUCUAAGAAUAGGAAAGAAUGAUAUAAGGAAAUAACAACUAAUAUCCUAAAAUCUCAACUUUCCUAAUAUCUCAAUAUUCCUAAUAUCUCAAUAUUCCUAGUAUCUCAAUAUUCAUAAUAUCUCAAUAUUCAUAAUAUCUCAACUUUCCUAAUAUCUAAACACUAAAUGAUAUAAGGAAAGCAUUUCCAAUAUCUCAACAUUCCCCCUCAAGUUGGUGCAUAGAUGUCACACAUGCCCAACUUGUCUAAAAAUUUUGAGAACACUUGACUUGAGACAGCUUUGGUAAGGAUAUCAGCCAAUUGAUCUUCUGAUCGAAUCUUAGGCAAUUCCACAAUCUUAUCAUCCAACUUUUCCUUAAUGAAGAAUCUAUCCACCUCGACAUGCUUUGUACGAUUAUGUUGUACUGGAUUAUGAGCAAUGUCACAUGCGGCUUUAUUGUCACAAAACAAUCGGAUUAGUUGCCUAGAUAGGUAACCUAAAUCCUGUAAGAGGAGUCUUAGCCAUAAUGCCUCACAAAGUCCUAGAGACAUACCUCUAAAUUCCGCUUCUGCACUUGAACGAGCGACGACAUUCUGCUUCUUACUUUUCCAUGUCACAAGAUUACCACCUACAAAGGUAAAGUAACCAGAUGUAGAUCGCCUAUCAUCCACUGCACCGGCCCAAUCAGCAUCAGUAUAUACUUCUAUACUCUGAUGAUCAACAUUUUUAGCGAACAAAAUUCCCUUCCCAGAAGCAUUCUUCAAAUACCUCAAAAUACGCAUGACUGCAUUCAUAUGUUGCUCUCCAGGAUUAUGCAUGUAUUGACUCACUACACUCAAUGCAUAAGCAAGAUCUNNNNNNNNNNNNNNNNNNNNNNNNNNNNNNNNNNNNNNNNNNNNNNNNNNNNNNNNNNNNNNNNNNNNNNNNNNNNNNNNNNNNNNNNNNNNNNNNNNNNAUGCUCUCGGGGAUUGCUUCAACCCAUACAAUGACUUCUUCAAUUUGCACACCUUCUGACAUUGCUUUUCUGACACCAUGCAUCCUGGUGGAAGAUCCAUAUAUACUUCUUCAGAUAACUCGCCAUGCAGAAAGGCAUUUUUCACAUCGAAUUAUUGUAAUGGUCAAUCUAGGUUUGCAGCUAAAGACAAUAAUACUCGAAUUGUGUUGGUCUUAGCUACAGGUGCAAAUGUCUAUGUGUAGUCAAUUCCAUAAGUUUGAGUGUACCCUUUUACUACCAGUCUUGCUUUAAAUCGUUCAAUACUAUCAUCUGCCUUGUACUUCACAGUAUAGAUCCAACGACACCCAACUGACUUCUUUCCUGGUGGACAUUCUACGAGUUCCCAUGUUUCAUUUUUCUGCAAUGAUUUCAUCUCUUCAUUCAUGGCUGCUUUCCACCUUGGAUCAGCUAAGGCUUCCUGCACACUGUUAGGAAUAGAUACAGUAGAUAAUUGAUUUACAAAUGACUUAUUUGAUUCAGACAAACGAUGGGUAAACACAUAGUUGCUCAUGGGAUAUUUGACUUUAGUAGACAAUUCAGGUUCAUAUGUGGGUUUAGGAAUACCUCUAUUAUGACGAUGUGGUAACCGUUUCAUGAAUGGAUCAGGUUCCAAAUUAAGAACACCCUCAACAGACGACGAUUGGUUUGGUAUUUCAGUGAAGACAUCUUCGGACCCAAAUUGUUGACCACUCAUAUCCAACUCACCAACUUCCUGGUUCACUAGUUCAGAUUGUCUAGAUUCAUCUUCCUCAGAGAUAUGAUAAUUAUAAUCGAGAGUCUGAAUUUCUUUAUGAUACUCCCCCUGAAGUUCAGACUCAGAUGAAAAAUACAUUGAAUCUUCAUGAAACACCACAUCCAUUGUAAUAUACAUUUGUCGAGUUGGAGGAUGGUAACAUCGAUAUCCCUUUUUGUGCAAUGCAUAUCCAACAAACACACAUUGCAAUGCAUGGGAAGUUAACUUGGUGCGUUGGUGCUUGUGUAGAUGCACAAAUGCCACGCAACCAAAAACACGAGGAGGUAGAUUUGGGACGGUUGGGGCAACUACGGCAUUAGUAAGAACUUGGAGAGGUGUUUGAAAGUUAAUUGAGCUAGAAGGUACUCGAUUAAUCAAGUAUGCGGCAGAUGUGAUUGCUUCUCCCCAAUAAGAUAUCAGUGUUUUUUAUGCUAUCAAGGAAGCACGAACAACCUCUAACAAAUGUCGAUUUUUUCAUUCAACGACUCCAUUUUGCUGGGGUGUAUUGGAACAAGUAGUCUGAUGAAUGAUGUCAUGUCCUUCCAAAUACUUUUGAAGAUCAGAACUUUGAUAUUCUCCACCAUUAUCACUAUGCAGAACCCGAACCUUUGCAUUGUACUGAGUUUCAAUUAUUUUAUGAAAUUUUUGAAACAACAAGUUCACUUCAUCUUUGGUCUUCAUCAAGCAUAACCAUGUCAUUCUGGUACAAUCAUCAAUAAAAGUAACAAACCAACGUGAGCCACUCAAAGUUGGGACUUUGGAUGGGCCCCAAACAUUAGAAUGUAUAACCAUAAAAGGAAACAAACUUUUAUUCAAAAUUAACGGAAACGAAGCACGAUGGCUUUUAGCCAAUUCACAAAUAUCACAACGGAAACCAGAAAUAUCACUCUUUGCAAACAAACUAGGAAACAAUUUUUUUAAAUAACCAAAGGAAGCAUGUCCCAAACGUCGAUGCCACAACCAAAUUUCAGAUUUUUUCUUCUCCCCCUCAAAUCCAUUUGCCAUCAAGGCUUGUUGCAACUUAUUUGAAUCCUUUGAUUACAAGUCCAAGUAAUAGAGUUUUCCCCAUUUAAUACUACAACCAAUCGUCUGUGUUGUUUGGAUGUCCUUAAUCAUACAAAAUUCAGGCUAAAAAAUGACAAUACAAGAUAAGGUUGUAGUGAUUUGAGAAACUGACAAAAGAUUGUAAUCUAAAGAUGAAACAACUAAAACAGAAUCCAAAUUCAAAGUAUCAGUAAGAGUUAAGGAUCCUUCCCCAAUGACUGGGGUUGUGUUACCAUUGGCUGUGGAAAUAAUUUUUUGUCAGGAAGGUCUAAGGGGUGAAACCUGUUUAGAAUCAAAAGUCAUAUGAUCUGUAGCACCAGAAUCAAUUAUCCAUGCACUAUUAAUAACAGGUGUAAAAGUAUUUAAAAACUUACCACCAUGAUCAGUAGCGGCUACCAAUGCAGAGGCUUUCUCAGCAACAUUAGCCUCUGUUUUUAUUUCGGCAACAGUUGCAGUCGAGGUUUUCUUGGGAUCCUUCUUCCGUUGACCACGAUUAUUAUAAUUAAUAACAAAGUGUUGAUAGCCAAAACAUGAUCUAAAGGUCCAUGGUUCAAACCCUCGGUUCCUUAUUGUUUUCCUGGUCAUACCAAGAGUCGUUGCUUUGAAAUUGUGGGAUAUCCAGACUGGUGGGACCAGUCUUAUUGAAGUGAGUGCAUUUGAAGGUUGACUUAUCAAUAUUAGGGUUUGUCUUAGGAUGGUUGAUCGCUGUCGGACUACCAUAGCGACAAAAUAUCCAGGAUUUCAGUUCCAUGGCUCUGAUACCAUCUUCAAAUUGAUAAAUGGUAGUUUUUUUCAUUCAUACUUUCAUUCGUUCAUGUACAAAGUAUAUAUAGAGGGUAAUCAUCAUUCUAAUAAUGGGAAAGAAUGAUACAAGGAAAGAAUGAUAUAAGGAAAUAACAACUAAUAUCCUAAUAUCUCAACUUUCCUAAUAUAUCAAUAUUCUUAAUAUCUCAAUAUUCCUAGUAUCUCAAUAUUCAUAAUAUCUCAAUAUUCAUAAUAUCUCAAUAUUCAUAAUAUCUCAACUUUCCUAAUAUCUAAAUGCUAAAUAAUAUAAGGAAAGCAUUUCUAAUAUCUCAACAAUAUUUUCUAUGGACAACCAAAGGGUAUUUGAUUAAAAGGGAACAAAUCAUCCCCAUUUUGUAAAACUAACCCUUCAGCUUUUUUUUCAACUUAAAAAAUACUCAUUUUGGAUAAAAACACUCAUUUUUUUCUUGCAAAAAUAACCCUUUUAUAAAACACAAAUGUAAAUAAUAGAAGUGUUGAAGGGCACUUAUAUCAAAAUUGGGUUACAAUUCAAGUUUUAAAAAAAAUGGGAGAAGUUAGUUUUAUAAAUUAGGGAUCUUUUCAUCCCUUUAAAUCAAUUAAUCCAAUAAAAAAAAUUAUCAUUUUUCUUUCUUUCCUUUUUUUCUCCCUAUUUUCUUUCAAUCUUUUUCCAACCAUCAAACAUAGCCCAAUGAUUUUAUAUUUUGUCAAUACUCUUAUUCACGUUUUCUUAAUAGUUUUGUUAUUACUAAAUACCACCUUGCUUCAAAAUUUAUGGUUUUAUACAUGUUUACGUCUAUAUGAGUUCCCUUUUAAAGAAAAGAAACUCUUAUUGUUAAUCCAUGCCAAUUUUACCUUCAUCCAAUGCACCAAUUUAUUAUUCUAUCUUUACAUGUUUCAUAUCAUUAAUUAAUAAAGAUAAAAAAGAAAAUAUAAAAAUUAUGAAAAAAAAAAAUUUAAAUAAACAAAGGAAAAUAAUCAUAUUGAAUGGAAAAAAAAAUCCAAGAAUAAAAACAAGUUGAUUUAAUAAAAAAAAAAUAUAACAAUUAAAAAGGUUUUUUUUUUUACUUCAAUUUCCUCAAACAUGUCCUAAAAAUGAAGGUAAAAAAAUUGGGAAAAAUGAGUUUUGACUCACCAAUUUGAAAAAAUAUAGAAAAUGAAGCCCAAUUUUUAUAAUCAAAUUUAUCUUCAUCUAUUUAAAAUUAUUUUAAAAUACAUGCACUUUUUAAAAAAUCACAUAAUUAUUUCCUAAAAUAAUGUUUUACUUAUUAGGUUAAUAAAUCCAAUUGACAAUUUUUUUUUUACCAUGAAAAUUGAUUUGAGGUUAAUAAAAUAAGAAAUUUUAAAAAUUAAAAAUACAAUUUAAACUAAAAAAAACUUUAAAGCUAAAAAUAUAAAAAUAAAAUAUUAACUUUCACUUCAUUUAAUCCCAUUAGUAAAAAAAUAUAGAUUUCACAUAGAGUUGGGAAUAUUUUAUUGUUGAUGUUAACUUUUAGUAAGAGAAUUAAAAAUAUUUUAUUUAUCAUUUUAUGAUUCUAGAGAAUUUUUUCAAAAUGACUUGUAUUUCAUAUUAUAUAAUAAAAAGUUUAUAAUCUAUUUAUUUGUAAGAUGUUUUGAUCACAUUAAAAUAAUCAAUUAUUUAUUUGAUAAUUUUGUAAUAUUAUCACGUAAAAUGAUAUUUCAGAAAAUAAUUAUAUGACUUAUAAAAAAGUGCAUGUAUUUUAAAAUAUUUUUAAAUUAAUAAAGAUAAAACUAAUUUAUAAAAGUUAAGGUUACUUUUUCUAUAUUUUUUUAAAUUAUUCCCUAAAUAUUUGUUGAUAAUAAAAAUAAUCUUUAAAAAAAUAAUAAAAAAUUAAAAUAAUAGAAAUCUUUCAAAGGUAAAGAAAUCUUGGAAAGAGAAAAAAAAGGCACUUCAAGUAAUUUAAAUGAUGCUUUAAAAAAAUAAAAGAAAGAAGAAAAAGAAAUCAAAUUUACUUUAAAGUUUAAACAUACUUCUUAUUGAUGGAUGAUGAUAGUAGAUGAAAUUUUUUGAUUAUUCUACCCAAACACAACAAAAAAUAAAAUAUGAUAAAAAUAUUCAAUUAUUCUACCCAAACACAAUAAAAAAUAUAUGUGAUGAGUACCUAAGAAAAUAUGACAAAAUGAAAAUAAUUUUCAUUUUUCUCAAACAUGACAAAAGAUAUAAAUAGAUUAGUUAAUUUUGGAUGGUAAGGAAACUCCCUUCAAGAUUUUCAUAUUUUAAAAUUUAAAGCCUAUUAAGAAUCCAUUUGCAGUGAUUUUAGGAAAUACUUUUAAUUUUUCUAACACUUGAAAUUUUUUAUUAUUCAAGUAUUAGAGUUGCUAGAAACAUUUUUUGGAAUUACUUCUAAAAGCACUCUAAAUUUCCUAGUUAGAUGUUGUAAACAUAAAAAUUUUAGUGGAUUAAAUUACCACUAAUUUGAUCUUCAAAAUGAAUAAAUAAAUAAAUAAAAAUAGAUAUCCUCUUAUCGAUAAGUUUACUAGAAAAGGAAAAUUAAUGUCAUAAUAUUUAUAAUAAGAAAAAUAUUAUUAUUAUUAUUAUUAUCUUGUUGGUGAACCAGAAGAAAAAUUAAUAAAAUCAAGGAACUAAAUCUCUUGAAUUAAGAAAUUUAAGUUCCCUACCUUCACCUAACUUUUUUCAAGAAAGGGGAUCAGGGGAGAAAUUUAGAAAUCGGAAAAACUCAGAGAAAAAAAUCCAAAGGCAACUUUGUACGAGAAAAAAAACUUCACAACAUAAGAAAAAGUUUUAUCAAAUCUCUCUGACAAGUUUGGUAAACAAUAGAACUAUUACACGUGUUUUUCGCCAUUUAGCAAGUUCACUAGAGAAAAAGCUACUCCAAGCCCUUGAUUGAUCUUCAAAUCCAAGGAAACAAGUUUGUCAUCAUUCUUCAAGUUGUGGUAAAAACAAAUGAAUUAGAGGAAAAAUAUUCUUUUGUAAAUAAUAUUUUAUUUGAGACUAUACCCUACAAUUUUAAUUUCAACAAAUACUUUGUUCCCAUUAUUUUUCCUAUUGUUUUGAUAAUUUUAUAGGACUUUAUAUGAAAUUUGUGCGUACAAAUGACAAAAUGAAUUAUCAUAAUAUUACUUUGGGGUGACAUUUGAAUUUUUUUUUUCUCUUUUAAGAUAAGCAAUGUGAUGAAUUAAAACACUCACGAGUAUCUCCAAUAGAGAUGCUAAAGAAGACUUAAAAAGUUUUAGCUUUCCAAGUAUUUAAAAUUAUUACAUUUAUAAAUUUAAAAAUUCAAAUUGAUUAACUAAGUUAUAAUAAUAAUAAGUUUAAUAUAUUAAAAUUGUGUUAACAGAUUGAAAUCAUGUUAACAACUAAAUGGAUUAGAAUUGUGUUAAUGAGUUUACAACAUUGAAAUCAUGUUUACGAGUUAUUCAUGUCAAUUCAUACAUAAUCUAGACUUAACUCAUUUAUUAAAUGGACUCGUGUGAGGUCAUUUGGAUAUGAUGAUUAAAUGUAUGGUAUUCAAAUCAAAUAAAUUUUUUCUAUUUUUAAAGUUUAGACUACAUGAAUUUUGACUCAUUUGGCCCGUGCUAUAUAUAUAUAUAUAUAUAUAUAUAUAUGUGUGUGUGAAAGAGAGAGAGAGAGAGGGGGUUAUUUAAUUAAAAGGGAUGAAACAAAAAAAUUCCUUUUUUAUUUUUUAUUUUAUAAAAAUACCCACAUCUUUUUCUUAUAAAAAUAAUCUUUUCUUUUAAAAUUUACAUGUAAAUAAUUAAAAUAUGGAAUGAAAUUUAUGUCAAAAAUAGACUAAUUAAGUGGAGUGGGUUAAUAUAUAUAAAGUUAUUUGAUUAAAAGUUUUUGUUUUCAAAAAUAGAGUACUUUUAGGACUCUUUGACAAUUAGAAUAGUUGUUUUUAGUUAUUUUCAUUUAUUUUUUUGAGAAUUAUUUUUAAAAUAAUUAUACAAAUACUAAGAAUAAUUAAAAAUAAAAAACUGCAUAAAAAUUAUUUUCUAAACAUAUUUAAAAAUAUAUAAAACAUGUUAAAAACAUUUCAAAUCCUAAACAUAUAUUUGUUUUACAAAACAUCGAGAAUUGUAUUCAAAAACUGUUUUUUAGAACUAUUAUAAAAAACAAUUACCAACGUAACAUUAACUCUUCAUUUGUUCUAUUUCUUUUUGACAAAAAUAACUUCACUUUUAUUUUUAUAAUAUGCAUAUAUAUAUAUAUAUAUAUAUAUAUAUUAAAGAUGAAUUGCUUUUCAAUUAAAAACAUUGGAUGAGUAUAGGAGAAUUCUUACCGAAUCAAAUUUUGAGAGUGGGCACGCAAAGCUCUCGAUGCCUCAACCCUCCUAUCAAAUUGAGCCUUCUUAUCCAACACCUUCAACCACUUCAUCACCCUCUUCCGAUGUUUCAUACUGAGUCAUAGUUUACAAAUGAAUUUAUAUGUGAAUAAAUUGAAAAGGAAAAUUUUUAAGUUUAUGUUUCAUUUUUUAACUUUUUGUUGAAAACAACUUCCCUUCAAAUUUCAAAAUGUUUAUUCUUUUAUAUAUAUAUUUGAAAGUUUAAAUCCAAAUACUUAAAACGGUGGAGACAUUUAUGUUAAAGAUGAAUUACUUUUCAAUUAAAAACAUCAGAUAGUAAAAGAGAAUUCUUACUAAAUCAAAUUUUGAGAGUGAGCACAGGAUGGUCCUGAUGCCUUAGCCUUCGUAUCAAAUUGAGCCUUCUUAUCCAACCACUUCAUCACCCUCUUCUGAAGAUCCAUACUGAAUCACAGUUUCCAAAUGAAUUUACAUGUGAAUAAAUUUGAAAGCAAAAUUUUUAUGUAUUUGCUUUUUUUUUUUUUUUGAAACUUUAUAGUGAAAACAACUUAAAAUGUUUGUGUUUUAUUUUUUACAUUCUUACUAAAUAUUAAAAUCCAAAUUAUUUGACUUUUCUGAGUACUAAAAAUAAAUUUUUAUUUAUUUUACUUCUUAAUAUCUAAUAAAAAUAAAAUAUUAGAAAUACAAAUAACUUAAUAUUUUAAGUUAUUAUUAUUAAGUAUUAUUUAGCUUUAAAUUUCAUUUAGAAUUAAGUGAAAAAAACAAACAAGAGUAUGUUUGAUUCAAGGAAAAUACAGAAAGAAAGAAAGAAAAAAUAUAAAAAAUAAUAUACUACUACCUAAUUUAACUUAUUUUAAGUGAUUAAAUAAUCUAAAAAUAUAUAAGUUACAAACCUAUUUUAAUUACACGAUAAAAUCAUUCUUUUUUAACAUCUUUUUUCUUUGGAACCAAACCUACAUGGCCUCAGAACAGGGUAUCACUUACGGAUUGGGAUCCCCUUCGGAAGACAACGGCCACCGCCGCAGCAACCUCUGCGAGACCUCGCCCAGAUCAUUUCUAAAUCUCACAGUAUGUGAAGACAACGGCCGCCUCCAAGGCAACUUCAGCCACUUCCAACGCUGAUAAAGCUGCUCCCCCUGAUCGUUACUAAAUCCCAGAGUGUCGGAAUCGGAAUCCGAAUCUGAAUUCAUAUCCCAUUCCCAAUCCGAAUCUGAAUCUGGAUCUAUAACUUUUCCCAGUUCACUCGUACCCUCCACUGUCAAGUUUUGGCUGUUGCUCUGCUUCGCCUCCAUCCCUCAGUCGGUAAGGUAGCUAUGAAUUUCCAUCACCAAUUUUAGCUGAUUUUUCACCUGCAUAAACUGAAAGACUGGUAGGUCUUUGAAGGCACAUUUGGUUCCUUCGAAUUCAACCCCGGACGCCUUCGUCCUGUACUCUAGAGAGGGUCCAAAUUAUAUAAUAUAGCUAGGUUUACUCCAAGGCAGUGAACAGUUAUUUAAUAAAGUUAAUAACUUAAUACUAAAUUAAUUUUUAAAAUUUAUUUAAUAAAAACUAUAAAAAAAAUAAUUUAUUUUAAAGAAAUAAGCUUUUUUAUAAAAAAAAUUAUAAAAGAAUUUGGAACAAUAUAAUUUAUAAUUAAAUAACAAAAUUAUUUAUUUAGACCUAUUUUAUAGCCGGGUGUUUUAGCUUUAAAGUUACGUUAGAAUUCAAACCAAUAAAAAAAUAUUAUUUUAUUAGAUACUGAACUCCUAAUUAUUUUCAAAAUAUUAAUUAAGUUUAAUAAAUAAUAUUAAUGAAUUAACAUAAAAAUCUAAUAUGAAAUAAAAAUAAUUUUAUUUAAUUUUUUAUUAAAAAAUAUUAUUAAAUAAAAUUAUCAAAUAAUUGUAACAUCAAAUAAUAGAAGAUGUAAAUAUAGAAUAAAAAUAUUUUUGAAACUAAAUUUUUUAUUAAAUAAACUAAUUUUAAUUAAUCUUAGUAACCACUAAUAAAAAAUACUAAACAAUAUUAAAUAAAAAAUUUGUUGUAAAUUUAUAUAUAUAUAUAUAACACAUUUUAAUUUUAAAAUUAUUAUAAUUAAUUAAAAUUUAAAAAUAAUAUUAAAUAAUAAAAAUCGAAUAUCAAAUAAAAAUUUGAAGCAAAAUCAUCGUAAUUCACCUUUAUCUUUAUUAUUUUAAUAUUUCAAUAACUUAAAUAAGAGGGUUGUACAAUGGGAUGUGGGUUUGUACACGUAAUAUUGUGCAUGACCCUUGUGUAGUGAAGAAUGGGUGAAUAGGGUCCACGUGUCGUUAUGUGGUGCAUCUCUUGUUCAGAUAGUAGAGAAAACGGUUACACUUAGUUCUCAAUUAAAUUACAUAUAUAUCAUUCUUAUUAGUUUGGUGUAAUGGGAGAUCAAUGGUUUAAACAAAAUAAGGAAAGUAAAAAAGUUACAACAAUACUUUCAUUCUAGCUUUUAUAGUAUAAAGAUAUUGGGGUGAUUUCCACAACCAUUGUUUUAUUCUUUCUACCCACCUAUUGAACAAGCCAAUUGAGGAGGUGCAUUUUUUCACUCUAAGGUAAUAUUGUUUUUUAUUUAUGAAAAUUUGAUUUUUAAAAAAUGUGGUUUUUUCAUUUAUUUUAGUUUAUUUUAAAAUAAAAAAUAAAAUAAGAAAUAAAACUCUAAUGUAACUUCUUAUGUUUCUCAAAAAAAAUAAAAAAAUUGUAAAAACCAUUUUAUCCAAAAUUGGGUUAUUUAUUAGGAAGCUAUGAUAAUAAACACCUCUCCCACAUAGUUAUGGUUUCUAUAGAACAAAUGAAGUGAAAUAUAAUAAUUAAUAAUUAAUUAAUCAUGGAUACGGGAAUGAUACGUACAAAUAAUUAUGUACAAGUUAUAGUAAAAAUUAAAUUAUAAGAAUAGAUAAAAUAAAUAAAUAAAAAAGAAGCAAAUUGAUUUAUUAAGUUAAUUAGAAAAAAAUAUUUUAUUAUUUACCACAUAAUUUGAAGAAUUUAUUUGUAUUAAAAAACAAUUUUAAAUUGAUGAUUUCAAUUUGUUCACUUAAUAAAAAUUUUAAUUUAUUUUUAAUUGAUUUAAUUUAAUUUGUAUUUAAUUUUCAUGAAAGUUAUUUACAUAUGUUUUAUCAAAAUAAUUAAGAAAAUUCAAUUUGACAAUAAAGAUGAUUUUUACUUGCUUUACUAGAAAAAUAAUGAAUUUUUAUAAUUUUAUUUAAUAAAAAUUAUUUUUGCAAAUAGACAGAAAAAUGAAUUUUUAUAUAUAUAGUUAUUUGUAAGCAAAUUGAUUUUUGUGAAAAAAUGAAGUUUUCAAUUUUCUUUACAAAAAUAUUAAAAACCAAGUAGGAAAAAAAAAUUAAUUGGAAGAUUACUUUUUACAAAAUUGUUUUAAUCUUUUUUCUUUGCGUUUUUUUUUUUACUUACCAUAAACGAUGUAUUUUCUAUUUUGUUCAAAAAGAUUUAUUAAAAAAAUGAUUUUAUCCUUCUUUGAUUUUUGUGGAAAGGUUUUUUUUUUAAAAAAAAAAAUUAUCUUUGAUUUUAUUAAAAAAAAAAAAAAGAGUUUUGAAAUUUUGUAUCAGGUUGAAAGACGAGCCACAGUUAAGUUUUGGUGAAGUAGCUUGAAGUGUGGCAGCUACCAUUCCUACCAUGACCAUCAUAUCGUAUCAAGGUUGAAUGACAAGUCAAUUUCUGUCCGCUACAGUUAAGUUUCGGGUGAAGUAGCUUGAAGUGUGGCAGCUGCCAUUAUCAAGGUUGAAUGACCAGCCAAUUUCUGUCCGAUGCAGUUGAUUAUUAGGUGAAGUGAAGUGAAGUGUGGUAGCUGCCAUUCCUGUUGACCAUGACCAUUGUAUCAUAUCAAGCUUGAAAGACCAGCCAAGAGUUUUGGUGAAGUAGCUUGAAGCGUGGCAGCUGCCAUUCACCAUGACCAUUAUAUGGUAUCAAGGUUGAAUGACAAGUCAAUUUCUGUCCGCUACAGUUAAGUUUUGGGUGAAGUAGCUUGAAGUGUGGCAGCUGCCAUUAUCAAGGUUGAAUGACAAGUCAAUUUCUGUCUGCUACAGUUGAUUAUUAGGUGAAGUGAAGUGUGGCAGCUACCAUUCCUGUUGACCAUGACCAUUGUGUCAUAUCAAGCUUGAAAGACCAGCCAAUUUCUGUCAGCUAUAGAUAAGUUUUGGUGAAGUAGUUUGAAGUGUCGCACUGCCAUUCACCCUCAAAUGAUAUGACCAUGGGAAGGGAAAAUUCUAUAGUACCUCUAUCGGUACCGUACCAAAGCCCUUGAUGCCCUAAAUUAUAUCUUGACCAUUCAUUUUAAAUUUAAGAAGAAAAAUCAACUCGAUCAAUUAAGGGAAGAACCGAUUAUGACCUUCCCUAUGGUACCUCUGUUGGUACCCCACCAAAAAUCUUUUAAGCCAUUGGAUGCCCUAAAUUACAUCUUGACCAUUCAUUUUAAAUUCAAGAAGCAAAAUCAACCCGACCGAUUAAGGGAAGAACUGAUUAUGACCUUCCCUACGGUACCUCCGUCGGUACCCUACCAAAAAUCUUUUAAGCCAUUGGAUGCCCUAUAUUACAUUUUGGCCAUCCAAUUUAAAUUCAAAAAGAAAAAUCAACUCGACCGAUUAAGGGAAGUAUCGGUUGUGACCUUCCAAUCUCUUUUCUUUUUCACUUUUCCUCCAUCCAUUUUCAACCAUUUUGGGUUUAUAUAAAACAAAUAAAAGAUAAAUAUUGAGAUAAAAAAAUAGAAUUGGAUAAAAAUAAAAAUAAAAAUAAAAUUGAUAUAAAAUUUGCAAAACAUAUUUAUUAACAAAAAAAAAAAAUCAUCACAUAUUAUAAUUACAUUGUUUUAUUUUUAACAUUAAAUUUUUAAUUUUACGUAACAAUGAAUAUAAUAAUAUUUUAAUAUGAAAUGAGUAUUUGCAUUAAAAUUCAAUAUCUUGAUAAUCAUAUGUAAAACAAAUGUAUUAAAUAAUUAGAUUGUCCUCAUAUUUUUUAUACCCUCCAAAUUCUAUAUUUUUUGAAUUUAAGGUUUUUAAAUUAUAAUUACAAUAAAAUAAAUUACAAAUAUUAUUUUGAGUUACUAAUGAUGGUAUUUUCAAAAAUAAAUUUGUAAUUUCAAGAAAUUAAAAACUAAAAGUCGGUAUGAAAAAUGUUAUGAAGGUACUAAGCAUGUAUUUAUCACAUUCUUCAUAUCAUGUGAUCAUGGGAAUUAUUCUGAAAAAAAAUAAAUUAAAACACUAUGCAAUUGUAGAGGGUAUGAAAAAUAUGAAGAAUUCUUAUAUUCUUCAUACCCUUCUUCACAUUUUUAGUACUCCCAAAAUUUUAUAAUUUUUCAAAUUUUAAGAAAUUUUUUCCACUUGUAAAUAUAAUAAUAUUGCUUAUUGGUACUAAUUAAGCUAAAAAAUGAUGGAAAUUAUAUUUUUAAAAUUUAAAAAUUAAAACACUAAAAAAUUGGAGAGGCUACGAAGAUUAAUAUAAGCAUCCUCACAUUCUUUAUAUAUUUUCUCACAUUUUUCGUACUCUCAAAAUUUUUCAAUUUUUUGAAUUUUAAAUACAUUAAUAUUGUUUAUUGAUACUGAUUAAUCUUAAAAAUGAUGGAAAUUAUCUUCAAAAAAAUUAAAAAGUUGAAAUAGUAAAAAAUUGAAGAGGGUAUGAAGAAUGUGAGGCUAACAUUCUUCAUACCAUUCCACACAUUUUUCCUACCAUCGAAAUUUACAAAUUUUCAAAUUUUCAAAAUUUUUUUUUCCACUUGGAAAUACAAUAAUAUUUUUUUUAUUAAUACUAAUUAAAUUUAGAAAUGAUAGAAAUUAUCUUCAAAAAAAUUUAAAAAUUAAAAAUUGAAGAAAGAACAAAGAUCCUCACAUUCUUUAUAUCAUUUUUCACAUUUUUCAUACCAUCAAAAUUUUACAAUUUUUCAAAUUUUAAGAAUUUUUUUCCACUUGGAAAAACAAUAAAUAUUGUUUAUUAAUACUAAUUAAGCUUAGAAAUGAUAGAAAUUAUCCUCAAAAAAAUUAAAAAAUUGAAAUAGUAAACAAUUGGAGAGGGUACAAAGAAUGUGAGGAAUGUUCACAUUCUUCAUACCCUUCCUCACCUUCUUCAUACCUUUGAAAUUUUAAGAUUUUUUUUCACACUUGGAAAUACAAUAAUAUUUUUUUAUUGAUACUAAUUAAUUUUAGAAAUGAUGGAAAUUAUCCUCAAAAAAAUUAAAAAAUUAAAACAUUACCCUUGAAAUUUUACAAAUUUUCAAUUUUUUUUUUCCACUUGGAAAUACAAUAAUAUUGUUUAUUGAUACUAAUUAAAUUAGAAAUUAUGGAAGUUACCCUUAAAAAAUUUUAAAAAAUAAAAAUUAAACACUAAAUUUUACAAUUUUUUUAUUUUUUUUCCACUUAAAUAUACAAUAAUAUUAUUUAUUGAUAUUAAUCAAGCUUAGAAAUGGUGUAAAUUAUCCUUAAAAAAAUUAGAGAAUUAAAAUACUAAAAAUUUGGUAAUUGUACAAAGAAUGUGAGGAAUUGUACAAAAAAUAUGAGGAUUCUCACAUUGUUCUUCGUACAAUUUUUCACAUUCUUCGUACUUGGGAUUUUUACAUUUUUUAUGAUUUUAAGAAUUUUUUUCCAUUGGAAAAUGCAAUAAUAUUGUUUAUCCGUAGUAACUAAGCUUAGAAAUGACAAAAAUUAUCCUUAAAAAAAAUUAAAAUUUAAAACACUAAGUAAUUGUAGAGGGUACGAAGAAUGUGAGGAUUAAAAUUUUAUAAUUUUAAGAAUUUUUUUAUUUGGAAAUUCAAUAAUAUCUCUUACUAUUCUAAUUAAGCUUAGAAAUGAUGAGAAUUAUCAUAAAAAGUUUACAAAAUUUAAAAUUUUAAAAAGUAAAUAAUCGUUUUCCAAUUUUAAAAACGAAACUCGUUUUUUUGUUUGUUUUGUGAAAUUUUGAUUUUUAGAAAAAGACUUGGAAUCAUCAUUUUUUUUUUUUUUAAGGAAAACAUAGAAUAAGAAAGAAAAACCAUAAGUGUGACUUCUUAAGGAAAAAAAUAGGUCUGUGAAAAAUUGAGUCUGGGUCCGGGGGUCAAGUUACCUAUUGGGAAGGUAUGGUGGUGAGUCAUAACACCCCUCUAAGUCCCUAAAAACUGGUCUCUACUAAAUAAUGUGAAACAAACAUAACAAUUAACUAGGAAAUUAAUAGAUACCAAUGAAAUAAUCAAAUAAUAAAAUGAAUCAUGUAUGAGAAUAAGCAAAGUGAGAGUGAGAGCGUACCUUGACAACAAGUAAUAGUGCGCUGUCAUGGAAACAAAGUUAGUUCAAGUAUAAAAUUAUCACAUGCAUAUCAAAGAACAAGAUAAAGAUCAAACAAUAUUCAUUAAGCGUAGUAGUUGACAAUCAGAAGAGAUCAUAUGUAAGGCCCCCAUCAAAGCCCAAAUUUAUCUUGUAUGAAUUAGUCUCAUUAAUUCCAUUAUUUUGGAAUUAUGAAAAAUUCAUUAUUGCUUAUUGAAAAUAAAGGAAAACGAAAAAAAUUAUUUUUAAAUCAAAGAAAAUUUGAGAAAAAUGCUUACCUAAAAGGAAAUGUAGCAAGUUUAUUUAAAAACGGGAUUUUUAGCUACUUAAAACCCUAAUGAAGGAUGAAAAAUGGUAGAAUUAAAAAAAUAUUUGAAAACUUGAGUGAGAUUAAAAUUAUUUGAAAGAAAACCAGAGUUUUGAAAUUUGUUUGAAAAUUGAAGUAUCGAAAAUUAUUUGAAAAUUGGAGUUUUGAAAAUUAAAUUUAAGAAUUGGAAUUUUGAAAAUUAAAUUUGAAAGAAAUUGAAAUUUUGAAAAUUAUUUAAGAAUUGGAGUUUUGAAAGUUAAAUUUAAGAAUUGGAGUUUUGGAAAUUAAAUUUGAAAGAAAUUGGAGUUUCGAAAAUUAAAUUUAAGAAUUGGAAUUUUGAGAAUUAAAUUGAAAGAAAUUGGAAUUUUGAAAAUUAUUUGAGAAUUGGAGUUUUGGAAAUUAAAUUUGAAAGGAAUUGGAAUUUUGAAAAUUAUUUGAGAAUUAGAGUUUUGAAAGUAAAAUUUAAGAAUUGGAGUUUUGGAAAUUAAAUUCGAAAGAAAUUGGAAUUUCAAAAAUUAUUUAAAAAUUGGAGUUUUGAAAAUUAAAUUUAAGAAUUAGAGUUUUGGAAAUUAAAUUUGAAAAAAAAAAUUAGAGUUUUGAAAAUUAAUUGAGAAUUGGAGUUUUGAAAAUUAGUUUUAAGAAUUGAAGUUUUGGAAAUUAAAUUUAAGAAUUGGAAUUUUGGAAAUUAAAUUUGAAAGAAAUUGUAAUUUUGAAAAUUAUUUGAGAAUUGGAGUUUUGAAAAUUAAAUUUGAAGAUAAUUAAAGUUUGGAAAGUUAAAGUUUUGAAAAUUAAACUUAGAAAUUGGAGUUUUGAAAAAUUAAAUUAAAAAUUGGAGUUUUGGAAAUUUAUUUGAAAAGGAAAGUUUGGAAACUUAAAUUUAAAAAUAAUUCAAGUUUGGAAAGUUGAAGUUUUGAAAAUUAAACUCAAAAAUUGGAGUUUUGAAAAAUUAAAUUAAAAAUUGGAGUUUUGGAAAUUAUUUGAAAAUUAGAGUUUUAAAAAUUAAAUUUGAAAAUUGAAAUUUUCUAAAAAAUUGGAAUUUUGAUACCAAAAGAUGAAGAAUUAAGAUAUCGACAUGUGGUCGUUGGAUUGUGCACUAGAUGGGUGGCCAUGCAAAAGUGGGGGCCAGGAUGCAAGGUGACUACUUAGAGACUGUGUGGGCUGUGACAGGCUAGGAAGGCUGCUUGGUGACUGUGUGGGCUGUGUCAGGCUAGGAAGGAUAAUGGGUGACUGUGUGGGUUGUGAUAGGUGUAUAGGGGUAAGCUAGUGAGCGAUAGGGUACGAUGGGUUUGGUGACAUAGGGUUAAUGGUGGUAAGCUGGUCCCAAGGUAUGGCUUAUUCAACUAAGUAGGUAAUACGAGUUUCUUCCAGUUUCUUCCACUAUAGGAGCUUCUUAAUCAAAUGAAAGGAUUGAGCAGGCAACAUGAUUCUUCCGGUCGCUUUCAAUUUCAUCAAGAAUUGACCACCGAUUCAACAAAUACUCCUUUAACUGUAAGACCCUUAUGGGAUUGAAGCUCUUGCGACCACCUGAGGGGCAAACUGCAUAACCCAUCAUAAUCGCCUAAAACUCUAAAGCAUUAGGUUUCCAUCCAUCCUUGUGCAUCGACUCAGAAAGCCCAGAAAUCUACUGGUUUCACUCACCCAACUGAAAAUGGAGCUUCACACCGACAUUCAACAAUCUCAUAUACUCCAUCUCAAACCCCGUACAACCCAAUAGGAGACUCACAGGAAGGUAUACAGAGGAACAGAGCAAAGACGAGCAGAGUAAAAGAAAAAGAAAGAAAAGAAAGAAAGAAAAAUAGAAAAAAAAACAAAUAGAAAAUCAAGAAAAAAUUAAGUGCAUGAAGCCUCAUUUCAUAUGUCUUUCGUGAGCUCGAAGCAAGUGGGGGAAACCUAAAGAAGAUUCAAAACAUGAAUAAAGAUACCUCCAAAUUGCUACACAAUGUAUAUAGAACAGAGUCCCGACAACCUGAAAUCGGCCCACGAGAAUAGCAGGUGAAUCAACAACAACGAAGUACAUAAAAAGAAAUAUCCGAAAGUCAAUAAAGCUCAACAUGUAAUCCAUAUUAUCCACACCUAAAUCAACAAAGCGAUACCAGGCAAACAAGAGGAAUGAGAGAAGAGAAGUAUGUAAUUCAAAAUAGGUUUCGUGACAAACUUACCUGGAGUUGCUCCUUAUCUAUAUUAUGCUCAUUCCCCUAUCACUGCUCGUUUCUCUUCUUUUCUCUUCAGCUCGCUCUCCCCGAGGGUGGCCAUAUUGGUGUGGAUGAAAGUGGUGGUUGUGAUGUAGGCGAUGUCUUCCAUGCAGAUAGAGGUGUGUGGUGCCACGUAGGGCGAGGCGCAGUGGUGCUAUGGGCGUGGCGUAAAGGUUGGUUCUAUACGGAAUAGGUAUGGAAGGCCGUGGAAGUGACCAGGAUGUGGGUAGCAACAAGACGGUGAUGAUCUGGAUGGGUAUAGAGGUUGCUAUAGAGGUGAUGGAGUUGAAGGUCGUGGGUGCAUAUGUGUUGGGUGUUGAGAUGGAGCCACCUACUGGUGUGGGCUGGGUUUUGGCGCUGUGUUUGGGAGCUUGGUGGUUCUCCUUAUUGGAAGCAAAAAAGAAAAAAAAUGGUGAUUUGGGUGAGGUGGUGAGGUUGCCGGUGGAUGGAGUUGUGGUUGCCCCGGUCUUCUUGGGUUUCCUUGGUGAGAAAAAAAUAAAAAUAAAUGGUGCUCCCCCCUUAAAGCCCAGAACCAAAUCCAAUUUCAAAAGCAAUAAUAUAAUAGCAAAACCAAAAAAACUAUUCUCCAAAAAAACAGGGGUCUACAAUAAUAAUAUUGUUUAUUCAUACUAAUUAAUCUUAGAAAUGAUGAAAAAUAUCCUCCAAAGAAUUAAAAAAAUGAUACACUAAAAAAUUGGAGAAGGCAUGAAUUACAAUUAAAAUUAAUUGAAAUCACACAAUUUCUUUUUCGACUUCAAUUAACCGUUGUAUUGUUUUUCCUAAUUUCAAAAUUUCAUCCAAUCUUUAAAACAAAAAAAAAAAAAAAAUCAAAUUUAGAAUAAAAAAUUAAUAACACAAUUUUCAAUUACUAAUUAACAAUAGAUACUUAUUUUUAAAUUUAUUUUAAAAAAAUUUCCACUUCAAAUAAUUAUGAUAUCCUUUAAAAAGAAUAAUUACACUCACACUUUUUUCACCCUCUAAUUUUUCUAAUUUUUUAAUUUAAUAUUUUUUUACCACUUCUAAUAGCAUUAAUAUUACUUAGGCAUACUAAUCAUCCUUAGAAAUAAUGGAAGUUAGCCACACAAAAAAAAAAUAAAAACACAAAUAAAUUUCCUUAUAUAUAUAUUUUUUUUAAAUUCCACUUCCAAAAAAUGCUUUUAAUAUUUAAUCCAAUCUUCUAAAAAAAUAAAAAAUAAAUGAAUAAAUUAAAAUUAAUAAAAAAAAUUAUAAUACCAUUUUUAAUUAAUAAUUGAUUGAUCAUAAUUCUAAUUUUUAAUAAUAAAUACUAAUUUUAAUUUAAUUAUAAAUUAUUUUUUUUACAAGGUCUUAGUGUUUAAACCUCAUAUCAUAAAAUGAGAUCACUUCCUUUUCAAAGAUAUGGUCACCGAUGGGUUACUUGUAGUAUUGGUUAUUUUGAAUUUUUUAUUCAUCUAGUGGUUUAUUCUUGUCGGUUAAAAAAUGGAGGUAUGUAACGAAAAGCACUGUUCGGUUUUAAGUCAUUGGAUGCCUAAGAUUACAUCUUCACCAUCCAUUUAAAAUUCAAAAAGAAAAAUCAACUCGACCGGUUAAGGGAAAAACCAUUUCAAUCUCUUCCCUUCUCACUUUUUCUUCGUCCAUUUUCCACAAUUUUGAAAACUUACACGUGGCUUAUUCUUAUCGGUUAAAAAAUGAAGGUGUGGUACCAAAAAGCACUGUUCGGUACCAUAGAAUGAUCCUCAUGGAAAGUCAUGAUUCCACGUUGAAAGACAAGCCCAAGUGUGUUCCUACUUACCCUCAAAGAAUAUGACUUUUUGUUCCAUGAUGAAAAAUAUGUGCCAACUGCCCUUCCUACCGACCCCUCAAAGAAUAUGACUUUCUGUUCCAUGAUGAAAAAUAUUAAAGGGGACCAGGAAAAAGACAAGACAUUUAUGUUUAUUUUUGAUGCUUGUACCAAAAUUUUAAAUGAGUUAUUUUUCUGAUGAUUCUGAAAUGAGGUGAUUGAAGACGGAACAUUACAUGUCAUCUAUUGACGAAGGGCCUUAAUUUGCAUUGGAUUUAGCAUCAAUGAGAUCAUGAAUGGAUGGCAAUGAUGAUUUCUUUAUGGGCAGAUGUAUAAAUUAAGGCUAAGUUGGAAGUUUGGCAUAGGGGUUCCUCUCUGCAGGCGCUAUUUUCAAGUCCAACCUUAAAUGUGGUCAGGUGGUAAGUUGUCUGGUUCAAAUCUACCAACAUUUGCAUUUUUUUAACCACCACAAGAAGGAACUAAGUUGAGAUGGUGGAAAUAAUACUAUCUUGACACCAUGGAAGUCAACUCAAGCCUCAAUCGUCAAGCUUUUCUGGAUGGUGUGCAGUGGGCAGUCCAUGGAGAUCUAAACAGCAAGAUCGAUAGUGGGAUCUGAUGCGUUUUCCAAGCCUCUUUCCCUGAAUUUGGAUCCUCAUCAGCAUCUCUCUCUCUCCGUUUCUUCAAUCAGGUUCAUUUUUUUUCCUUCAAUGUGAUUUUCCCCUCUCUACGAGUUGUUUGCUUGUUUGAUUUCAUAACAUUAAGUGACUGCACCUUAAAUACAUGAUCUAUUUCUAACCGAAAGGUUUGAGGGUGAGUUUGUGAUAUCCCAUGCAGAUCUCUUUUAUAUUAAGAAGAUAAAGCUAGAUAACAUGUUGGAAAGUUUUAUAAUUAUGUAGAGUUAUGCUACAGUCGCUAUUGCUCCUAUAGAGAAUUGAAGGGGGAAAACUCUACUUGUAUUUUUGUGGUUGAUAGUCCUUCAUCCAGUCCUGAAGUACAACGACUUCAAUUUUGUAGUAACCUUAUAACCAUUGGGUGUCAAACCUAAGAGAGAAUUGAAGAGGCUCUAAUUAAGGUUGGUUAAGAUGUAUGUGAUAGAGUGAAAAUGGCGUUAGAGGUUUAGAAAAUGGAUUGAGGUGGAAUGGAUGAGUGUUUAUGAGGAGGAAGGUGUGAAGAAUCGCCAAAAACAGGAGAGAAAGAUGAUUGAAAACUUUGAUUAAAAUAAUGUGAAAUAUGUUAGGAAGUGAGCAUGUUUUUAAACUUCCUCCUCAUGGUCUUUUUGCACAAAACAAUUUACACAAUCUAAGUCGUAUAGUGAAAGAGCUUAGCUUUAAAACUAAUGUAAUAUUUUUAAAAACAUGAUAUUUACACAAUGGUUUUGCUUUUCACAUUAAAUGGAUGUUUAAACUAUAAAAUACAAUGUUUUAAAAACUAGACCGGACUGAUCGAUCCAACCGUCGGCCGGUCAUCGUUUUGGUCCGGUUAAUUGGACCGGAUUGGGAUUGAACCUGGGUUGGACUUCUUGAACUGGUGGUCCAGCCGGUGAACCGGACGAACCAGCCGGUUCCCUGCGAAUCGGUGGUUCAAUUGAUUUUAAUUUUUUUUUUUUAAAAAAACAGCAUCUAAACAACGUCGUUUUGGAGUCCUAAGCCUGCAACCUCCAAAGUCCAAACCCUCCCUCCUCCCCCCACAGCAGCUGCCAGCUUGCCGCUCCGCCUGUCGCCGAUGCGUCGCGGCCUGCGACACCCAGUCAACUCCCGCCGGCAGUCGUUAGAAGCUGGCAACCCUCCCUAUUGCUGCCUCUUCCAGUCUUCCCAGUUCCCUGCCGUGGCAUUGGAAACCCCUCCUUGCCACUGGAAGCUUGGAAACCACCUUGACUGCCUAGUAACCCCCCACCUCUCCCGGCUGUAAACAUCCCCCACCUUCGGUGUUUCAGAGAAAAGAGAGGGAAAGGGAAAGAAACGGAAAAAGAAAAAAAAAUUGCCAUUAUUCAUGCAAUCAGUUUGGUAGUUUCUUUUUCAAAUAAAAAAUUUUGCCUCUCUAGUUUGAUAUUUUUCUUUUUGGGGGUUCAAUUAGUUUGGUAGGUUGACUAGUUACUUUACUAAUUUAGAUAGAAUUUAUUAAUUUUUUAAUUUUAAAUAAUAUAUAAAAUAAAAAAAUAUAUAUUUAUGACGUCACAGGUUCGACCGCCGGUCUGACCAAUAAAUCGUAAACUGGUAACUUUUCCGGUUCAAUGGCCGAUCUGAUUCUGAAAACAUUGAUAAAAUAUUAACUCCAACCCUAAUCUUAUGAAAUUGAUUAAUGACAAAUAUAGGUCAAGGGUUAAAACCCAAGCAUAUUUCAUAAUCUAAAGAUAAGUUAUAAUGAAGGAGAAAUACAACACAUUAAAUCCUCGAAUUAAAAAUCAGGUAGAGACAAAUCAAAAACAUAUAAAAUACAAGAACAAAAAAUGUGUGUGUGUAUAUAAAGCCACAAACUUGACAUUCCGUUUUAAGAGGGAGAUUCAGAAUCUAGAAUGCUCGGUUAAUGUAAGAUACUUGGAAAAUGAGAGGGGAUAGGAGUUGGUUUAUAGUGGAGUUUAAAUCCUUUGAAAUCUUAAUUGAUGAGACUAGAGGGAAGCGAAGAGGAAAAAUCUUGUUGAGAAACAAAUGUUUUUUUUUGUGGUUUAGGUUUAGGGAGCUAAGUUUAUCUCGUUAAUUAGAAGGUAUGUAAGCUUGUUAUAGGGAUGAAGAUGGUAAGUAAUGCAACAAAGUCCAGGUUGAAUAUGGUAGAGAGUUUAGGUUGGAGCACUGAUCAAAUAGGACAAGGAGGUACAUUCUCUGCUUGGUUAGUUCUAUGGAGGUUAAGAAAUUUUCUCUAUUUUUUCCUAAAGGAAGGGAUCUACCUAGGGGGUGGUCUAUUGUGGGUGAGAAGCUUCAUCAUCUUGGUGUGGUUUUUUCUUCAGAGGCAAGGUGCAUGUAGUCUCCUCAAGGAAGGUUGAGAAGCUCAUGGUAUGGUGGAUGAAGUUGUUUGGAUUCAGGUCGCGAUUGAGGAGGUUCAUAGGAGAAAGAAAUAAUUGAGGCAGGGGCGGACCCACCAUGGGCUCGGGGCAUGUUCUUUUGUUGAUUUAGGAAUUUUAGAAAGUUAAAAAAAAAUAAAAAUGCAAAUUUGUCCCCUCUAAAAAACUAAUUUUGUGUGUGAAAAAAUAGAUAGGAUAAAAAAUUAGAUAAGCACGAAUAUUGAAUAAAUUGAAUAAAAUAUUUGUUUGUAUUUCUAAUUUUAUUUAAUGUUUCUAACACAAUGAAUUUUUUAUAUUUUUGUAUUUGAUAUUUUAUUAAUUUCUUUUUUUGUUCUGAGCCAUGUUCUGAUUAAUUUUGAGAUUUUUAAAAUGUUUAAACUUUUAGGCUUAAUCAAGUAGUUGUUAAUUCAUGAAUAUCUACAUAAUUAUUCAAAUAUAUGUUAUUUAAUUGUUGAUAAAAAUUUAAUUUUGUUUAAAUAUUUGAUAUUUUAUCAAAUAUCAUUUUUAUUGAUAAGUUAUUUUUAGUUUAAUUUAAUGAUUUUUAUAAAUGUUCAGAUUUUUAGGUUUAAUAAAAUAUUUAUUAAUUUAGAGUUGACUAUCUAAGUUUUAAUAAUGAUAUUAUACUUACAUCAUAGACAACUUUUAAAUAAAAAAUUAUCACUAUAUAGUGAUUUAUGUUUAAUUAUUUAAAAACACCCAAAAAAUUAUUAGUGAAAUUAUUAAUUUUUUUCUAAAAGUUCUAUGGAAAAAUAUUUCUAAAAAAUGUUAAAAAUGUUUUGGUGAAAAAUUUCUUACUAUCUUUAAAUUUUUUUUCACAAAUAUUAUUUGACUUUUUUUGUUUUAUGAACUUUUGGUAGACUCUUGUCAAUUUUUUAGUAUUUUUAUUAUUUAAUUUAUAAUAUUAUAAAUUCUUCUUUUCUUUUGUAAUUAUCAUUAUUGAAUGACAUCGAUGCUACCAUUUCUAAAAUAUAAAAAUUAAUCUAUAUUUAUUAUAAUUCACAAAUUUUUAUUUUGUCUCUCACCAAAAUUUCUGGUGCCACUGAGUUGAGACAUUCUGAUUGGGAGAUGGGGUGACUAUUUAGAUCCAAGUCAUGUUUGGGUGGCCCUUUACCGCCUUUGAGAAGGGGGAGUGAAGAUUUCCUUAUUAAGGGGGGCCCUUAUUUUAUUUGACUUUAGGAAUGCUCUGAUGUUGAAGUAGAUGUUGAAACUACUCCUCUUUGUCACUUGUAGUGGGCUAGAGCAUUGGUGAGAUCAAAUGGAAGCAUAAUGCCUAGGUCGUUGCAAGUGAGGGUCUUUAUGUCAAUGUUAUUAAGUUAUGGUGGGAAGUGCCACCAUGGCUCUCUCAAGUGGUGUUGAAAGGUGCGACCAGUAGCCUGAAGGUUAGGAGUGAAGGAGAGGGUUAGGCAUGCACUGGAGAGAGCAUGAGGAGGCAGGCAUUGUUUGCGGAAAAGGAAGUAGAGGGCGUGUGGUCUUUUUGAUUGUUGGAGUAGGACGAUAGGAGGGGGCCGGGGCAGCUGAUGGUUCUGAAAGGGUGCAUGCAGAGGGGCUAGGGGGUGAUUAUGAUAGUGGGAGAACAAUGACAAUGGAGGCUGUUUAGACUUGGUGUGUUUUAAGGAAGUUGAAGGUGAGGUUGUAAACUUGUAAUUGGAAAUGAGGGUUGGGCCUUGAAGAUUUGAAAGGAGCCCACCUUCUUAAUGAUAGCUUUAGUGAAGAGGCAAGGUGUUGUAGAGGUCCAUUAGAGAAAAAAGAAGUUUUUUGUGGCUUGGUCGGGUCUGUUUGGGCGGAGGGGCCUUGUACAAUGAGAGAUCCUUAGGAUUUUUAAAGGGAGAAUUAUGUUUUGGGGGUAGAUGAGCCUCCAAAUUAACAAAAGGUUCAUGUAACUCUUCAAAUUGAGCUCAAGACCCAAUGAAAGUAUGAAAAUUGAGUUGAAGGAUAUCAUCAUUCAGUAUUUCCAAAAAUGCCCUUUGUUGAUUUUGAGAAAAAAAAUUAAUAUUUUUGAAAAAUACUUUUAUUUAAUUUAAUAUUUUUUAAAAAUACUUUUAUGUAAUUUAAUAUUUUUUAAAAUACUUUUAUUUAAUUUAAUAUUUUUUAAAAAUAAAUUUAUUUAAUUUAAUAUUUUUUUAAAAAUAUUUAAUUUAAUAUUUUUUUUAAAUACUUUAAUUUAAUUUAAUAUUUUUGAAAAAAAAAUUAAUUUAAUAUUUUUGAAAAAAAAUUAUUUAAUUUAAUAUUUUUGAAAACUACUUUUAUUUAAUUUAGUAUUUUUGAAAAAAAAUUAUUGAAAAAAAAUUAUUUAACUUAAUUUUAUAAAAUAUUUUAUAUGUGUUCUAAAAGGGUAUAUUUGUCUGUUACUAUUUCAUAUCCUUCAACUCAAUUUGAAGAGUUAUAUGGACAUUUUAUUAAUUUGGAGGUCCAUCUACCCCCAAAAGAUAAUUCUCCCAUUUUUAAAAGGAAGAAUUACUGUAUAGGAUGGACCGAGUGUGAUUAUGACUAAGAAGAGUCAUCUACUUUGAUAAUUCCUAAAGAGGACAGUAUAAGAGAGAAAAUUCUCUCCAAGUCCACAUUUCGUACUAUAAUGUGCUAAAAUACCAUAAAUGUCAUUCAACUAAAAGCUUUUGGAACUCAAAGCAUUUUAAACAAUUUACUUUUGUUUUAAGGUGUGUGGGUCCCAUGUUAGUUGUAAUCAAUGACACCAAAUUUUUAAAUCAAAAUUUUGGGUUUUAACUAUUACAAUUAUUAUAUACAAUGAUAGUAUAAUUUGUUAUUUAAAUUUGUUAUUUAGAACCAAAAUACUUCUAAGAAAUAUUUUCAAAAUAACAUCUAAUGUGUUUUCUUUUUACAUAUUUCUAUUUUUAUUUCUAAUUUUUAAUUUUAUUAAAAACAAAACAAGUUUUACAAUUAUGUAAUAAGAAUGAUGAACUUUUCAUGUACAUAUUUUUAAUUUUAAAUUGAUAAAUCAUGUUUUUGUAUUUAGUUCGAGCAAGAUAGAAUGUUUAAUUUUUUAUUUGGAUUGUCUAAAAAGAAUAAGAAAAUGAUGGAGAAUGUUUAACCGUUUUUUAUUUUAAUAAUAAAAUAAUUUUAAAAAAUUAUAUGAUUUUUCUACAUUUUUUUUUCCUUUGCAUAGUGUUUUUUCUUAAUUUUUGUAUAUAAUUUUUUUUCAAUGUAUCGAGUGGACGAUGUUAAUACAUUGAAUAUCAAUGAGGUAUAAAAAAAGAUCUUUAAGACUAUAACUUUUAUUAUAAAAUACAGUUAUGAUAAAAAUAUAUUAUAGUUACAGUAUAAAUAUACCUAUAUUACAAUAAAACCUAAUUGGGAAUUUCAACCUUUUUUAUUUUUUAUAAAAGUAAUAGUUUUGUAUAAUCAUAGUAUACUCCAUAAUAUACUUAUAUUAGGAAUCAUUUUUGAAACCAAAUAAAAUACUAAUUUGAAUUUGUAUGAGACUUGUAGGUUUUUAUUUUUAUUAUAUAUAUAUAUAUAUAUAUAUAUAUAUAAAUUAUUAAACAAUUUUAAUACAUUGAGUGAAUGAUAUUAAUAUGCUAAUAUGAUGUGUUAAUACCAAUGCCAAUGAGGUUUAAAUAGUUAUUUCUAUAAUUAUUAUACUUAUCACAAAAUAUAGGUACUACAUAAAUGCAUAAUAUUUACAAUACUAAUAUAUUAACGUUACAAUACAUUACAAUAUAAUUUAACUUAUUCUUUUUUGAAUUUUUUUCAUGUGCUAUAUUACUAAAUGAAUAGUUGUGUGUUAUUCAAUUCAUAAGUGCCUGUGAAAAAUUAUUUAUCAAAAAAAAAAUAAUAAUAAAAUUGAUGAGUGCUUGUGAAAAAUAAUUGCUCAUUCUAUUAGGGUAACAAAGUUUUUAAUUGUAUGUGACAUAUAUAAAACGACAAAAUAACCUAUAGUGUGGUUUUUAUUUAAGAGAUAUUAAAAAUUAAUUUUUUUUACCAGUUCUUUAAAAAAUCUUAAUUUUUUUUUGGAAAAUAAGAACUUGAAAAAAAAAGCAUAUUUAAAAAAAACAUUAAUUUUUUAUAAGAAAAUAAGAAAAAAUUAUAUAGUUUUUUAUUUUAAUCUUUUAUUAUCUUUGACACACAUAUAUAUAUAUAUAUAUCCUAUUUUCCUUUUUUUUUUUCCUUCACUUUUUCAACUUUGCCAAUUUUUUUCGUAACAAAAGAGUAACAAUGAUAUGAAAAAUUUAUUAAAUAUACUAUAUUGAUGUCAUAAUACAAUAUAAUUUAUGAUGUUAAUACAAAAUAAUAUAUUGGAUUAAUAAUACAUGAUUUAUUAUAUUAUUUUUAUGGAAAUUCUAACAUUCAAGUAAAUAAUAAAAUUAUCUUUAUCUUUGAUUUUUCUAAGUAAAAUUUUGUUAGAUAGUAGGUUCAUUGUUCAAAAGUGAAAAACAAUUUUUUGGGAUACAAGAUAUACAUUAUUGAUUGUACUUAUCAUCAUGACAAAUUUAUUUAUGAAUAAUAUAAAAAACCACAUUCAAAGGGUAAAAUUGUCCGAUGAUAAAUUUUGUCCUUUAUAAGAAUUCUUAAGAUAAGUACCCUUACUGGUUAUUAUCAUCUCCAACCCACCCUUUUUAAUGACUUUCCCUUUUUAAAAAAUGAGAGGGCUUCAUUGGUGUUUGGUGCUAUGGUUGGGUCCUUUGAUGCUAGCGGAAGUUUUAUCUCUUUCUCAAUGCCAACUCUUUCAUCAUUGAUCAAUCAUUCCUUGUUCAAUGAUGAAGCUAAAGGAAAUUACUAGAUUUCAAGGUUUUUUUUUUUUUUUUUCGGUAUUCUCCUUGGGGAUGAGGCUUCUUGUCCUUUUGGUGUGAUUUGAGGUUCAGUGAGGAUGAUUUGUCAAUCCUAGUUAGAAGGAGGGGAUGAUUGGAAACGCUCCUCGGUUUAUUGAUUCAAGCUCGUUGAGGAUGAUUUUGGCUGAUGAGAGUUCGAUGGUGUUUUUAACUUUAUGGGGAAGGAGAUUACAAAUAGGGAGGUUGGGCAAGAUAGAAUGAAGGGGAAGGUCGAUGGUUAUGCUAUAGGGGAUGAGGUUUAAUUGGAGAAUUAAUCUUUUAGUAGGUUGGUUACUUUCGCUAAUUUCUUAGGCAUGCAAUAAAGGGUUUUUGAGGAAGAGAUUUAGAUACUCCUUAAUAGAAUUAGGGUAAGAAAGAGAUAAGAGGCUAGGUGCAUGGUAGAAGAAAAUGUAAAUCUGUAUCUUCACAUUUUGAAGGAGAGCUCAAGAAGCUCAAGUGGUUAGUAAACUGUAAUAGAGCAGGAUUAGAGGGUGGAAGGGGCAGAGAAGGUAAGAUUAUUUCAUCAUGUGAGAGAUAAAGUUAAGACUUUUAUCUUGGAACAUGAGAGAAGCUAAUGACAAUCAUGAAAGGACGAUUAUAAAGUCUUUGAUUACAUGGCAGAAAGUAGACUUGGUCUGUAUACAAGAAACUAAAAGCUAAGAUCUAUUGACUAGUCUUAUGCGUAGUUUAGCAGCUGGUAGUUUCUUAAAGUGGGGUGCAGUGGAUUCAAGGGCUACUUCAGGUAGGGUCUUGGUUUUUUUUGGGACGAUAGGGUGUUGUAUUUGGUAGGCAUGGAAGUAGGUGACUACUAGAUUUCAUGCCUUUUUAAGAAUUAUGAUGAAGGGUUUGUUUGGAUAUUCAUGAGGGUGUAUGGUCCCUCCCUUGGGAAAGACAAUAAGGGCUUAUGGGUAGAGUUGGGGGCCAUUAGAGGGUUGUGGAAUAACCCAUGGUGCAUUGAAGGUGAUUUUAAUAUUAUCAAAUCUCUAGGGGAGCAUAGUAGAGUCAAUAUCUAUCUACUACCAUGAGAGGUUUUUCACAAAUCAUUGAGGACUUUUAGUUAAGAGAUCUUUUUUGAUUGGCAAAGGGGAGGGGGGGAGGUGGUUUGAAUAAUUAGUCCUCAUCGAGAUUAAACAAUUUUCCGGUAUUAGGGAGUUAGGAAGGCCACUUUAGCUGUAUAGUGCAAUGUAUCUAACCUAGACUUGUGUCAGAUCAUUCACUAAUUUUGUUGGACUUGGAGGGGGGGGGGGGGGGGGGGGGUGUUGAAGAGAGGCUCUACUUCUUUUAGAUUCGAAAAUAUUUGCCUUAAGAAGAAGGAUUUAAAGAUAUUCUUAAAAGACCGUGGAUGGGGUUCGGUUUUAAGGGUUCUUAUAGCUGCAUGACUAUUAAAAUUUAAAGGGGAAGGGGGUUUGAAGAGAGGCUCUACUUCUUUUAGAUUUGAAAAUAUCUACCUUAAGAAGAAGGAUUUAAAGAUAUUCUUAAAAGACCGUGGAUGGGGUUCGAUUUUAAGGGUUCUUAUAGCUUGAUGACUAUUAAAAUUUAAAGUUUUGAAGAUCAAAUCUAUUAACUUACAAAGAAUAGUACAUAAAUUUACUUAAAUGUUAUCUUCUCUUAAGGGACUUAUUCUAGCCAACACUUGCACAUCAAUGCAAUACUCUCUUGUACUCCUUAAUGGAUCACCCUAAUUUCAUGUUAAGGCUUAGUGAAGCAAAGCACCAAUCCUUGCUUUUCUACAUACCUUAAAGGGCUUUAAAGAAACUUCUUAAAAGAUUUCUAAGAAUUUGGAUCCUAAAGCAAAAUAAUGGAAGAUAGUUUUUUUCUUCAAGGGUUUUUUUUCCCGAGUUUUCUUUUUUUCUAAUGUGUGUGUGUGUGUGUGUAUAGAUAGAUAAUUUUUAGAAAAAUAAAAUAAAAUUGGUUAGGCACUUGUAUGCCCAAGGACAUUUGAGCAUCCUAAGUUGGAUGCUCAAAUAUUCUCCCUGGGUUUCCAUUUUUUCAUGCUCAAAGCUAACUUAAUCACUCCCAUUUUCUUUCAAGGAUUUAUUGUGCAUCCUUUUAGCCUUUACUUGACUAAAACUCAACUCUAGUUUUCCUUUAUUUUUACCCAUAUCGAAUAACUUGCAUUACAUGAGCCUUAGAAUGUAGUUUUCAACUAUUUCUCAAGGUAAAUAAGUUCCAAUGGAAUUAGGCAAUCUUGACUUAAUGCAUUUUUGGAGCAAAUUACCAAUGUAACAAUUACAUUAACUCACCUCUUUUGUCUUUUAUUAGGCAUUAAUCAAGAGUGAACCUCACAUUAUAAUGGUUUUACAAAUCUAAUUAAUGCUUACCAAGUUAGCUUUCGAGUCCUAAACAUAAAACAUGUGAAUAAGAAUGGGUAACUAUAGGCUUUAAUAGUCCCUUGCCUUCCAUGAUCUUUAAUGGUAUUCCAAUAUGGAAAAGUUACAUUUCCCUUUCUAAUGCUUCAAAGGCAAUAAGCUAAGACCUUAUUCUAGUCAAGUGCUUAGAUACUCACUAUCCAAGUACCAUGUAUAAGACUCUUUAGCUCAAUGGAUCAUAUACACAACUAGAGACUUGAGACUAUCCUUUUUAACCUAACCCUUUUCAUCUUAGACUUGGACAUCUUUUCAACAUGAUGAAUUUAGGUCUUAGACUGAUUUUGUACUAUAUUUUAGCUUGAAAUUAACAUUUCUAUUUAACACUCUAUUUUUCAAUUUAUGUGACACUCUCAUAAGUUGAUUCAACUUAGAUGGUAAGUUAUUAAACAUUCAUUUGUAGCAUCUAUUAACAUUGAAUUAUAGUCUUCCAUAGUGGUGGUAUUUAGUGCUUGAUAUUGAGUGAGAUCCUUUUAGAGACACAAUCCGCUUGGUCUUUACCAAGGUAGUCCUUACUCCACUUAGAAUUGUAACCUCAUCAACAUAUUAUAGGUUUAUUUUCAUAACUACAAGACUUCCCUCAAUUCAAUAAUGAUCAAGAAUUUUAGAACUAGGGUGUAAUAACUUUUCUUAGAACUCAGUUCUUCAUGGGUCGCUAUUACAUUAUGUAAGUUCUUUAAACAUGUAGCAUCCUUUAUUUCAAGAAAAGUCAAUUUGGUCAUGCAUUAUCUGUUCAUUUUUUACUUCAUUCAAUUCAUCCAACAAACUUUUAUGUGAGGCUUCCCAACUAACUUUUUCAAUCUUCAUUUUGAGAAAUUCAUCAUACCAUUUUAUAGAAUGAAUUAAACGAUAAUUGUGAAAAUUUGGGAACAUUAUUGAUUAAUUUACCAACGUACAAGGGAAAAUAUAUAGGCUAAAAACAGUGAACUAAAUCCCUGCAACAUUGGGAUAUUGUUUGACGAGAAAUGGAAUAAUUUGUAUAAUGGGAUUUGUAUAUUCAAUUGCUCUAUUAAAAUGGUUACAAAUGAGCUCAAUAUAUAUAGCCCAUAUAUGAUCUAAAUUUGUCUAGAAAUGUCUAAGGAAAGUUGACCCUGUAGAGUAGAGGGAUUGUAGUAAUCUGAUCCCUUCGCUUAUGCCUGUAAUGUAGGGAUUAUACAACUCAUGUUCACACUCCCCCUCAAGUUGGUGCAUAGAUGUUGCUGAUGCCCAACUUGUCAAGUGAGUUGUGAAAGACCUUACUACACACCGCCUUAGUGAGGAUGUCUACUAGUUGGUCUUGUGAUUUGAAAAAUGGGAAUCGAAUUAUCUUAGCUUCUAAGUUCUGCUUGAUAAAAUGUUGGUUUACUUCCACAUGCUUAGUUCGAUCAUGUUGGACUGGGUUAUGGGCAAUAUCAAUGGUUGCCUUGUUAUCACAAAGCAAGUUCAUCUCGCAACUGGGAUGAAAGCCAAUUUCUGUCAACAAUCUUCUUAGCCAGAGUAACUCACACAACCCCUUAGCCAUUCCUCGAAACUCCGCCUCUGCACUAGAUAGUGCUACGACCUUCUGUUUUUUACUUCUCCAUGUUACUAGGUUUCCUCCAACAAAUCCGAAGUAGCCUGAUGUGGAUUUCUUAUCAGAGAUAUUUUUUGCCCAAUCAACGUCAGUAUACCUCAUAAUUUUUAGGUGCCCAUUCUUUGAGAACAUAAUUCCCUUUCUUGGGGUUCCCUUAAGAUAUCUCAAAAUUUGAGUCACUGCAUUCAUAUGGUCUUCACUAGGGCAAUGCAUGAAUUGACUCACUACAUUGACCACAUAGGCAAUAUUAGGCCGGGUAUAUGAAAUAUACAUUAGUUUUCCAACCAAUCUCUGAUAUCUACCUUUAUCAGUGGGGAUCUGGUCAGGGUAUUCUCCAAGCCUGUGAUUUUGUUGUAUUGGAACAUCUACUAGUUUACAGUCUAGCAAUCCAACUUUUGAUAAUAGAUCGAGGGUAUACUUUCGUUGGGAAAGAAAUAUGCCUUGUUUAGAUUGAACCACCUCAAUUCCUAGAAAAUAUUUCAACCCACCUAAACUCUUCAUUUCAAACUCUACUGCCAACUAUUUUUGAAGUUUCGUAACUUGGUAUCAUUUCCUGUGAUGAUCAUAUCAUCUACAUACACUAUUAGUGUUGUUAACGCUUUAGAAAUGGAGUGUGAUUAGAAUUGCUAUGUUAAAACCCAUACUUUCUCAUUGCUAGGCUAAUGAGUCCAAACCAAGCUCGUGGAGAUUGUUUCAAGCUGAAUAGGGUGUGUUGCAGUUUACACACCGUCUUGCUAGACAUUUCAAUGUACUCAAGGGGUAUCCAUAUAAAUUUCCUCCUCGAGGUCACCAUGGAGGAAUGCAUUCUUUACAUCAAAUUGGAGUAGCGACCAAUCAAGGUUCGUUGCAAGGGAUAAAAGGACUCUUACAGUGUUCAACUUGGCUACAGGCGAGAAGGUCUCCAUAUAGUCAACUCCAUAAGUCUACAUAUAUCCUUUCGCUACAAGUCUCGCUUUGUAGCGCUCAAUCAACCCAUUUGCCUUGUAUUUGAUGGAGAAUACUCAUUUGCACCCCACUGUCUUGUGGCCUUUUGGUUAAGGGAUAAGAAUCCAUGUCUUGUUUUUCAACAAUGCUUCCAUUUAUUCCUUCAUUGCUUGGACCCACUUAGGGUCCUAUAGAGCCUCCUCUAAGCUUGUAGGAAUGUGAUGCAUUGAUAAUUCAUUAUAAAAGCUCUUUAAGGGUUUUAAGAGCUUCUCUAUUGAGACGUAAUUGGGAAUCGGGUACUUCGAUUUGUGUGUCUCAGUAUCCGGAGUGUAGCAUUCUGGUGGUUUGCCACGAUUAUGCCUAGGAGGUAAUUGAUAACCAUUGUUAGUUAAAUAUUUUGUGACAAGAGGAAAACUUACCUCAAGAAUCUCUUCAGGAAUAUUCUCAGAAGUUGGGUCAUGAGGUACUGUAGAGUGAGGGGGUGUCUUAGCGAUUGGAGUUAGUGUCUCAGUAGUUGGCGUUGGUGGGUCUGUAGUCUAUUCCAUACCUAUGGUAGUUGGUGGCUCUGUAGUUAGUGGGAUGUCCUUGAACCAAUUCAACUAUUCAUCGUGUGUCUUCCCCUGAAGAGAAGAAUUGGAUGGAUGAUAGAACAUCUUGGACUCGAGGAAGGUGACAUCCAUAGUAACAUAGAGCCACCUGUUUGUUGGAUCAUAGCACCAGUAACCUUUCUAAUUGGUGGCAUAGCCUAGAACGAGACAAUGACGAGCAUAAGGGUUGAGUUUGGUGCGUUGGUUGAGGUGAAGAUGAACGUAGACAAUGCAUCCAAAGGUUCGGGGAGGAAGUGUCGUAGCCGGAAGUAUUGAUAUGCUUGCGGUUAAGUCCUGUAGAGGUGUUUUGAAACCCAGAAUCCGGGAUGGCAUUCGAUUCAUGAGAUGCACAACAGUUGUAACCGCAUUAGGCCAGUGAGAACUAGGUAUAUGUGUACCUAAUAGGAGGGCACGUGUGGUCUCGAGAAUAUGGUUAUUCUUACGUUCUACUACACUAUUUUGCUUUGGAGUAUGAGGACACGAGGUCUGAUGUAUCAACCCAUGCUGGUGGAAGUACUCUUGGAAUUGUCGAUUCAUGUAUUCAUUGCCAUUAUCAAAGCGAAGGACUCCGAGUUUGGUAGAAAAUUGGGUUUGAAUCAUUAUGUGAAAUGAGCAAAAGGCAGUAAAAACCUCAUCUUUGUUUUUCAAUAGGCAGAGUUGUGUCAUUCAAGUGCAAUCAUCACAAAAAAAAAAUCAGCGAUAACUCGAUAGAGUAGAUUUUGAGAAUAGUCCCCACACAUUAGAAUGAAUUAAGCUAAAAGGAACAUCUCUCUUAUUCUUAUGUAAAGGAUAAAUUGCCCGGUGACUUUUUGCCAAAAUACAUGUUUCACAUUGAAAAUUUGAGAUAGAGAAUUUAGAAAGCAAACUAGGUAGUAAAUGCUUCAAAUAUCCAAAUGAUGGAUAGCCGAGUCGUCGAUGCCAAAGCCAAAUCUGUUCUAUUCUGGAAUCACCCAACCGUCCCACAUGAUGUGGUUGUCCUAUUGAAGUCGUCUAUAUUGUAGAGCCCCCCCUUCUUAGUACCAUGCCCAAUAAUUUUUUUCGUGAGAAUAUCCUGGAUAAGGCAAAAAUCAGGGUACAUCAGUGCUGUAAAAUUUAAGUCCUUAGUAACUUGAUUGAUAGAAAACAAUUUAUGAGAUAGGGAUGACACAAAUAAUGUAUUGGAGAGUGAUAACAUCACAGUUCCAACCCCUUGUACCAAUGAAAUACUGCCAUUAACAUUCGCAAUGCUAGUUCGCUUAGGAGCGGUAUGCUGACAAAAGUCCUGUGCAUCAAAUGUCAUAUGAUCCGUGGCUCCGGAAUCCAAGAUCCACAAGUUGCACUCACUCCUAGUAGAUCCAUGAGAUGCUAUACUUGGUGUGUUGCCGAUAGAAUCAGUAGGAAUUAGAGACAGUUUGGGUUCUACUGCUGCUAUUGUCGUUUUACCAAUACCGGGCUUAAUCAUUUACAUGAUUUCAGAUGUUUUGUUUAUUAUCUUUGAACUCAUGAAUCACCUUUGUGGGUCAAGUUAUAUCAUGCAACCGGGUUUCUCUUCUUUACUGUGUCUUUUGGCUCAGUGAAGGGACUGUUGAUUUGUUGGAUGAAGAGGGGUUGAUGUUAAAACUACCAAAUUAGUAGCAAAGAGAAGUAGUAAUGGGGAAAAGAGGAGAGAGUUGUUGGUUUGCAGUGGAAUCCAAGUCUUUUUGAAAUUUCUGUGGAUGUGUUUGGGAAUAAACUAAAGGGGAUCAUUGUGGAAAGAAGCAGAGGAUUCACUUCGUGGAUAAGGUUUGGAAGUUCCAGCUUGUGUUGGCUAUCGGAGGGAGUGGAGGCUAACUGUAGGGGGGAGUUUGGGCAGAGAUUCGUCAAAAGUUGGGAGGAUGGAGGUAGGAGGUUCAAACAAGAAUGUCGAGCAAAUGAGGCUGGCGGAUUUUUAUUGUGUUUAGUGGUAGACUUGGAUGCCAAGAGACAUUGUUUAGUGUUCCCAGAAGGAAAAGCUUUCUUGGAAGGUUGGGCUUUGAUGGCUAAAAAACUUCGCUCACUUGGAAUAUCGACAUGUGAUGAGCCUAGGGAAGUUUUUGAAUCUUCUAAGACUGAGAGUAGAGAUGGGGAUUCGAAGGAGAAGAAAGAAAAAUCCUACGUUGAUGCGGUGAAUACAAGAGGAGUUUCAAGAGUGAGAAGGCUAGGGGAAGCAGCAUGGCUACAACUUGGAGAAGAAGACGUGUCAAGAGGAAGGGAGCUGCUGGACCGAUGCCUUGUUGGGAGACGGGGAGAAACUUUGGUUUCAAUUCCACACCUGUGUGAUCUGGAAAGCUGGGGAAAAAGUCACUGGAAACUCAAAGGAGGAGUAAAGUUCGUGAGAAUGGGGGGCCCUUUUAUUUUGAUUGCGUUUGAGAAUAAAACAUAGGCAGACAAAGUGUUAUUGAGAGGUUUCCAAUGUUUUAAGGAUUUGGUUCUGCAUUUGGAAAGGUGGGACCCAAAAGUGGGUUGUUCUCAAAGUUGUGAACAUCUUAAGGAAGUUUGGGUGAGAGUGAUGGGAUUACCAUUGCAUCUUUGGAGCCGGGAAGUUUUUAAGAAGAUUGGAGACUGUUGUGGGGGCUUUGUUGCAGUGGAUGAAAGCACUGUUGCUUUAAAGGAGCUCCAAUGGGCCAUAUUACUAGUGAAGUCGGAGGGGACAGAAUGGCCAAGUUCCCUGCAAGUGGUAAUCGACACUACUUGUUUUGCUUUUCAACUGUGGUGGGAGGUGCUGCCAAGGGUGUCCGAAGUGCUUCCGGUGAUAAAAAAUGGGUCGGGGAAGGAGCAAGAGGCUAGGGAAUAAGAAGGGGGGACUUCACGCCGGCAGCAUGGUGAAGCAGAUGCAGCCAAACGGACAACCUACAAAGGUGGUUGUGCUAUCUGAAGAUGGUGAAAAUCUCUGUAGGACAGACAUGGAGGCUCCUCUUUCUGACUUGAUGUCGACAAGAGGGGCAGAGGUAGACAAAACCAAAAGAUGGCAGCAGUCUGUUUGGGGGAUUAAUUAAAAAAUUGGGCCUGCAGCUAAAGCUAAGGGAAUGUUGGGUUGGGAUGUGGAGCUGGCAGUGGAGAGGAGGCCCAUUGUGGAGGGCUUGAUUGGAAGCAAAGAAGUUUGUGGGCCAUCACUCUUAAGCCCAAUAUCUUUCAGGCUGGAGACAAAUCUCCAGAGGAGGCCCAUUGAGGAGGGCCAUUUAGGUUCCAUGGAGGACAGUGGGCUGUCCCAAUUAGGCGCAUUACCAAACACGCACUUAAAGAGCUGCGUGGAAGUGGGCACUCUGGAAUCUCAUAAAGGCCCAAUUGUGGGACGAUCCACUGUCAAAGACUCUUUUGAGGCUGAGGCUUGUGGAGGUUUCCGAGAGGAGAUCUGUGGGUGUCUAGAUGGGGCUGAUUUUGGACUCCAGCAGGUGCCAUCUCCUCCGACGCCAAAGACUAAAAUGCUCUAAGUUUAAAUGAAGAUACGUCUUCUUUCUAGGAAUGUUAAAGGGGCUAAUAAUUGUGAUAAGAGGAAGGUGAUCAAAGCCUUGAUUAAGAAGAAUAGGGUGGACCUAGUUUGCUUGCAGGAAACAAAAAUCCAAGAGAUGUCAAGGGGCCUUAUUCAGAGCUUAGGAGUGGAAAGGUUUUUAGAUUGGGGAACUGUGGAUUCAAGGGACUCAACGAGUGGUAUAGUGGUGUUCUAGGAUAAUAGGGUGCUGGAUUUGAUAGAGUUAGAAAAGGGAGAACAUUCAAUUUCCUGCAAUUUUAAAAACUGUGAGGAUGGCUUUAUGUGGACUUUUACAAGGGUUUAUGGUUCGACCAUGAGGAGAUACAGGGAAUGUUUGUGGAAUGAGUUGGGGGCCAUCUACGGUCUUUGGAAUGGGUCGUGGUGUGUUGUUUGUUAUUUUAAUGCCAUCUUAAGCCCUGAAGAGCGCAGUAGAAGAGGGAGCUUGAAUUCAGACAUGAAAAGAUUCUCAGAUGUAAUAGAAGAUUUAAAGCUAAAGGAUUUGCCCUUCAGAUUUUGGUCAAUGAGUCUUUCACAAGGAUAGAUCGAUUUUUGGUCAAUGAGGAGUGGGAUUACCGUUUUAGUGGUUCAAGGCAAUGUGUCCUCCCGAGACCAGUGUCUGACCACUUCCCAAUUAUGUUAAAAGGAGGGGGGCUGAGAAGGGGACCAUCUCCCUUCAGAUUUGAGAAUAUGUGGCUCAAAGUGGAGGGGUUUAAGGAGCUGUUGAAGGCUUGGUGGGAGAGGGACAGUUAUAAUGGUUCUGCAAGCUUUAUUCUGGCCGAAAAACUAAAGGUUGUAAAGUCUAAACUGAAGGAGUGGAAAAGAGAUGUCUUUGGAAGGGUGGAAUAUAGGAAGAAUUCAGCUUUGGAUCAGCUGCAGUUUUGGGAUGCAAAGGAGAAGACUAACAGAGUGUCCUUGGAAGAGAUGAAUGCUAGAAGAGAAGUGAAGGAAGAAUACAAAAAAUGGGUUUUAUUAGAAGAGAUGACUUAGAGACAAAAAUCUAGGGAAGUGUGGCUGAAAGAGGGUGACAGAAAUAUUAGAUUUUUCCACAUGAUGGAAAACGCUCAUAAAAGAAGAAACAAUGUGGACCAAAUUAGGAUUAAUGAUGUUUGGCAUUCGGAGGAGAAUGGGAUUAGCGAAGAAAUAGUGAAUGCCUUUAGAUCUUUGCUGUCCAAUCCCGGGGACUGGCGCCCUUCUUUAUCCUGGCUACAGUGCGAAACGUUGCAAAAUUUGGAUGUUAAUGCUUUGGAGGCACAGUUCACGGAGGAGGAGGUGCAUGACGCAUUGCUGGGUUGUAGUGGGGAUAAAGCCCCGGGGCCUGAUGGCUUCACAAUGGCUUUUUGGCGGUUUGCUUGGGACUUUGUGAAGGAGGAUGUGAUGAGUUUCUUCAAGGAGUUCCAUGAUCAUAACAAAUUUGUUAAAAGCCUAAACGCAACUUUUCUGGUUUUAAUCCCAAAAAAAGUGGGGGUUGAAGAUUUGAGGGAUUUUAGGCCCAUAAGCUUAGUAGGAAGCCUGUACAAGUGAUUGGCUAAGGUUUUAGCCAAUAGACUUAAAAAGGUGGUUGGAAAGGUGGUUUCUAAGGCUCAAGGGGCCUUUGUGGAGGGUAGACAAAUUCUAGAUGCAGUGCUAAUAGCUAAUGAAGCCAUUGACUCGAUUAUGAAGAAUAAUGAGAAUGGUUUUAUGUGCAAACUUGACAUAGAGAAGGCAUAUGACAAUGUGGAUUGGUCUUUCCUUCUCACAGUUAUGCAGAAAAUGGGCUUUGGGGAGAAAUGGAUAGGGUAGAUUAAGUGGUGCAUAUCCACUGCAAGUUUUUCUGUGUUGAUUAAUGGAACGUCUAAGGGUUUCUUCCAAAGCUCAAGAGGAUUGAGGCAAGGUGACUCUCUAUCGCCUUAUCUUUUUGUGAUAGCCAUGGAGGUUUUUAGCUCAUUUCUUAAAAGGGUUGUGGAUGGAGGUUUUAUGUCGAGUUGUAAAGUGAAGGGUAGGAAUGGAGAAGGGGUUCGGAUUUUCCACUUGUUGUUUGCUGAUGACACCUUGGUGUUUUGCCAAGCUUCUCAAGACCAACUGACUUACCUAAGCUAGUUGUUUAUGUGGUUUGAGGCCGUAUCAGGAUUGAGAAUUAACUUGGAGAAAAGUGAACUCAUUCCAGUAGGGAGGGUAGAGAAUAUUAAUGAUGUUGCCUUGAACUUUGGUUGUAGAGUGGGUAGUCUCCCAUCCACUUAUCUAGGCCUCCCCUUGGGUGCUCCGUUUAAGACAGUAUCAGUGUGGGAUGGAGUGGAAGAGCGGUUCCGUAAAAGAUUGGCCAGGUGGAAGAGACAAUACUUAUCAAAGGGGGGGAGAGCAACUCUAAUUCGAAGCACUUUGUCGAAUCUCCCUAUUUACUUUAUGUCCUUGCUGAAGUUACCAAGUUCAGUUAGACGAAGAUUAGAGCAAAUCCAAAGGGACUUCCUUUGGGGUGUUGGCAACUUGGAGCGAAAACCACACUUAGUAAGAUGGAAGGUGGUGUGCUUAAGUAAAAAGAAAGGGGGAUUGGGGGUUAAAUGUCUUUCCAUUCUCAAUAAGGCUCUCCUUUCCAAAUGAAAUUGGCGAUUCGCAAAUAAGAGAGAUGCUUUGUGGAAUCAAGUGAUUAGAAGAAAGUAUGGGGAAGAUAGAUUUGGUGAGCGCUCGAAUCUCUUUUAGAGUUGGCAAUGGGAGGAGGGUGAGCUUUUGGAGGGAUAGAUGGUGUGGGGACCCCCCUGCGUGAGUCUUUUCCUUCCCUCUUUGCCUUGUCUGCUGAAAAGGAAACUUGGGUGGCGGAUGUUUGGGAUCCCUUGGCCGAGGGGGGUUGGAGCCCCUGUUUUUCAAGAGUUCUAAAUGAUUGGGAGGUGGAGGAGGCAGAAAGAUUUUUGGAGCAUCUUCACGGGAAGAGAGUGCUUGGAGAUGUAGAGGAUAUGGUGGUUUGGACCAAAACAAAGAGCAGAAAAUUUUCGGCAAAGUCUCUCUACCUUGCUCUAGAAGCGGACUGCCCUGUUUUGUUUCCUUCUAGUUGUAUUUGGAAUGGGUGGGUACAACCCAAAAUCAGUUUCUUUGCGUGGGAGGCAGCAUGGGGUAAAACCUUAACCCUAGACCUUGUUCAGAAAAGAGGAUGGUCCUUGGCAAAUAGAUGCUUUAUGUGUCUUGAGAAUGAGGAGACCAUGGAUCUUUUGCUUCUUCACUGUUCAAAAACAAAGGCCUUAUGGGAGUUACUCUUUACCUUGGUUGGGGCGUCUUGGGUGUUGCCCUCCUCAGUUAGAGAGACUUUUCUUAGUUGGCAUGGUUCAUUUGUGGGCAAAAAACGUAAGAAGGUGUGGAGAGCUACUCCUCUUCAUAUAUUUUGGACGGUGUGGAAGACUAGAAAUAGAUUGGCAUUUAAGGAUGACUAGUUGUCAAUCCAAAGAUUGAAAUAUUCCUUUCUUUUCUCUCAUUGGUCUGAGGCUAAAUUGUUUAUAGUUGAACGCCCUAUAGCUAUAGUUAAUUUUAUUGAUUGGUUGGGAUCCUCUUAAGGUUGUUUUUGGGCUAGGUGACUUUUUGGGCCUCUUUCUUUUUCUUUAGCCUUUUUGGUGGUGGGUGUUUAGGUUUGUAUAACUUGCAUAGUUUUGUAUUCCUUGAGUUGCUUUUUUGGCGUCUCUUUUUAAUGAAUUAUCUUUACCUAUCAAAAAAAAAAAAUUAUGUUUCUUUUUAUCUUGGAGCUUGUGCCAUCAGUCUGGGUAUCCAUGGAGCUUAAAGCAAGAGUUUUGUGUGUGUUUGGAAUUUCUACAAUGGGAGCACGUUAAGCCUUCUAUCCAUUGCUUUGAAUUUGGGCUAGUGGGAUUAGAUUUAUUGAGUAUUAGAACUUCUUCUUUUCCAGAUGGGUUGGGGCCCGUUUUCAGCCCCUUGGAAGUCACCCCAGCUCCCAUCCUUUCAUCGAAACCAUUCUCCAUCACUGUCUGUCUCACCAUUUCCCGUCAGAUGGAUGCGUAAGCUUGCUUAAUUGUCAGAAAUGGUUGCAUCUAUAACACAGUGCUCCUGCCUUGGUCAAGUCGAUCAUCAAGGCCGUGAGAAACACAUAGACCCUCUCCUCCUAGAGAAUUGUGUUGUAUCGUUGCACAUCCUUAGGGCAUUCCAUGGGGUUUGGUCGUUGAAAAUCUAUUUUCCUCCACAAGCCUUGCAGCUCGUUAUAAAAUUUCUCCAAAGAUCCACCAUUUUGUUGUAGCCUACUCACCCGUUGUUGGAGCUCAUACACUUGAGCAAUGUCACUCUCGUCGAAGAAAAAGACAGUGAUGGCGUCCCAAACUUCUUUCGCAUUGGGAUACCGGAUGAACGUGCUAACAAGGGAUGAAUCCAUGGUGUUGAUGAGCUAGCCUUUGAUGACGUUGUUUUUCGGUUCUCCAUCGUCAGAAUAAUGGAUUAGUUGGAGUAGGUUGGGAUAAAUCACCAUUAAUGUAACCUAAUCUAUCUCUCCUGGAGAUAAACAUCUCCACAACUUGGGACCAUAGUGCAUAAUUCGAUUCAUUGAGUUUUAUGCUGAUCGGGGAAGUAUCCAUUGCUGCAGUUGGGGUUGGGGCCUUGUUCAGCACGUUGGCCAUUUUCAUGGUGAGUUAUGCUAAAAUAGAGGUUGUUGUUGGUGGAGACCCUCCUAUCUGAGAGUCUGAUUUAGGGAUUUUUCUAGGUUGUUGUUAAGUUGUUAGUGUUGGGUAGAAUCAAGGAGUUGAUACCAAAGGGUAGAAACAGACCUGCUGUGAUACCAUGUUGACAAGAAAUGGAAUAAUUCGUAUAAUGAGAUCUGUAUAUUCAAUUGCUCUAUUAAAAUGGUUACAAAGGAGAUCAUUAUAUAUAGCCCAUAUAUGAUCUAAAUUUGUCUAGAAAUGUCUAAAGAAAGUUAACCCUGUAAAGUAGAGGGAUUGUAGUAAUCUGAUCCAUUCGCUUAUGCUUGUAAUGUAGGGAUUAUACAACUCAUGUCGACAUAUUGAUCCCUAGAAAAGAUAGGAAACAAUCCAUAUAAAUCAGGGAUAAUAGAAAACAAUCCUUAUAAAUAAGGGAUAAUAGAAAGCAAUUCCUAUAAAUUAGGGAUAAGGCUAACUAAUUAAAUCAAAUAUUUACAACUUUCCUAACUAAUUAACAAUUCCUAUAAAUUAGGGAUAAAGCUAACUAAUUUCAAUCAUCACAAUUCCAGCCUGGCCUAGUCAACUUUGACACUCCUCCUCAAGAUGGGGGGUGGAUAUCAUCCAUUCCCAACUUGCCAACGAUGGUCUAAAUGAAUGAGCCGCUUAAUCCUUUGGUUAGCACAUUAGUAACUUUAUUGCUAGUAGAUACAAACAGCGUGCAGAUUAGUCCACUAUGUAUCUUCUCUUUUAUGAAAUGUCUGUCAACUUCUAUUUGUUUGGUUAGAUCAUGUUGCACAGCAUUAUGUGCAAUGUUGAUUGCUGACUUGUUAUCACAAUAAAGUUUUAUAGGUCCUUCCCAUACAAUCUUUAGAUCUUCUAAGAUGAUUUUUAGCCAUAGAAGUUCACAAACUCCUAAUGCCAUUGCCCUAAAUUUAACCUCUGCAUUUGACCUUGAAACUACAUUCUAUUUUUUGCUUCUCCAAGUUACAAGGUUUCCACUAAAAAAAGUAUAAUGGCCUGAUGUUGAUCGUUUAUAAUCAAUAGAUCUUGCAUAGUUUGCAUCUAUGUAGGCUUUUAAAGUUAAUUUUUAUCCUUUCUUGAAUAAUAUUCCUUUUCCCAAAGUUCCCUUAAGCUACUGGAAAAUCCGAUGUGUUGCUCGAAGAUGGACCUUCUUGGGAUUAUGCAUAAACUGACUUACCACUUCUAUUGUAUAUGCUAUGUCCGAUUUUGUAUGUGAGAGAUAAAUCAAUCUACCAACUAGUCUCUGAUAGGACUCCUUAUCUAACACUAUGUCUUCAACAACUUCACAAAGUUUGUGAUUUUGCUCAAUAGGAGUUUUUAUUGGUUUACACCCAAGUUUUCUUAUCUCACUUUGCAAAUCCAACACAUGCUUUUGUUAAGAUAUAAAAAUCUCAUGCUGAGAGUGAGCAACUUCAAUGCUUAGAAGGUAUUUCAACCUGCCAAGUUCCUUUAUUUUGAAAUUCUUAUACUAGACAUUUUCUCAAAGCUUCUCUGCCUUCCAAGUCAUAUGUUACAAGUAUAUCAUCUACAUAAACCAACAAGGUAGUAACUCCCCUUGAAGUUGAAUGUUUAACAAACAAUGUGUGAUCACCUUGACUUUGCUUUUAUCCCAUAGUUUUCAUAACUUUGGAAAAUCUACCAAACUAAGCUUUAGGGGAUUGUUCCAAACCAUAAAGUGCAUUUUUCAAUUUACUCAUCUUGUUACUUUUUGACAUAAAACUUGGAGGAAAUUCCAUGUAGAUUUCUUCAUCAAGAUUGCCAUGUAAGAAGGCAUUCUUAACAUCAUAUUGUUGCAUACUCCACCCACGGUUGAUAGCUAGAGACAACAAAAUCCUCAUAGCGUUCAUCUUGACAACUAGUGCAAAGGUUUCAAAAUAAUCUAUUCCAUAGGUUUGAGUAUACCCUUUAGCCACCAACCUAGCCUUAAACUGUUCAAGUGACCCAUCUGCCUUAUACUUCACAACAAAGACCCAUCUACAUCCCACUAGUUUUUUUUUUUCCUUAGGUAGCUUAACCAAUUCCCAUGUUUUAAUUUUUUCAAGAGCCCCAUCUCAACUCUCAUGGUUUCUUUCCACUCUUUAUCGUCCAAUGCCUUAGAAACCGUUUUUGGGAUGGUUAUAGUGUUUAGAUGAGAAAGAAAGCUGUUAUGACUGUCAAAUAACUUCUCAUAAGAGACAAAGUGAGAUAAUGGGUAUAAAGGAUGUUGGGUACACUUUCUCACACCCUUCUUAAUAGUAAUAGGAGGAUCAUAAUCAUCUCCAGGCUUGGGAUCAGAGAUAUCACUUUCAUAAGCUUCCGAGUCAGAAAUUACCUCAAUACUAUCAGCUCUAUCAUCAGCACCAAGGUUUGGUUUUGAUUUUAGGACUUGCAUAGGUUGAAUAGUGGAUUCUCUUCUCCUUGAACAGACCUAUAGUGGGCGAUUAACACUUUGAAUAUGUUUAUCCUUUCCCAUAGAACUUAGAGUGAUUGGAGUUGUUUGAUUAUAAGAUGGUGGCUCAUUUGGUGAUAGUGGUGGUGAAGGCAAAGAAGAUGAUGAAGAUGGGGAGAGUGAAAGAUCAAGUAAAAGCAAAUCUUUGUCAUUAUCUUCCAUGAAGGAUGUCUUCCCUAGAAGAUAAAGUUUGGUAAAAUGACUUUGAUGUUCAACAAAUGUAACAUCAACAGAUACAUGAAAUUUUUUUGUAGGAGGAUGACAGCUUUUAUAUCCUUUUUGUGUAGAUGAAUACCCAACAAAGAUGCACUUAAGAGCUCUUGAAUCAAAUUUACCCUUAUGAUGUGAAUGAAUAUGAAUGAAUGAGACACAACCAAAUAUUCUAGGAGUGAGGUGGUUUAUGGUUUUGAAAUCAGGAAAGAAUUUUGAAAAAAAGGUUCUUAGGUGUUUUGUCAUCAAGGACUCUAGAAGGUAAUUUGUUUAUAAGAUGAGCAACAGUUAAAACAACUUCUCCCCAAUAAUUUUUUGGAACAUUUUUUUGAAAGAGAGGCACAAGUAAUUGCUAGAAGAUGACCAUUCUUCUUUUCUGCCAUCCCAUUUUGUUAUGAUGUGUUAACACAUGAAGACUCAUGAAUUAUUCCUUUUGCUUGAAAAAAUUGUGACAAGGUUUGAUUAAAAUAUUCCCUAGCAUUAUCUGAUUGAACCCUCUUAAGUUUUACUCUUAAUUGAUUUUUAAUCAUGUGAAAAAAUUGUUUGGAAGGUUGAGCUAACAUCAGAUUUUUGUUUUAACAAAAAAACCCAUGACACAUGAGUACAAUCAUCAAUAAACAAAACAAACCAACGAGCUCUAGAAACAUUUGGAAUCGUAGAAGGUCCCCAGACAUUAGUAUGGAUAAGAGCGAAAUGAGAUGACAUUCUUUUAUUACUUAUUGGAAAAGAAGUGCAUUUGUGUUUUUCAAGUUCACAAACAUCAUAAUGAAAUAUCCCCAUAUCACUCCCUUUAAACAAAUCUGGGAAUAUAAUUUUAAGAACAUUGAACAAUAGAUGGCCAAGACGAAGAUGAUACAACCAAAGUUUGUUUUUAUGUGAAAGAGAUGACUUAUAAAGGAAUGAAAAAGGCAAAUUAUUCUUAGUGCUAUUUUUCUCAUUGGAUUCAAGGUAGUAAAGUCCAUUCCUCUCUCUAGCAAGUCCAAUCAUCUUCCUUGUGCCCUAGUCCUGAAAUUCACAAUGUAGAAGACAAUGUUAUAGUACAAUCCAAAUCCUUUGUUAGCUUAUGAACGAGACAAGGUUUAUAGACAACUUAGGCACAUGCAAAACAUUCUUUAAAACAAAUUUCAAAUUGAUAACCACAUCUCCCUGACCAACAACUAUAAUCAAAGUACCGUCUACUGUAGAUAUCUUUUUAUUAAUGGGGUAAGGACUGUAAGAGACAAAAUGAUGGGAAGAUGUAGUUAUAUGAUUUGUGGCCCUGAAAUCAAUUAUCCAAGAUCCUGAUGUGGGCAUAUUCAAGACACUAAGUGGGAAGGAUUGAGAUCUAUUACUUGAAAAAGCCAAGGAACAAGUACCGAAACUUGCAGGUUUUCUAAAGUUCCCAAAAAUGUUCAACUUUUCAAUCUCUUCUCUAUUAAACUAAGCUUGGUCUAGAAAAGAGUUUGUUUCUUCUCCUGGUUGCAUUCUGGUUACAUGUGAUUGUCUUUGUCCCUUUGUCGGUCCAUUCUUUGUCGUUUCUUUUGAUUGUUUAGGGAUUUGAAAGUUUGAGGGCUUACCAUGAAGUUUCCAACAUUUUUCCCUAGUGUGUGGUUUUUUGCAAUAAGUACACACCAUUGGGUCUUUAUUUCCAGCCUUUGACACCUUUGACUAGCCACUUUCAUUUAUCACUCCACUGGAAUGGGUGCUCAACUGGUGAUCUGCUCCACCACUCCUUGCAUUAGCAUUUCUUACCACCAUAGCAGAAUUGUCCAUUGGUUGAGGUUCUAAUAUGACCCCCUCCUAAUUUCCUUUCCUCGGAUUAUGCCAAUGGUUUCAUUCAAUGAUGGAAGGUUUUCUAUUCCAAGAACUUGGACUCUAAUGAGGUCAAGUUUAGGAUUUAGUCCAACAAGAAAAGUAUAAAUUCUGUCUUUCUCCAUAAAUCUCUUAUGAAUAGCAGCAUCUUCAUCACAUUUCAUCUCUAUAAAUUCAUAAUGGUCGAAUUCUUGCCACAAGUUUUGUGCAAGAUAUUGAAGUAUUUAGUAAUAGAGCAAUUACCCUGUUUAGUAGUCAAGAUUCUGGUCUUGAUAUUGUAGAUUUGGGCUGCAUCACAAACCUUUGAAUAUGUUUGUCUAUGGAUGUUCCAAAUAUCCUUUGUUGUCUCCAAGAACAUGCAAGUAUCAAUUACUUCAGGCAUCAUUGAAUUCCAUAGCCAUGGCAUUACCAUAGAAUCAGCUUCAUCCCAAGUGUCAAACUUUGGAUCCCCCGGUUUCGGACCCUUGCCAAGGAGAUGACCCAAUUUGCCCUUUCUUUUAAAAAUGGUUCGGACAAAUUGAGACCACUUCAAGUAGUUUUUCCUAUUCAACUGAUAACUUGGUUGGAUAUUCUGCAAAUGUCCGACUGAAACUAUGCUUGAUGUCCCUGUCACUUGAAUCUCGGACGUAUUGGACAUCUCAAUUGCAUCAGACAUGAUGAUGCUAUAAGGGAAAAGAGAGGAAAGAAAGAAAAAAAAAAAAUAUCUUGGGUAAUAAGGUUAAAGAAAAUAAUGCAAAUAGGAGAGUUUUUGGGCUGAAAUAAAUAGAUAAUAGAUGACUUCAAGGUACUCUGUUUUGGAUAAGAAAACAGAGGAAGAUAAGGUACUUCAGCAGUUUCAAUGAAUGAGACGACAAACACUUAAGAGAAAAAAAAUAUUCAGCAAUGAAGACUGAGAAGAAAAUAUCCUAAGGAGCCAACUUGGCUCUGAUACCAUGUGAAAAUAUGGGAAUAUUUUUUAUUAAUUUACCAACGUACAAGGGAAAAUAUAUAGGCUAAACAAUAGUCAACUAAAUCCUUACAAAAUUGGGAUAUUGAGAUAGAAAACAAUCCCUAUAAAUAAGGGAUAAUAGAAAACAAUUCCUAUAAAUUAGGGAUAAGGCUAACUAAUUAAAUUAAAUAUUUACAGCUUUCUUAUCCUAUAAAUUAGGGAUAAUGUUAACUAAUUUCAAUCAUCACAAUUCUAGCCUGGCCUAGUCAACUUUGAUAAUAAUUCAUUCUUUGAAUCACUAGUAUUGUGCAAUGCACUACACACUCAUUGUCAUGUUUGGUAUCAAUAACACAAUUAAACUUGAGCAAUUAUCAUUAUCAUCAAAAUUCAAAGGAUUAGAGGAACUUAUUUAAUUAAAAUCACUUUAUUUUAGUUAACUAGAUAUGUUUUAUUUAUUUAUUUUUUUUACAAUAUUAUCUUGUUCAUUUUCUUUUGAUAAUCAUUUUUUCACAUAUUUGAGGUCUUCCCCAAGUCAAGACUGCAUUUGGAACUUCAGAAAUUUCUUAAAUUUUCUUGCAAAACUUACUGGUUCAAAAUUGGACAAUUCGUUUUUACGAUUGUUUGCUCCUUUUAGUGGAAUAUAUGUUAUCCCCAAGUGUAAGAAGUGAAUUGUAGUAUAUAAACCCAAGAUUUGGUUGUGGUACCUCGGGAAGACAUGAUUAAGGGUGUAAAGAAGAUCAAGAGGUUCAAAAUUGAAUUGUCUUUCAUGUUGUGCAAAACCACGAUAAAGAAUAAUAAUUGGGAUAAAAUAAUAAGAAAACGAAAACCAAACACAACGAUUUACGUGGUUCGACCUUAAGUCUAUAUCCACGAGCGAAGAUGAAGAACUUUCACUAUUGUUGAAGGAGAUUACAACUCUUCAAGCUCUCAAAUCCCAAACCCCCAAUUUAUACCCAAAAAAGAGACACUCACUAUUUUGGUCAGUCUCUUCCUAUAUUUUUUUCCUAAUUACAAAGUAAGCUUCUAUAUAGGAAACUAAGUGUAUAAUAGUCAAAGAUACCUUUUCCUGAAAAGAAGAUCUCAUAAUAGGAUAUUUCUUAUAAUAAUAGGAAACUUCCUUUCAAGAAUAUCUUCUAUUAGGAAAUUGUCAAUAACUUUCCAAUUGACUCAAAAUACAAUUUGAGACACUUUCCAACAUUCCAAAAUAGAGAGGAGUUUUUGUUUCAUCAUCCCUAUGAUUGAUGAGCUAUCCAAUGGUAAACAAUUAUUCCAUGGGUUGAUGAUUGUAAUUAACCUAUAACUAUUAGCAAAGAUCAAGAAAUGCAAUUUCCUUGGCUACCACAUAAUUUCUCUUAAUAGCUUGACAAAUCAUGCACAUUGUUUUCAUAUAAUAGCCUAUAUACUAUAAAUGAUUAGAAGUGAGCUUGGUAGUGUUUUUAUUAGAAAUUUUUUUGUGAAGUAUUUUCUUUAGAAGUGGUUUUAGAAGCACUAUAAGUAAUUUAUCAACUUUUUAAAAGUGUUUUCUAAAUUUUACCAAACACCUAAUUUUUCCUAAGUGCUUUCUAAAAGCAUCACCAAAUGGACUCUAAUUAUACUUGUGUAUAUAUAGAUAUAGCCAAUAUUUUGUCUUCAAAAUUCUUACGAUAUCAAACCCUUUUUCCAAGCUCGAAAGAGUCUUCUUCCUUUCCAAUCUAAAGAGAUGUACCAAAACUAAAUAUUCAAUCUUUCCAUUAGUGUUCUAUCUUAAUCUCACUCAAGGUAAGUAUGUCAAAUUUUCUCUUGUGGAGUUCCUAAAUACACCCCUUAGGUUGUAGCCUAGGGAUCAUUCAUCAUCUCAUACAUAUUUACGAACCAACAAUAAUAUCUAUAUAUAUAUAUAAAGUAGAAAGUAACAAAAAUAAAGAUGCCAAUGCACAAGAUGAACUUUAGGGUCAACAAUGAUGGCUUUCUUUCCUCAUUGCUUCUCAUAAACAUAAGCGAAGAAGUGUUGAAUGUCAUCCUUGUUGCAAAAACUGCAAGACAGGUUUGGAGUUUUUUAGAAAAACAAUUGUUAUUGGCUAUUCCAAGGAUAAGUAUGUUCAUUAAUUCCUUUUGAAUAUGCCUCUUCUAGUUUUAUUUUUAUAGAACAAAACCAAAGGAUUAUAGCAAUGAGGCAAUAGAAAUGACAACUUAAUGCAGUGGAUGGAUAUUUUCAAUAGAUGUCAAGUGUAAUAAGGAGAGGUGGGGCUUUGUCACACCAAUGUUUGAAAAUAUGAUUUUAUUUAGUAUCCAAAACAAUUCCAUGAUUACUAAAGAGGUAAGUAGAUGAAUGUUGAAAAGUGUAUUUUAUUGUUGUACACUACAACCUUUUAAAUAUACAUAUGAUUUUUCAAAAUAUACAUAAACUAUACAAGGUAUAUGUAUAUUACUCCUAAACUUAAAGUAUUGACCAUUUAAUGCUCUUGAUUUGUGGGUAAGAUUGGUUUUCUCCUAAUAUGCCCUUGUAAGAUGGUGCUUCCAUUAGAAACACAAAUCUUGGACUAAGAGAAUGUAAAACGAGACUUGGGUAGCAGCUUGGUGAGUAAAUAAGCAAGUUGAUUUUGGGUUAACACAUGAGCAACUUGAGAGAGCCUCGUAGUUACUUUUUCCUGCAAAAAAUGGUAAUAAAGAGUAAUAUGCUUUAUUUUUAAUGGAAUACAAGAUUUGCACACAAAUCCAUAACACCAAUGUUGUAGCAAAGUAGACGUGGUGUCUUAGGAAAAGAAGCGUAACUCAAGAAAAAGAUUAAUGGCUUAAGUUAUUUCAACCACCUCUGAGGUAAUACAACGAUACUCAACUUUAGUAUAAGAGUGGGUUCGUUGCUUUUUAAAGCACUAAGAGAUUGGAUUGACUUCAAGGGAGAGGACAUAUGUUAAUAUGGAAGUGCAAUCAUCACAAUUGCUUACCUAAUUAGGUCCAAGUAGGCAGUUAAGUGUAAUGAUUGUGAAUGACGGAGAAUGAGAUCAUAGUCUAGGGUGUGUUUAAGGUACCAUAGAAGAUGUUUGGCAAUUGUGUGCAUCAUUUUUUGAAUGAAAUACAAGAUUUGUAACACCAAUGUUAUUGCAAAGUAGACAUGGAGGCUUAGGAAGAGAAACAUAACUCAAGAAGAAGAUUAAUGACCCAAGUUAAUUCAACCACCACUGACGCAACAAAACCAUACUCAACUUCACUAGAAGAUGGGGCAAUGGUCCAUUGCUUUUUAAAGCACUAAGGGAUUAGAUUACCUCUAAGGAAGAAAACAUAUGCUGAGAUGGAAGUGCAAUCAUCACAAUUGCUUGCCCAAUUAGUGUCUAAGUAGGCAAUUAAGUGUAAUGAUUGUGAAUACGGAGAAAGAGAUCAUAGUCCAAGGUGUGUUUAAGGUACCAUAGAAGAUGUUUGGCUACAAUCUUGUGAGUUUGAUUUGGAGCAUGCAUGUGCUAAGUCAAUUUGUUUAUAGAAUAAGCCACAUUAGGUCUAGAUAUGGAUAGAUAUUGUAGGCUUCCAAUUAGACUGCAGUACUGCGAGUUAUCAACUUGUGAAGACCCAUCAUUCUGAAUAAGCCAAAUAGUGCAACUGAGUGGUGUGACAUAGGAUUUGAUACCUUUCAUAUGAAAUCUUGGAAGGAGGUCUUGAACAUAUUUUUGUUGAGAGAGGAAUUGUCCAUUUGCUUGGGGAAUAACCUCCACACCUAGGCAAAAUUGAAGAUGCCCAAGGUCUUUGAUUGAGAAUCGAUCAUAGAGUGGUAAUAACAUGAUAGAUAAAUAAUAGAGAAUUUUUUGUAAUUAACAAGUCAUCCACAUAGACUAAAAAAUAAACAAGAAUAGAGUUGUGAGAAUGAAUAAAUAGAGAAGAAUCAAAGUGAGAGUUCAAAAAGUUUAAAGAUACAAUGAAGGUCUUAAGCUUGAUGAACCAAGCCUGAAGUGCUUGCUUCAAGCUAUAGAUGGAUUUGUGCAAAUGACAAACAUGAUGGGUCCCAGAUUGAUCAAUGAAGCUAGGUGGCUAGGACAUAAAAACUUCUUCAUGAAGUUGCUUGCGUCGUGGAGGAAUGCAUUGUUGACAUCUAGUUGAUGCACUUAUCAUAUGCGAGAGAGAGAGAGCAGUAGAGGGAAUAGUCUGAAUGGUUGUAGGCUUGAUCGUAUGAUGAGAUCUCUCAUGAUAGUUGAUGCUGAGUUGUUGAUGAAAUUCUUUGGCCAUGAGGCAAGCCUUGUAUUGAGUGAUGCUACCAUUAAGAUUAUGCUUGAUCCUAAAAAUCCACUUACAACCAACAAUAUUUUGUUACGAUUCAUAAGAGACCAGCUCCCAAGUAUCAUGUGAGGCAAGAGCUUGAAGUUCUUCACUCAUGGCAUCUCUUCAUUCUUUGUGUUUUAAGGCUCGAAGGGAUAGGAUGCUUGGUGGCAAUGAGAGUGAAAACUUUCUUGGGUUUAAGGAUGUUGUUUUUGAAUCGAGUUUGCAUAGGAUGGUAGGAAAGUGGAUUGGUCUUAGUGAAGAGAGCACUGGUGAAGGGUUCACUACUCGGGAUGGAGCUUGGUAGUGUUUUGGUGGUGGUCGGUGAGAAAGAGAGGUCAACCAUAAGGGGGAUAGUUAGAUGUUGCAUGGAGUCAUGGGUGACAUGAGAUGAGAAUGGAGAAAUGGGUUGAGGAUGCGAGGGUUGUGGUGUUGAUAGGAGAGAUUCACGAGAUGGAGAUGAUGAAUGGAGAGGCGGGUUUAGUAGGUGAGUAUGAGACAGAGUGACUGGCAGAAUGGGAUGGAUUGAAUGUUAAUGGUGUGAUAAUAGGAAUCCUGACUCGCUAGAAUGAAUGCACAUCUUGUGUGGGGAAUUGAUUUAUGGAAUAAAUAAGGAAUGAAGGUGGCAGUGUCCAGUGUCCAGAGUAGGCAGCAUUGAGUAAAAGAAUGGAGUGUUCAAAAUGGGAACAACAUGUGGUAUGGAGAAGAAUGUGGGAUUAGUUUGCUGUGGCAACAAAAAGGAAGAGUAAGUUGGAGGUAGGUGAGUCUAAAUAGGAACGGAGGGAAUAGGUGUGGUAGUUUCUUUAGUCAACAAUUUUGGGGCGAAUGAUUUGGGUCUGAUUAUGGGAUGAACAUGUGGCAAAUUGAGAGAUGUAGGGUUAGUGAUAUGGGAUGGUGAAAAGGGAUGGUGUGGAGGUGAGAAUAAGUUGACUGAAGUGGGAAUAUUUAGGCUGCAUAAGGAGGGUUCCAUAAUGGGUUGGAAAGGUUGUGUAGAGAGGAGUGUUGAGUUGAUACCUUGUGACACUAAAAAAGGAAGAGAGGAAGCUGUUAGAGGAGUAGGAGAAUUUUCCUAGUUAAUGAGGGUUGGAAUUUUCAAGAUGAGUUGAGGUGGAAAGUGAGUCAAGGGGCUGUGAAAUGGGGGACCAACAAGAGAGAGUAUGGGAAUUAAUUUUAUCGUGCUUGGUAAAUAUAGAUCGAGAUAGAUAUGAUGUCUCAUCAAAUUGAACAUGCCUAGAAAUAUAAAAGUUGUGAUCUAUAAGCUCAAAAUAAAUGUAAGAGUUAUGAAUAUGAGAGUUACCUAAGAAUAGACAAGCUUUUGAACAUUGUUCAAUUUUGUGAGAGGUAUAUGGGCAGAUCCAAGGGUAACAUAAACACCCAAUUAUUUUUAAUUUUGAAUGGUUAGGCUUAGAGUGGAAGAGGCAUUCAAAUGGAGAUUUAUUCUCAAGAUUAGGCAUAGGAAAUCUAAUAAAGAGAUAAAUGGCAAUUUUAAAACUAAGAGACCAAAGUCGUAAAAGCAAGAAUAUCGGAUGAAGGAGGGUAAGUCCUGAUUAGAUAAUAUGUUGAAAACGAUGUUCAAUGAAGGUGAUGUGUUGAGUUGUGUACAAAUGUGAGAUAAGAUUUAGAUCCCAUGAUUUUCGAACACAGAUUUGAAGCCUUGGUCUUCUCUCCCACCAUUAGAGUAAAUGGUAGUAAUAGAAGAUCUAAAGUUUUUUUGACCCAAACUUUACCCAUUGUGGAUGAUAUUUAGUUUGGUAGCAAUAUCAUUACCCUUGAUAAAGAUGAGAGCUACAGUACUGUAGUGUGACCUUAUUUUUGAAAUAAAAGGGAAGCAAAGAAAAUGCCUUUGAUCAAAAUAAUCUUGACCCAAACAAACAAUGAAAACAAGUCUUAAGCUAGUAUCCUAUGGAAAUUUGAAAUGAUACUAGUCAUAUAAUCAAGAUAUGUCUAGAACACACUCACCUUUUGUGAUUAACAAAUCUGGAAGUAUCAAUGACUUUGAAAUAUAUACGUAUUUGUAUGAAAUUUAAUUAUCCACAUGACAUGUACUUGUUAAUAGCAUUAUUGCAUAUUAUUCAAUGACACAUCAAUCUAAUGAUUUCCUAAGAUAUUCAAAGCUUAUCACCUCAAGAGGCUUUGUUAAAAUGCCAGCUAAUUAUUCAAUUGAAUACCAGCUAAUUAUUCAAUUGAAUAAGCUUCUAGAGUUUCUCUAAGUCUCCCCCUCUUCUAUUUUAUCCUAUUACUCAAAAUGAACUGAUGAACAUUUGAUUAUUAGUGUUUAAGAGUCAUAACUAACUCUUACAAGAGCAAUUUAGAGGCAAAACCUUUUCUUUCAAUUGAAGAAAUUCAAACUGCGUCAACCUUGGCCACUGGGAUUACUUGUCCUACUAGCGUAAUCCCAUUGUAUUAGCUGUGCAGGUGUGCCUAAGAAAAUGAAUUCCAUAAUAUAUUGAUGUGCUGGUACCACAGCUUCCAUGACGCGGGUAGGGCAAGGCUAAGACAAAACAAUAGUCUUUAGAAUAAUUUACAUUUGCUAAGUAACACCUAUUGUUUUUGGUGCAUGACUUACUGCUGAAAAAUAGCUUCUUUGGUUGAAGUAGCAUUAGCUGCACACACUUGUGCUGGCUGUGCAAGCUUCACUAGAAGUUACCUCUCUACUUUAUACUAUACUGGUUAUGCGAGUACCCAUGUGGUAGUUACGGUUCUACCAGAAAGCAAUGUUUGAAACUCUUUUUGAACAUAUUAACCUAUGCUCUCUCAACCUAACACAACCCUAUGUUUCUCUAGACUUUAGGAAUCCUACAAUGAUCAUGGAAAACACUUUAUACAGUCUCUAAGGAAAUGCAAUCCAAUAUUCUGUAAGCUUGAGAUAAAACCAUCACCUUCUUUACCUUUGGUGUUUAGUAUGAGCUUGUUCUUCACCAAUCUUGAUCUCACUGCAUGGAUGAUCGACUUUGUGAUUGGUAAAACAUUUUGGUGAAAUACCUUAGCUAUUUAUUACACUAGAAAUGUCAUGAAAUUCACCAAUAUUCAAAUGUUCUGUUUAUGGUUUCUUUUUUUGAUAAUUUUGUGACAAAACAUACAUCACAAAGAAGAAAAAAAAAUGAUUAGGAUGUCAAGAAAUAGAACAAAUCAACCAUAUGCUUCUGAUCAAUAUUGAACCUGGCUACACAUUACCACUCAAAAACACUCAUUAAUAGUUUCAGACAUAUACAAGGCACACCAUUAUGUAAAUGCAAGCUAAGGUGCAUUUCCUCUUUCUGACACUUCUCAAAACAAUUUUUCUGUCCCAUUUUCUGGUAUAACACACAUUCUUCUCCUAUCCAUAUGUGCAUACAUCCCAUGUCAACUAAUGUUAGCAGAUUAGAUUAGAUUUGUUAUAGAAUUUGAAUUGGUCAAGCUAUUUGAAUUUACUUUUAUUUUUUUAUUUUUUUUGUUAUUUCAGAUUAUGUAGGAUUAGGAGUUUUAUGUUUUAAAUUCAAAUAAGGGUAGAUUGUUAUCUGUAACAAUUCUGCCAUGAUCCUAGGAGUAAUUUCAGGACUUUGUUGAUAACCCUUAGUCAUCCUAAGUCUAUUUAAAUGUAUUGCCUUCAAAUAAUAAAAAAUAAUGCAGAUUAGUUUUAGAUCUGGUUUCAUGGUAUUGGACCCAAGAUUAGUCGUCGAUAUCUCUUUCUAAAGACAACCAGGGAUGUAUUGGAUGCUGCCCAACAAACGUACUUCAAUCUUGGCAACGUGUCACAAUUGUUCGAAAUUCAGUCCAAAUUAAAGGAGAUCAAGCAAGACACCCAAUUGAUUACUCAGUAUUUCACUAACCUGGAGGAUAAGUGGCAAGAAUUGGAUUUGUUUUUUGACGAAAACUCAGUGUGUGCAACCUGUAGUGUGAAGUAGAGGCAGAAUCUUCAGAAAGAAUGGGUGUAUGAUUUUCUUAUUAGAUUAAAUCGAGAUCUUGAUGAAGUCCAAGAACGCGUUUUAAGUUGAGUUCCAUUCUGAACAAUUGAUGAAGCCUUUGCUGAAGUUCGUAGACGAGAAAAUCGUGGAAAAGUUAUGUUGUCUGAAGAAGGACCAUUGAGUGCUCCACCAACAGAAGGCUUGACCUUGAUGACCAGAAACAAAUUGCAACCAAGAAAGAACAACAAUGAUUCAAGGACACCACAUCAAGGAGAACAAAUGUGGUGUGAUCACUGCAGCCGCCAUGGACACAUCAGGGACAUAUGCUGGAAGAUUCAUGGAAAACCUGCAAAUUGGGUUCCCCAAAGAUAGACUGAAGGCCGAGGUUUUCAAGCUCAAUAAAACCAAUACAAGCAAGGAAUAGAUUCUUCAACACAACAUCAGUUUACAAAUUCAUUAGUUUCGUUCAGCAAGGAAUAGCUUGGGCAAUUCUAUUGUCUUCUCAAUCCAUCACCAGUCCCAUCUUUGUUAAAUUCUAAUCUAUGGUCAUGUUAUGUAGCACAAUCUGGUAACCACUCAGUCCUAACAUCUUUGGUUCACUCUACGAAACCUUAGAUCAUUGAUUUCGGUGCCUCUGACCAUAUGAUAGGUGGUUCUAAUUUUUUCCUAUCUUAUACUCCAUGUCCUAGUUUUACUAAAAUAAAAAUUGUAGAUGGAUCUUUAUCUUCUGUUGCUAGAAUAGGUUCAAUAAGAGUCUCGAAGGACUUAAUUCUUCACUCAGUCCUUCAUGUUCCUGCCUUAAAAUGCAAUAUGUUAUCCAUUAGUAAAAUCACUCGUGAUAAUAAUUGUUUCAUUCUUCAAUGUGUCAAUUUCAGAACCUAUCAUUGGGGAGGACGAUUAGCAGUGUUAGAAAUCAUGAGGGGCUUUAUUAUCUUGAGAACAUAGAGUAUGAGGGUCGGCAAGCUUUUGCAUCAAGGGUUGCAUCUGUUUUUGUUUCUAGUGAUAGGGAAGCAUCUGUUUCUAUUUCUAGUGAUAGGGAAAUAAUGUUAUGGCAUCAUCGACUUGGCCACCCUAAUUUUUUGUACUUAAAAUGUUUGUUACCUUUAUUGUUUAAAAAUGAAGAUUUUGUUUCUUUCAGUUGUGAUAUAUGCCAAUUUGCAAAACAUACUUGGGUACCAUUUUCUCCAAAACCCUAUAAACCUUCAAUGCCUUUUGCCUUAAUUCACAACGUUAUCUAGGGUUCAUCCAAAGUUACCACAAUGAAUGGAAAACGAUGGUUUGUGACAUUAAUUGAUAAUCAUACAAGACUCAUUUGGGUAUAUCUCCUUCGAGAUAAAUCAGAGACCAAUCAAGUGUUCCAAAAUUUCAACAAUAUGAUCCAAACUCAAUUUGGGAAAAAUAUUUGUCUUAUAGACUAACAAUGGGAGAGAAUAUUUUCAAUCUAUCUUGGGAGAUUAUUUAUUGCAUAAGGAAAUUGUUCACUAAAGCUCGUGCAUUGACACACCACAACAAAAUGGUUUCUUAGAAAGAAAAAAUAAACAUUUAUUGGAAGUGGCUAAUGCUCUUAUGUUUACAAUGAAUGUUCCCAAAUAUCUGUGGGGGGAUGCCAUUUUAACCACUGCAUUUCUGAUUAGCCGCCUACCUAGCCACACCUCGACCUUUAAAUCCCCACUAUCCAUGCUUACAAACAAAUUCCCACUUCUCAAUAUGCUUACAAAUACCCUUCCACUCAAAACAUUCAGACGCAUUGCAUUUGUCCACAUUCACUCUCAACACCGAACCAAACUUGAUCUUCGAGCCAUAGAAACAAUCUUUCUUGGCUAUUCUCCAACCUAAAAAGGGUACCGGUGUAACCGUCCCCAAACAAAGAAAAUGUUUGUCACUCGAAAUGUCACAUUUUUUGAAGAAAUCCCAUAUUAUUCACACACUUCUCUUCAGGGGGGAAUCAAGACAGAUAAGUUUCUGUGUGGGAUUGGGAUACUAUUGUUUUACCUAUAUUUGAGAUUCUAUCGCAACCUAUUGUUAUCCCAUUACUCGAGACUUUGGCUACUUCGGCCGUCAUACUCGAGCUUACCUCAUCUGAAACCUCACAACCAAUUGAAACCUUGUCACAACAUUCACUUGCAUACCAAUCCCAUAAACAAGGGGAUAUCCAACCAUACCAAAUCAAUAAAAGCUAUGGGUUUACUCUUGGAAAAAGAGUUCUCAAGGGAAUAAGCCACUUAUAAGCAAUGUGCAUUAUCCAAAAUCUGAACAUGAGUUAGGAAGUGGUUCCUCAUCCUUAGCUAAUCCUGAAACCAUUUCUGAUAGACUAGAUGAACCUAUUGCACUUAGAAAAGAUGUUAGGUCAUGUACACACCAUCCUAUUUCUAAAUUUGUGUCAUAUAAUAAUCUAUCUCCAUAGUUUCAUGCCUUUACCACAAAUCUUUCUAGAAUUGAUGUUCCUAGGACAAUAGAAGAUGCUCUAGCUAUUCCCGAAUGGAAAAAUGUUGUUCUUAAAGAGAUGCGAGCUCUUGAGAAGAAUGAUACAUGGAGUUUGGUGAAAUUACCACAAGGCAAGAGUGUGGUUGGAUGCAAAUGGGUGUUCACUAUUAAGGUAAAACCAAAUGGCUCAAUCGAGAGUACAAAACAUGAUUGGUUGCAAAAGGUUUCAUACAAACAUAUGGACUUAACUAUACUGAGACAUGUGCUCCCAUUGCAAAGCUCAACACAAUUCAUGUCCUAUUAUCACUAGCAGCAAAUUUAGACUAGCCAUUGUAUUAACUCGACAUGAAGAAUGCAUUCUUAAAUGGAGAACUGGAGGAAGAAGUGUAUAUGAGCCUACAACUCAACUUUGAAGAAGAUAAAAAGGGCCAAAAUGGUAUGCAAACUGAAGAAGUCUUUAUAUGGUCUUAAACAAUCUUUGUGUGCAUGAUUCGAAAGAUUCUCAAAAGUGAUUAAGAGUAACGGAUAUUCACAAGGGCAAAUUGAUAGGACUAAACAUGUGGAGGUUGAUACACAUUUCAUCACGAAAAACUUGAGAAAUGAGUAAUCAGCAUAAAGUACAUUCCUAUAGACCAACGGGUUGUUUACAUACUCACAAAAAGACUUCAUGGACCAGCAUUCAACUUUCUAACAAGCAAGCUUGGACUCAUUGACAUCUACGACCAAGCUUGAGGAGGAGUGUCGGUGGAUUAGAUUAGAUUUGUUAGAGAAUUUGAUUAGUCAAGCUAUUUGAAUUUACUUAUGUUUUUCUUUUUUUCUUUUUUUUUUCUUUUUUUGUUAUUUCAGAUUAUGUAGGAUUAGGAGUUUUAUGUUUCAAAUUCAAAUAAGGGUAAAUUGUUAUCUAUAACAAUUGUGUCGUGAUCCUAGGAGUAAUUACAAGACUUGGUUGAUAACCCUAUGUUGACCUAAGUCUAUUUAAAUGUAUAGCCUUGAAAUAAAAAAAAUAAUGCAUAUUAGUUUUAGAUCUGCUUUCAACUAAUAACCAAGAUCAUGUAAAGUUUCUUUCCCAUUCUUUGGCCUAUUUAGUAUGUGUAGCAUACAAAACUCAUCUCCUUUAAAUUGAACUAAUGCUAGUUAAAACUCUCCCCUUAGCAUCGCUUGUAAUAUUAGUCAUUGGGUGAUUUUUGUUCACUCUUGAUGUAGUCUCUUAGAGAAUUAAAUGUAGAUAAAAAGACUUUAAAAUGGGGUUAAAAAAUAGAGGAAAACAUCAAAAGCAAGAUUACAUCAAAAGAGAAUGGACAUCUACUUUAAUUAAAGCUAAAACAUGAAGAAAUCUAAACCAUAGAAAAGAACAAAGAGGCCUCCCAAAGGAGAAGAGAAAAUCUCCCAACUAUAAAAUGGGGUAUGGUUACCUUAGCUUGGGGGUACAUGACGGCAUCCUAUGGAACCCCCAAAGAUCCAAGUGCUAGGAGGAAAGUGCUAAAAAAAGUGGGCUUGGGCAUCUGGCAAAAAGGGCACCACGCUUGGAUGGCAUGGGCCAUGGGGCCCAACUUGGUGCCCAAAGUCGCCGUAAAAUUUGGGGAGGCUGCCAGAUUGGGCACCAUCCUUUUGUGCACUGUGGGCCAUAGGCCAGAGUCAAAACGAUAGUGUGCAUUCUUCCCCUGUUUCAUGCACUUAGCGUUCCUCUUGCUGUAUUCUUGUGCUUUGGUUGUCUCAGGAGGCUCCAUUAUGUGCACUUAUUCACUCAAAUAGAUGCAACACAUAGAAAACUAGAGGAAAACAUAGGAAAACCAAGGUUAUGCGGGGCAAAGCAAAAAUGGUGAUUGGAGAAUGCACUUUAUGUCAAUAUCACACUUAAAAUGCAAUUUCUAGUCUCAUUUCUGACCAAUAUUUGCAUCAAUCACCUCAUUAUUAUUAUUAUUUUUUAUUUUUUGCUUUAGGUAUACUUUGUUCAAAUCUUUAUUUUGGAUACUCAUUGGUGUAAUUUUAGAAGACAGUAGUGAUAAUUGGAUUUGGUUCCAGACUUCAUCAGACUGACACAUAAAUGUAACCUGUAUGAAUACAUGACCAAAUCUUAUGUUUUAAGUGCUUUUUUUUUAUUUGGUUCCAUAUUUUGAGGAUAUGAAUGUUUAUGCUUUAACUAGUGUGAUUCAGCUAUAUGUUGAGUUCUCCAUGCUGUGAUUAAUUACUACUUUGGCAAACCAUUCUUGCACUAGUGCUGUUAACUUAAUUUACAAUAUUUUGUAACUAAUGAAUCAUAAUUGUUCAUCUGAGUUUCUAUUUUGAACUUUUGUUGAUGUUCUGAGUUGUAUACUGCUGAUAACACAGGAAUGACUGAUCUAGCUGGUGGGGCUGCAGGUGAGAUAUAUAAAGAUGGGAAACGCGUAGCGACUUUUGCCUUUAGCAAUAUUCUUUAUCUGAGGGAUCUGAGCAGAAACUCUAAAAAGUUAACUCAGGAAGCCACGAAUCUCAAGGAAACGAGGAAAUACCUAGAAAUAAGAAGAUUUAAGACACAGUCAGGCAUAAGAGAUUGGAUUGCUACGGCUUCGAUUAUUUUAAGGCAAGUGGAACGCCUAGAAACUAAAUACAACAAUGAAAAGAAGCAUCGAUGGAAAUUGUUUUCCCUUGCAAAUCUUAGCAAAGAGAUGGAAGUGAAGUGCCAAGAAGUUUGUAGUCAUAGGGAAAAGGGAGUCUUCAUGAAAGAAACAGCAGUCAUGGAAUUGCCAGAGCCUGUCCAAAGAAUACCUACACUCAAACUGGAAGAAAACUCGUCAUUGCACAAAGUUUUACAACAUGUACUGAGGUGUCUAGAGGAUAAAGAAGUAAGAAGAAUUGGUAUCUGGGGCAAGCUGGGAACUGGGAAAACCACAGUAUUGAAGAACUUGAAUAAUCAUGCAAAAGUUGCUGAAAUGUUUAAUGUGGUUAUCUAUGUAACUGUCUCAAAAAAGUGGAGUGAAAAAAGGGUACAAGAUGCAAUCCUAAGGCGGCUAAAAUUGGAUGUAGUAGGUAAUGCCAAUGUUAACGAAGCUGCUUGGCUAAUAUCCGAAGAUUUGAAGGAAAGGAAGUGUUUGAUUCUUUUGGAUGAAGUAACGGACAUGAUUGAUCUAAAUAGAAUAAUGGGAAUCGACGAGAACCCAGAUAGCAAGGUAGUGUUGGUGAGUAGAUAUGAUGACUUUUGUAAAUGUGUCAUGAAGGCUGAUGAGCUAGUUAAUGUGAAGCCAUUGUUACGUACUGAAGCUUGGAACAUGUUCCAGAAAAUAGUAGGCCCUUCCAUUUCUAACCCCUUAAUUGAACCACUGGCGAGGGGUGUGGUUAAUGAGUGUUAUGAGUUGCCACUGCUGAUAGACAGAGUGGCAAAAACCUUCAAAAAGAAUGGGGAGGAUUCUGUGCUUUGGGAUUAUGGAUUGGAACAGUUGAAAAGAUGGGACAGUAUCAAAAUCUAUGGCAAGGAUGAAGUGCUGGAACGCUUACAGAUUUGUUAUGAUGAUUUGGAAGAUGAUGAACAGAAGGUUUGCUUUUUGUAUGGUGCAUUGCAUCCCCAAGAAAGUGAGAUAUAUGUAGAUUACUUGUUAGAAUGUUGGAAAGCUGGAGGUUUUAUUAAACAUGCAAAUGAUUUCAGAAGUGCACGCAACAGAGGGCAUACGGUGCUGAAUGAGCUUAUCAAGGUAUCUUUGCUGGAGAGAAGUGCUAACAGGAAAUGUGUUAAGAUGAAUAAAAUGCUUCGGAAAAUGGCGCUUAAGAUCUCAUCAAAAAGAACAGAUUCCAAAUUUUUAGUGAAGCCACACGAGGGGUUAGAAGAUUUCUCAAAGAAGGAAGAAUGGGAACAAGCCCAUCGGAUUUCUUUGAUGAAUGACCAACUACGCACUUUACCAGAAACACUAGAUUGUCGCAAUCUGUUAACGUUGUUGCUUCAAAGAAAUAAGUGCUUGACUUCUAUUCCUGAGUUGUUCUUCAAAUCUAUGUGUCGUCUCCAAAUUCUAGAUCUCCAUGGCACUAACAUUGUAGUACUGCCUUCAUCCUUAUCCAACUUGAUUUACCUCAAAGGGCUCUAUUUAAAUUCCUGCUCUGAGUUGAAAGAAAUCCGAUCUAGUGUAGAAGCACUUGAGCAUCUUGAGGUGUUGGAUAUUCGAAAGACCAAACUUAAGUUACUUCAAAUUGGAAGUUUAGUAUGGUUGAAGUGUUUGCGAUUAUCAUUGUGUAAUUUUGAUGUGGCAAACUAUACUGAAGCACAAGUGUCAAGGUUUGAUUUGUUGGAGGAAUUGACUAUUGAUGUUGGUUCAUUGGAAGAAGGGUGGGACAAGAUUGUAGAUCCAGUAAUAAAGGAGAUAGUUAAGUUGAAAAAAUUGACCUUUCUUAGAUUUUGUUUCCCUCAAGUAGACUGCCUUGGCUUAUUUGUUGAAAAAAGCCCUGUGUGGGAGGAUCCCCGCUUGAUAUUUCAUUUUGCUGUUGGUUACCAUGACUCCGCCGUUGCUCAUGCUCUUGAGUCUAUCGAUAAUCCAAGCUACAAGAUCUUGAAGUUGGCCAAUGGUGAUGGUGUAAAUCCUAUAGUCAUGAAGGUGCUAACGAAAACCAAUGCAUUGGGACUAAUAGACUACAAAGGAGUUUCGAGUCUAUCGGAUUUUGGCAUCGAGAAUAUGAAUAUGAUAUUUGAUUGUUUGAUUGAAGGAUGCAGUGGAAUGAAGACCAUCACCUAUGGUAAUGGAACAUCAAAGGCUGUGCUAGAAUGGUUGAAAAAUUUGCACAUAACCAAUGUCCCAGAAUUGGAAAACAUUUGGCAGGGGCCUGUUCAUGCUGGAAGUUUGGCUCGAUUAACAACUGUGACAUUAAGUAAUUGCCCCAAGUUGAUGAAGAUAUUCUCUAAUGGUAUGAUUCAACAACUUAUUCAACUGACGCACUUGAGAGUUGAAGAAUGCCAUCAAAUUGAAGAGAUUAUCAUGGAAUUUGAGAAUACACAACUAGAAAACCAAGCACUUCCAAAGUUGGAGACCCUAAAACUCAUUCAUCUGCCACAACUAACAAGCAUUUGGGCUAAAGAUUCAUUAGAGUGGCCAUCUUUACAAGAAGUUGAGAUAUCUAAGUGUUUCAAGUUGAAGAGUUUACCUUUCAACAAGGUAAAUGCAACCAAAUUGAGAUCCAUUGAAGGGCAACAAUCAUGGUGGGAAGCACUAGAAUGGAAAGGUGAUGCCAUUAAACAAAGAUUACAACCUCUUUUCAUCCCCAACCAGCUCCUUUGAUUUCAUCUCUUAUGCGUUUUAUUGUAAAGCUAAUCAGGAUAGUUGCUGCUGCUGAGACAAAGUAAGUUUGUGUGCAGGAUUCAAAAACUCUGGCUUGCACUUGCUUGAGAUUUACUAUUUUUUUCUUGUAUUUGUUUGAGAUUUGAUACUUUGGGUUGUGUUUGUUUAAGAUUUGCUACUUCAUAUUGUAUUUGUGUAUGAUUGCUUGUUGUUUGGUUGUUGUAUUUCCAUAUAUCUUAUGUAAGGAUAAUAGAUUGAAAAUCUUAAGCUCUAUUUGGUUCUAGAAAAGUAUUAAAGAAAGAGGAAAAUGAUUUUCUCAUAUUUGGUUUUAAAUAAUUUUCUUUAUAUAGAGGAGAACAAAAAAAGUAAAAUGAGUUUAAAAUAGCAUAUGAAAAUAAUUUAUCGACUUUAAAUCUUUUUUUUUUUUUUUUCAGUUUUCGUCUCCAUUUUCUUUCUCUUCCAUUUUUUUUUCAAAAUUUUCAAGAACCAAAUAUAACCUUAGUCAUAACCGCUAAUAAUGAUUUUUCUUCUCAUAAGGUAGGACUGAACAAUUGUAGUAUUUGAUAUUUGUGGAGAAUUAUUCAUUUGAUACACAUAUUCUUUCUCUUGAUAUCAUAUAUGGUUUCUGAUUUUACUUGUUAUCUUAAUUUUUGGUAUUUGAAUUUGAUUUCUUCAUCUCAUUUAUUUUUAUUUCUUUGGGGAAAUGGUUUAGGAAUAUGAAUAUGAAGAUGUUCAAUUGCUUUACGGAUUUCUGCUAACUGAGUCAUCAUGUGGCCUAAGCCCAGCCCUUUUCAUGCCCAAGCCUGGCCCAAUCAUUGAAAUUUGGGCUUAGACAGAACUCAGACCCGCAAUGAUGGGCUUUUAAAAUAUAAAUGUUAUGCAACACCUUAUCUUUUAAUUACCUUUAUGUCUUAUAAAAAUAAUUAAUUCUAAAUUUCAACUCAAAGUUAAGUUGUCCAAAAAUCAUUAAAAAUAGGAAACAUUUUUUUAGACUUGAAAAAACGUUUGGUAUUAUUUUAUUUUUCGAAAACAGUUCUUUGAAAACUUGUUAUGGAAAUAAAAUAUUUUUUGAGAACAUAUUUUAAUUAUUUUUAAAUAUCUUUCCUUAUUUUUUGGGAUUUAUUUUAAAAAGUAAUUGUACAUAUAUGUAGAAUGGUCGGAAUAAAAUCAUUGGAAACAAAAGUUGUUUUGAAGAAAUUCAAAAACAUAAAAAGUAGUUUGAGAAUAGGUGGCAAGUGUGUUAAAAAAUAGUUCUAAAAAACAAUUUAAAAAAAAAAAAAAUUAUGAUAUUUUUAAAGUAAGUUUAUUUGAAAACCAAAAAUUUUUGUUUUCUAUGUUUUUAAAUAUGUUUUAAAGAUAUUUUUUAUAUGUAGUACUUUAAUUUUAAUUAUUUUUUAUAUUUAUAUAAUUUUAAAAAAAAAAAAUAUUUAGAAAAUAAAUGAAAACAAUUAAAGAUGUUCUCUAAAAAACACUGUUUUCUAUUUUUAAAAAUAAAAAAUAAAGUGUUUUUAGAAAAUAUAUUUUAAUUGUUUUUACUUGUUUAAAAAAUAAUUAUAAAGAAUAAUUAAAAAUAAAGUGUUAUGAAUAAAAAUUAUUUCUAAAAUAUAUUUAAAAACAUAGAAAAAAGGCUCAAAGUAUUUCAAGUUCCAAACAAAUUUUGUUUUGUAAAACAUUAGAAAAUGGUUUUUAAAAACUAUUCUCAAAGCUGCUUUUUAAAACUAUUUUUGAGAAUACUUCCAAAACAGACCUUAUUCUCCCUUCUUUCUUGCCCUAAAACAAGUAUAAAAAACUGUUCUUUUAAAGUUGUUUUUGAAAAUACUUCCCAAACAGACCUUAUCAUUCUCUCUUCUUUCUUGCCCAAAAAUGAGCGGCAGUUCCAUAAUAGCUCAAGCUUACCUUCAAGGAGUCACCAGGCUGACCUGAGCCUGGCACUCAAAACAAAAACCAAAUAUGAGACAACAUACUAAGAAUGCACUUGUGUUAGAAAUUUAGACACAGAUGAUACAAAUGCUGCUGGGAAUUGGUUUUUUGGGCUUUGAAAGUAAAAUGUUUUAAGGAAAAACCAGCCAAAAUGUGCAGCAGGCAUUCUGGACCACCCUCUUCAUUCUGGGGAAUUAAUGAUUCUGUUCAACCGGUUGUUCUUUCUAUUGUGAUUAUUACACAUGACACUUUCAAACAUGUCAAAUUCGUUAAUUUUUCGAUAGCAAUAGGUAGAUAUAUAUCCAUGAUUUUGGUCUUCAAUUUAUGAUUUCAGUCCCUUGAAAAUCAAAUACCUAAAGGUGAUGGAGUUCUCCGACUUUGGGUGCCAACCCAUGAACAAUUCACAACCUCCUAAAAGGAAAUUUGAAGUUGAACCAAUAGAAAGAGAGAUUGUGAUAAAGAUCUUAUUCGAGUAUGAAACAAGUCUAGGAUUUGCAUGACAAACAUUUUAUUGGAAAAAUAAGGGAACAAUUACUCUUAAAUGAUGGUUGUCUUGUUAGAAUAAUACAUUGAAUUUAGGGUGAUUCAGGUUCUUUGGUAACUUGGUAUUAACAAGAUUACAAACCAAGGUCGAAAACUAAUGUUUUUUCCGAACUAAAAAGACUAAAAAAAGCAAGCAACUAUUGGCAUAGUGACUUGGUCGAUCCAUCACCACAUAUAAUGCUUCUAGUUUCAUUGCACCCUUCAACUAAACAAACUAACAUGUUUGCCAUGUUGUGAAUGCCAAAAUCUGAUAGUGUUGAAACACCUUGUGGUUAAUUAAUCAGAAUGCAUAUGUCACCAUAAGUACCUCUGCGAUUACAGGAUGCCUCCCUUCACCAUUGACCAAUUCAAGCAAUUGAAGCUUGGAUAAUCAGUAGACUCUAGAAAGUAAGAGGAGGUUGAGUCCUGGUGACCAACAGAAAAUUGAAAUGAGAAGUGUGAGCUCUUCUUCCUUGCUGGGCUUCCAUGGACAAACAAUACAAGGAAGUCCACCGUAGGGAAGCAAAAUUGAAGGGAAGUUAAUUUUUGCAAGGUAGCCACCUCCUCCGUAACAAUCUUUAAAACUUGACAAGGUUGAAAUAUUUAUAUGCAUCUUCAAACUCAUUUACAUUGCAAGUGGGUUCUGACUGGAAUCCUCUAUUCCAAUAGGAAAUUUUUGAAAUGAGAUAUCCGCUGUUGGGGCCUCUAUUUCCUGCAUGGCUGCAAAGACAAAAGGAUUUGAUGGGUCUAGACAUAUCUAUUGAGGCCUCGCGUCCCUGGUGAUCUACGUAGUUGCCAAAUGGAUGGACGCACGAUCUCAACCAAUAUAGGUUCUUGAUUCAGUCCUUCUACCUGCAAAAGGCGUUCGGACAGGGUGUCCGGACGCACCCUCCGAUGGUUUUGUCAGCCAUGGUUAGAGAGAGAUAAAUCAGUUGGCCUUUUACUAGGUACCUCAAGCUUACCUUCCUCUUUGUGUGAAGGUUCGUAUAUAUAGUAUCAGAAGCUUUGUUCUCCUCUUUAAUGGUGGGGAGAUAUUUUGUGUUGUCAUGAUGACACUAGGUGGUGGCAGGCCAUCAUCACCCUACGGGCGGCUGACAGAGAUCGUGGUAGGUGAUGCAGUUGUCAGAGAUCGUGGUAGGUGAUCGUGGGAAGUGACUUGUUGUCACUUCAUCUUGUCCUUUCACUCUGCAGGUGGCGGAACGUGGGCCAUGACAGGCUGUUGUGAUAACGUGCAAGACUUGCUUACUUCAGUCAAUGAUCUGGGCAACGUAUCCGGAUGGCCUGUGUUUAGUCGUCCGGGUGCAUUUGUGGAAGUCGUCAGGAUGUCAUGCUUAUGAGUGUCGUGUGCUUCUCCUUGAGGUAGUCCGGAUAGGAGAAGCGCGCCACGUGUACUCUUGGGGAAAUCCGGAUGGGGUUGACCCCGGAUGAGAAUGUGUGCCACGUGUUAUCAGGGGGAGGGGUCCCUACAAUAUCCAGAGCAGGAAUCAAAGAUGCCAUCCCAUCUUGGUUCUGGAGUCUGAAUUUUGACUACAUGAAUCUAGCCUACAACCUGAUGUAUGGCACUGUUCCAAGCUUAACAGCUGCAUAUCAGAUCCAUCUUGGUUCAAACAAAUUCAGUGGCCCACUGCCCCGUAUCUCUUCCAAGACAUUUUCAUUAGAUCUUUCCCGUAACUCAUUUAAUGGAUCCCUUUCACCCAUCUUGUGUCAACAGAACAAUGAAGUGAACACUUUGAGGAGAACUUUCCGGAAACAUUCACUCAUUUAAUGGACCUCCCCGGAAACAUUCUAUCAGGAGAACUUCCUGACUGUUGGGCGUCCUGGACACUACUCAUGGUGUUGAGAUCAAGAAAUAAUAAUCUGACUGGACAUCUACCGAGCUCAAUGGGUUCCCUACUUUGGCUAAGAUCAUUGCACUUGCGCAACAACAGUCUCUCUGAUACUUUACCGUGUUCCAUGCAAGGUUGCGAAAGUUUAACAGUUGUAGACCUCAGUGAGAAUGAAUUCUCUAGAAGCAUAACGAUGUGAGUGGGGAAGAAUCUGUCCAGUCUUAUGGUUCUUGUCCUACGAUCAAAUAAAUUUACUGGGAGUAUUCCUAUGGAAUUCUGUCACCUCGAGUCCCUUCAAGUCUUAGACCUUGCAAACAACAUCACUGGUUGUAAAGAGAACAGAAUAUGAGUACAGUGGUUCUCUUCCCCUUCUAACUGGAAUAGGCCUCUCAUGCAACAACUUGUCAGGGGAGAUACCAAAAGAACUUACCAGUCUCCAAGGUUUGAUGUUCUUGAACCUCUCUGUAAAUCAUCUUGAAGGACAACUUCCUAUGGAGAUCAGCGCCAUGACAUCGUUGGGGUCCCUUGAUAUCUCCAGGAACAAACUUUCGGGUGUUAUUCCACAAAUCCUUGCAGGUAUAUCAUUGUUGAGCCAUUUAUAUGUGUCGUACAGCAACUUCUCAGGCAGAAUUCCAUCAGGCACUCAAAUCCAAGGCUUUAAUUCGAGCUGUUUUAUUGGUAAUCUUGAGCUCUGUGGGCCUCCUCUUACAGAGACUUGUGUUGGAGAUGAUCUCCCAGAGGUUCCAAUUCCAGGGCCUGCUGAUGAAGAGGACAAUGAUGAUUGGAUCGAAAUGAAGUGGUUCUAUAUGAGCAUGCCACUGGGGUUUGUGGUUGGUUCUUGGGCUGUUUUGGUUCCAUUGGCAAUCAAAAAGGCAUGGAGGGAUGCCUUUUUCCAGUUCUUGGAUAACAUGAAAUGCAAACUGUUUGGCUGCUCUCAGUAUGGAGAGCAGUAUUUGUGUUCCUUGAAUACAAAUAUAAGCGUCCUUUUGGCUGUAGGCUCAUCACACACGCCUAACCAUUCAUUGAUGUUUCAUGUGAGCUCCUUUUGGUUGCCGAGAAAACCUAGUCCAAUGGGACAAAGUAUGCUGGGAAAGUGCGUUAUUCAUGGUAACUUCAAGGAGAGUCCAGAUCAACCCUUAGGGCCACUAAGAGAAGAGCAGGAGAAUCAAGGGAAUUAAGAAUGAAGUGUUUUUAAGGAAGUAGUAGAUUGAAAGGAAGAUCGAUUAUCUUGCUCUUGGAUUUAUUGACCUAUGUGAAAGAGGGAGAUGACCAUGUAAUAAACACACAAUACCUUCAUAAACUGAAAAAAAUCUGUUUUUCAUAUUUAAAUUCUCAAAGAGAAUUUCAUUCCUAAAAACAAUUAAGAAUUAUUUUUAAAAUUAUUAUAAAAAACUAUUGUUUGAAAAAUAUUUUAGAAAGCAUUGUUAAACAGACCCCUAGUUGUUGAUUUUCUAUAAACACCAAAAGGACAAGCAAUUAUCCACAAACAUUAGACACAAUUCAUCACUUCAAUUAAAUAGCCAAAAAGUAUCAAGGCUGAAGGACUUACAGGGGACAGUUAUAAACGGGAAGAAUACCUAGGACAUGUCCAAACACAAGACUCCUAAAGACUAAGCUAUGAGGAGGAAAAAAAACCCCAAAAUCAUGUCAAUAGAACAGAAGAGCAAAAUUGCAUACUUAAAAUACUUUACACAAUUUAGAGGAGAGAACUCAGUACUCCCAUUUCCUAUUCUCCAUGCCAUCAGGAGGGCUUCCCUCAACCUUCUUCGAUCGAACUUCCUUCCAGUUUGUCCACAGCACUGUCCUGUUUUACUCCACAAGUUAAAAAAUAGCCCCAAGAAAAACAAUGUCACCUUUGAAUCCAUUAAUUUGCUAAUUUCCCUUUUAUAAUCCCAUACUCAAUUAGAAUGAUAUCCUAUGUAACUCCGGUUUUGAAGUCUUACAAAAGAUUUUUGCAUGGCCAUUCUUGUGUCUUCAUCUGCAUCUGGGUAAAUGUCCCGGAAAAAUCUGUUCAGAGCUGCAUCUCCAUCCAGCUUUUCUUCUUUCUCCUGAAAUUCAAACCACCAAAGAGUUGAUCGCCAUAUAAAAUUCCGAUAAUGAAAACCAAAGUAACAGCAUCUAGACUGCAGGCAAACCUCCUUCUUGACUUGUGCUUCCAGCUUAUCCCAAUCUACCAUUUUAGUCUUAGAGGACGGGUAAGUGGGCCUUUGAGAUGCAACACCUGCAACUAGAAAAAGGAAAUAAGCUUAUUAGCAUGAAAAGAAACUUUAUGCUGAAAAAUGGUAAUAGGCUCAUGAUUUUCAAGCAAACAAAUGCUCUGUAGGUAAACAUAUUAAUAAUCGAUCACUCAAUGUCCUCUGUUCUUCCAAAAUGUUACAAUCUUGGAGAAGCAUCAACAGAUUGAUAUGAAAGCAAAAGAAAUACCAAAUCUAUUGUUGAGUUUGCCACGUUGAGUUUUGUCACUGCUGCACAUAUCACACAGCAAUUCUUUUAUGUGCUCUUCUCCAAUUGUAACACUAUAUAAAAACAAAAAUUGUAUUUUGAGGAUGCUGUUUAUUAGUGAUAGCAGUAAGUGAAGACUGCAACCUCAAAACUGCAUUAUGAGGAAGCAGCCUACCCUUGCUAGCAAUCAAGUGAAGACUGAUGAUCCAGAAGUUGUGAAACAGAUGAUCCUGGAUGUGAGCUUAACAAGGAUGGACACACAAGUAUAAGAACAUCCUCACUAAAUGCAUUGGAUAGAUAUCAUGUCCAAUGGGUUUUUAUUUCCAUGUAGAUAUAGAAUAGUAUUUUCAGGCUUAUAUCGAGGAGCAGUAUGACACUGGUAGUGCAAAUAACAGAGAAAGAAAAUAUAAAGUUUUUCUUUUCUUCAAGUAUGGCAUGAUUUGUAUCAUGUAUGAGCUGUGAAUAGAAUAAAUAAAAUUUAGAUCACCUCUACCUUUGAAGAGAAAAAGAAUGAAAAAACAACCUGACUGUUGAGAUGGAUUUCUCUCUUGCUUGGGAGCUAGAAGCUGAUUGCCAAUUUCCACUGAGUCAUCAAAUCAGCAUCUGAUUUAAUGGGGACAAAUAUAGAAUCCAGCUUAUGUGUUAGAACUGAUGUACGCCACUUCAAUGCCCUCCACCAGUCGGCCUCUCCUAUAAUCACCUUCAAAUUAUUACUAGAAACUUCCAUGAUAGAAAGAGCUUCAAUUCUUGGGCAAUUAUAGAAGCUCAUCCAUUCCAAGUCUGGUGCAAUGUGUAGACCACUAGAAAUGCUGCCCAAUUUAGGUAAGUAAUGAAGUGGUAUCUUCUUCAACUUUGGAAGGUAUGUUUUGAGCAGCGUAUGUUCUGCAGGGACUUCACGAGUCACCAAGCUGUUUAUUUUGGGGCAGUUUUCAACCACAAGCUCCUCUAAAAGGUCGAGAUUUUCAAGCAAAGCCAAAGUAAAAGUGGUCUUCAAUUGGGGGCAUGCAUACAAUUCCAGAGACUUGAGACUGGAUAGACAACCCUUCCUGAUGGCCCCUUCCAUAUACUGCCUAAAUUCUUCAUGUAGUGAAGCCUCAAGUAUCAGAGUGAUCCAAGUAUGAUUUCUUGAUGAACGUCUCCAUCGUCUUUCCUUGUCUAUAAGUUUCUGCUCUAUCCACAAGGGUUUGAAUCUUGCUACAUUGCCCCAUUACACAAAAUUAUAGUUUCAUUAUGUGAGUGUUUAGCUAGGUUGAUAAUUCCGGACAAAAUACUUAAGUGUCCCCUAACUCGGCUUUCCAAUUCCUAUUUGGACUACUUGACUUUGAAGACUAAAACUUUGCUAAAAGGCCAAGGUAUGUAGCCGAGUGUGUGGUGAUUGGAUGUGAAUCAACCCAGUUUUUAAUCUUUAAAUGUGUUAGAAAGUUGGGAGAAAUGGUUUUUGGUGAAAGGCUUUCAUUCCCCUGUUUCUGGAUCGAUCCAAGUAUAGGGGUGGAUUGAUCCAACUAAUUUUUUUUUAGAUCAAAUCUCAACCAUUAGAUUAAGGGUUUCUUUUUACACUUUAAAAAGCAAUCUUCUCUCAUUUUUCUGAGAUGUGACUGUAGAAAAUGUGGAGAGAGCAGCCACACUCCUUGCAUUCUUCAUUUUCUCAUUUUGUUUUCCUAAUUUGGGGUUUUUGAUUGCAAAGAAAAUCCACUUCUCUUAAUGUUUUCCAAACUAGUUUUUAAUGGAUUUUCUUGAGCAAUAAAUGGGUUGAUUCAUUCCUUCAUUCACAUCUCAAUCUCUCAUUCUACUUGGGUUUGGGUACAUGCCCAUUUUCUUUUUGUGUGGAUUCAAGAAGAGGCCGGGAUUGAGCUUGGUGCGGACUCCAAGUGUGCUCCGAAAGAAGAAGGUGAGAAGCUGAAAAUGAAGGUACUAGUCAAGUAGUCCGGGAAGGAUUGGUUGGCUUGAUUUAGGUAAAACCUUGUACUCAGUUUUUAUUCUUCAUAGUGGAGUUUUUCAAUCGAUGAUAGGCCUGUGGUUUUUGAUAUUCGGAGGUUUUCCAUGUUAAAAAUCUGAUGUUCAUUGUCUCUUUCUCUCACUCUACAUUUUGAUUUAUUUUCUGUUUUUGAUAUCAUUGAUUACUUAGGCAUACUUGUUGAAUGGAAGAAAUAUGAAGUGAUUUAAGUGUGAUUAUCCAUUGAAUGUCUUUAAUAAUUCUUCUGUUCACUUUGUUUAAUGAGAUCAUGGAAUCAAUUGUUAUGAGUUGAGGAGAUAAUUGUUCUUUUGAUUUAUUUUUGAGGAGUGUUGAAGCAUUUGCAUGUGUUUUGCAUUGAUAAAUUGUUGAGAGAGUGUUGAUGCAUAUAUUCUUACUUGUGGAUGUUAUGCUUUGUUGAAAAAUUGUUGGAAGAAAAGUUUCUUGACAUUGAGAUAGUCUAAAUGUUUGUUGGGAGAAUUUUUAAAUUGUUCUAGAACACCUAUUCACCCCCCCCCCCCCUCCUCUAGGUGUAGUCCAUUAUUGAGAUUCACAUUUUCGCAUUAUAUUUUCAAUCCCAAAGACAGCUUGGUAAGAGUUAAAUGGCGUUCCAAAAGCAGACCGGUAGCAUGCUGGAGUACCUUCUCAAUUUCCGUUGGGACACUAUUACCAUUGACAUACUUCAAGCCUUUUUUUUGCUGUUCAAAUUUAUUUGCAAUUUCUGGUGGUAGUCGAGAUACAAAGUGUUUGUGAUGCCUGCCAAUAGUAAACCUGAAAUUCAUCAAUAAGAGGUUUAUCACUGAUGUUCCACUCCUCAUGAACUCAUUCACAAGUAUAACCUCUGGCAAGUACAGUUUAAGAGUCUCAAUGUGUUUGAAGCUGUGAACUUCCUUAACAAUAUCUUCCACGAUCACAUCCCAUCACUGAUCAUCUGGAUUCACAUGUAUGCCUAAUUCUUCCAAUUGAGUGAGUUCUGAUAUUGUGUUCGGGGGAAUCACUGUGUCCAACGACUGGUCAUUUUGUCCAGUGUGGUUACUGUACCCAUAGAAGGACACUUUCAGGCACUUGAGGUUGGUCAGUCUUCUGAUAUUCACAGGUAGGUUUAUAAUUUCGGUCCCUUCAAGAUCGAGCACCUCAAGAUUUCUAAGUUCUCCAACAUCAAGUGGUAACUCCAUGAGAAGUUGACAUCCUCUUGGAAGGAAAAUUCUGAGUUGGACCAAUUUAAAAAGAGAUGGUGGUAACAAUCUGAUUCCAGUGUUGGACAAGUCUAAGAUUUGUAGGACAGGCAUGCCUUCAAAGAACAUCGGAUGAAUAACUCUCAGACCAUUAUUGGCUUAUAAGAACAGUGCCCUGAGUUGAGGGCAAUCUGGACUUUUUGGUAGCUCAGAUAGUUUAUUGUUCAUCAAGUGCACCUCACUGGCUUUUUCCCAUUCCUCAUCUCUUGGUGGCUCGGUUAAUCCCUUUCCACCUAGCCAAAGAUAUAGUGACUCUCUUUCAAGUUCUAACAAAUUUAGCAAGACCUCAUGGAUUUCAUCCCGCAUUUUGACAAGAACAGAAUGUUCAUUCCAAGAACUCUCGAACAAGAAGGCGUCAAGAAGAUCCCGAACCAUCUCUUCUCCUUCAUCCACUUUUCUAAUUACGCUGCCUGUAAUCCACCUGCCAAUCAAAUCUACUUUCUCUAACUCUGUCCAGCGUCCCAUGUGUACAAAGAACUUCAAACAAUACAUUGCUGAGCCCAAACGCCCACAGAUGAAUGCUAAGGAAUUAAAUAAGACAUCGUUGUCUCUCAGCCAAGAAGUGGGUUGCAAGGCCAGUGCAUGAGAUGCAUAUUCCCAUGUGUGAACCUCAUUGACAUCUCUCAAGGCUCUAGCCAUUAGAACAAUGGCAAGCAAAUGACCCUCGCACUCUUUGACCGCACUCAUUGCUAGGCAUUGGAUGCCUGAAGAAUGCACAACAUUGCCAACAUCCAAGUUAACAGAUGAUCCUCCAACCUAAUCUCCAAAUCCACUUCUGUGUGAUUAAUUCUCCUUCCCAUAGAGCUAAUUGUACAAACCAUCUUUUGAAACGUCUGAGUUCCACGAAUUGGUCCCCACUUCGUUCGGAUUCGUUGAUGAAGCGACGUCAACACCAUCAAGAAGGAUCAAAAAGUUUUUGAUUUUCAGCAAUCCAUCCACUUCCUGUCUGCUGGAUGUUGAGAGACCCAGUUCUGUUGCAAUGCCAUCUUCAAUAUCUCCAGUAGUCUUACAAGACGAAGCCUUAACGUGAAUGACAAGAUCAAACAUUCCCUUUUCUUGCUGUGGAUUCUUCAAUCUUGACAUGAGGAACGCUGCAUUAUCUAUGCCGAAGAUAUAAAUCCUCUGAAAUUCUGGAGUUUCUAUAUCUUGUAUAAUUUGGCGAAUAGCAAAAUCAAUAGCCAAACUGUACACUUUUUGUAGUAGGUGUUCUACCCCAUAUAGUCGUCCUUUGCAUCUCCUCAAUGAUGUGUGGUGGAACAUAAGCUUCAAUAUCGUGGAUUGAAUGAGCAAGCAGUAGACUGAUUCUAGAAAGAGCUCUGAAACAUUGAUUACUUUCUCCCUGUAAACUGCUUCUCUUAGUUUCUGAUUAAUCGCCAAAACAUCAAGAAUCCAACCUGUGACUUUCUUGUAAGCAAUUCAUAAUGCAUAUAAACAAUCUUAAUUUGUAACUUAUGCCAUACUUACCUCCAGCCAUUGUUGGGUUGCAAGUCUUUGGUUUCCAAAACUCUAUCUCUCCUUAUGGAUGGUGUAGUUUCUGAAGAUUUUCAGCAGCAUGAGAGAGGAGCUCGGGACCAAGACCGAUAUUUAAAAUACAAAGAAAACGUGGCUUCCCAUCAAAGCCACGUUUCUCUGAUUUGCCACACGAUGAGCAGUUGAGAGAAACGUGCUCCUUAACAGCAGCUACAUGAUGAAGGACGUGGCCAAGUGUUGGACCACUUCAGGGCAGCGGAACGUGGGUGAUUUGAUAACAUUCUCCCACUUGGUCCACACUUUUAACCUCAUGUCCUAUCUUAGAUCAUCAUUUUUCCGCAUUAAGUAACAAAUAUAUGAAUCAUGGCGAUAAGUCCUCUAUAUAACGAGUGUUAUCUUCCAUGUAUUACAAUGUAUUCAUUUCUUAACAUUUUACUUUAUGUGGCAAUAUUGCUUAAUGAAUAAACCCUAUGUUCAUUCUUGGUCCAAUGAAGUUGAAUUUUCUCAAAAUUAAAUAAAGGUGCACAUCAAUAUGAGAAAACAUCAUAAUAAGAGUUUGUACAAUAAAACUACAUAAGGGAACUAAGUCCCAUGUUCAUUACAUGAUCCUUGAAUUUCAACGGUGGCAUGCCCUUAGUCAAAGGAUCAGCAAUCAUCAAUUCAGUGCUAAUGUGCUCAAUAACCACUUUCUUUUCUUUAACACGUUCGCUUAUGGCUAGAUACUUAAUGUCGAUGUGUUUGCUUCGACUUCCACUUUUAUUGUUCUUUGCCAUAAAGACUGCAGCUGAAUUGUCGCAAUAUAUACUCAAUGGCCUAGAUAUUGAAUCCAUAACUCUAAGCCCGGAAAUGAAACUCUUAAGCCAUACACCAUGUGAAGUAGCCUCAAAACAAGAAAUGAACUCAGCUUCCAUAGUAGAAGUAGCAGUCAUGGUCUGCUUAACGCUCCUCCAAGAUAUAGCUCCACCGGCCAAUAUAAAAAUGUAUCCAGAUGUUGAUUUACGUGAAUCAACACAGCCAGCAAAGUCUGAAUCUGAGUAGCCAACUACCUCUAAAUUGCUUGUUCGUCUGUACAUAAACUUGUAAUAUUUGGUUCCUUGAAGAUAUGUCAUCACUUUCUUUGCAGCUUUCCAGUGGUCUAUACCUGGGUUACUCUGAUAUCGUCCUAACAUUCCAACAGCAAAUGCAAUGUCAGGCCUUGUGCAGACCUGAGCAUACAUCAAACUUCCGACUGCAGAAGCAUAUGGAAUGUUCUUCAUUUGUUCCCUCUCAAGAUCGUUUUUCGGGCAUUGGUUCAGAUUGAACCUAUCACCCUUCACUAUAGGAGAAACACUAGGUGAACAAUUCUUCAUCCGAAAUCUCUCUAAAACUUUAUUGAUAUAGGUUUCUUGAGACAAACCUAAGAUACCUUUAAAUCUGUCUCUAUCGAUCUUAAUGCCAAUGACAUAAGAUGCCUCACCCAUAUCCUUCAUGUCGAAAUUUUUAGAGAGGAAUUGUUUCACCUCAUGAAGUAAACCCUUAUCAUUGGUUGCAAGUAAGAUGUCAUCCACGUAUAAAACAAGAAAACAAACUUUACUCCCACUGACCUUAAGGUAUAUGCAUUGAUCCAUAACAUUUUCAACAAAACCAAAUGAAGAAAUUAUGUUAUGGAAUUUUAAAUACCAUUGGCGGGAUGCUUGUUUUAAACCGUAUAUGGAUUUCUUAAGCUUACAAACCAAUUGCUCACCAUCACUAGAGGGGAAUCCUUCAGGUGUUUCAUGUAANNNNNNNNNNNNNNNNNNNNNNNNNNNNNNNNNNNNNNNNNNNNNNNNNNNNNNNNNNNNNNNNNNNNNNNNNNNNNNNNNNNNNNNNNNNNNNNNNNNNGAAGACAACUUCAUUUGUUUGUUUGGAUAACAUGAUGAUGGGAAAGAAAUUAAAGACCCUUUAGUGAAGGUAUUUGCAUUGUCUUCCAUUGGUCCUUGAUAGGCUUUAUUGAAUGAUUAAGCUUUAGAUAAGGAAAGAAUAAAAAGAAGAAGGAGACAAGUAGUGGUUGUGGCAAUCAAGAUGAGACCCAAAAAUGAAUGGUCUACAUGUGAUGUUCCCGAAACUAGGGAAAAUGCAAGGAAGAGAAAAAGCAAAAGAAAAAAUAAAGAAAAAUAAAAAAUAGAUUAAGAGUUGAUAAAUUAUUUUAUUUGCUAAUUCAAACUCAUUUUACUUAUUUUGACUAAUCAAUAUAAAGAUUAAAUAAUUUUAAAAUGCAUAAGUUGUAAGCAAUUCAUAAUGCAUAUAAACAAUCUUAAUUUGUAACUUAUGCCAUACUUACCUCCAGCCAUUGUUGGGUUGCAAGUCUUUGGUUUCCAAAACUCUAUCUCUCCUUAUGGAUGGUGUAGUUUCUGAAGAUUUUCAGCAGCAUGAGAGAGGAGCUUGGGACCAAGACCGAUAUUUAAAAUACAAAGAAAACGUGGCUUCCCAUCAAAGCCACGUUUCUCUGAUUUGCCACACGAUGAGCAGUUGAAAGAAACGUGCUCCUUAACAGCAGCUACAUGAUGAAGGACGUGGCCAAAUGUUGGACCACUUCAGGGCAGCGGAACGUGGGUGAUUUGAUAACAUUCUCCCACUUGGUCCACACUUUUAACCUCAUGUCCUAUCUUAGAUCAUCAUUUUUCCGCAUUAAGUAACAAAUAUAUGAAUCAUGGCGAUAAGUCCUCUAUAUAACGAGUGUUAUCUUCCAUGUAUUACAAUGUAUUCAUUUCUUAACAUUUUACUUUAUGUGGCAAUAUUGCUUAAUGAAUAAACCCUAUGUUCAUUCUUGGUCCAAUGAAGUUGAAUUUUCUCAAAAUUAAAUAAAGGUGCACAUCAAUAUGAGAAAACAUCAUAAUAAGAGUUUGUACAAUAAAACUACAUAAGGGAACUNNNNNNNNNNNNNNNNNNNNNNNNNNNNNNNNNNNNNNNNNNNNNNNNNNNNNNNNNNNNNNNNNNNNNNNNNNNNNNNNNNNNNNNNNNNNNNNNNNNNNNNNNNNNNNNNNNNNNNNNNNNNNNNNNNNNNNNNNNNNNNNNNNNNNNNNNNNNNNNNNNNNNNNNNNNNNNNNNNNNNNNNNNNNNNNNNNNNNNNNNNNNNNNNNNNNNNNNNNNNNNNNNNNNNNNNNNNNNNNNNNNNNNNNNNNNNNNNNNNNNNNNNNNNNNNNNNNNNNNNNNNNNNNNNNNNNNNNNNNNNNNNNNNNNNNNNNNNNNNNNNNNNNNNNNNNNNNNNNNNNNNNNNNNNNNNNNNNNNNNNNNNNNNNNNNNNNNNNNNNNNNNNNNNNNNNNNNNNNNNNNNNNNNNNNNNNNNNNNNNNNNNNNNNNNNNNNNNNNNNNNNNNNNNNNNNNNNNNNNNNNNNNNNNNNNNNNNNNNNNNNNNNNNNNNNNNNNNNNNNNNNNNNNNNNNNNNNNNNNNNNNNNNNNNNNNNNNNNNNNNNNNNNNNNNNNNNNNNNNNNNNNNNNNNNNNNNNNNNNNNNNNNNNNNNNNNNNNNNNNNNNNNNNNNNNNNNNNNNNNNNNNNNNNNNGCAGAAGCAUAUGGAAUGUUCUUCAUUUGUUCCUUCCAGAUCGUUUUUCGGGCAUGGUUCAGAUUGAACCUAUCACCUUCACUAUAGGAGAAACACUAGGUGAACAAUUCUUCAUCCGAAAUCUCUCUAAAACUUUAUUGAUAUAGGUUCUUGAGACAAACUAAGAUACCUUUAAAUCUGUCUCUAUCGAUCUUAAUGCCAAUGACAUAAGAUGCCUCACCCAUAUCCUUCAUGUCGAAAUUUUUAGAGAGGAAUUGUUUCACCUCAUGAAGUAAACCCUUAUCAUUGGUUGCAAGUAAGAUGUCAUCCACGUAUAAAACAAGAAAACAAACUUUACUCCCACUGACCUUAAGGUAUAUGCAUUGAUCCAUAACAUUUUCAACAAAACCAAAUGAAGAAAUUAUGUUAUGGAAUUUUAAAUACCAUUGGCGGGAUGCUUGUUUUAAACCGUAUAUGGAUUUCUUAAGCUUACAAACCAAUUGCUCACCAUCACUAGAGGGGAAUCCUUCAGGUUGUUUCAUGUAAACCUCCUCCUCUAGCUCUCCAUUAAGAAAUGCAGUUUUCACAUCCAUUUGUUGCAAUUCUAAAUCAAAGUGGGCUACUAAUGCCAAUAUAAUGCGCAAGGAAUCUUUCUUAGAUACAGGAGAAAAGGUUUCCGUGUAAUCGAUUCCUUCUUUCUGAGUGAACCCCUUUGCAACAAGUCUGGCCUUGUAUCUCUCAAUGUUGCCUAAUGAGUCUUUCUUUGUCUUAAAAACCCAUUUACAACCAAUGUUUUUCACACCAUUAGGCAACUCAACAAGGUCCCAAACACCGUUGCACUUCAUGGAACUCAUCUCAUCCUUCAUGGCAUUGUACCACAAUUCAGAUUCUUUGCAACUCAUGGCUUGUGAAAAUGAUUCGGGAUCAUUUUCGGCUCCUAUAUUAUAGUCAGAUUCUUGUAGAUACACUACAUAAUCACUAGGAAUUGCUGACCUCUUAGUUCGAGCAGACCUUCUUAAGGUUGUACCAAUAUCUUCCGAGGAAGUAUGAGGUUCAACUUGUUGUUCAGAAGUGUUAGGCAACUCCUGAUCAACUUGGUCUACUGGAAUGUUGUCAACAACUUGUGGAACUUCAAUGACUGGUUGAACUUCAUCGAUUGUUCGUUCAACACCCGUUUGUACUUGAGGGGUGUUAUGAACAAUAAACAAUCUAUCGCUUGAAGUGGAAGGUUGAGACUCUGUAUGAUCAAUAUCAGAAACUAUGUUCCUAAAUUGAUCGCUCCCACUGACCAAGUCAUAUUCAAGAAAUUUAGCAUUUCUUGAUUCCACAAUCCUAAUGCUGUGAGAUGGACAGUAAAAUCUGUAUCCCUUAGACUUUUCAGCAUAUCCAAUGAAAUACCCACUAAUAGUCCUUGGGUCCAGUUUCUUCUCCUGUGGAUUAUAAAUUCUCACUUCAGACGAGCAUCCCCAAACGCGCAUAUGUCGCAAACUCGGUUUCCAACCUUUCAAUAACUCAAAUGGCGUCUUUGGGACAGCCUUGGUUGGAACUCGGUUUAAUAUAUACACAGCUGUCUUAAGUGCUUCAGUCCACAAGAAUUUAGGAAGUUUUGAGCUGCUAAGCAUACUCCUCACCAUGUCCAAUAAAGUUCGGUUUCUUCUUUCUGCUACACCAUUUUGGUCUGGAGAACCAGGCAUGGUGUAUUGGGCAACAAUCCCAUGCUCUUGAAGAAACUUCGCAAAUGGCCCAGGUGAUUGUCCAUCUUCCAAGUAUCUACCAUAAUAUUCUCUACCUCUAUCUGAUCUCACAAUCUUAAUUUGUUUACCAUAUUGUUUCUCUACUUCUGCCUUGAAGACUUUAAAGGCAUCUAAAGCUUCAUUUUUAUUAUGAAGUAUGUAGAGAUACANNNNNNNNNNNNNNNNNNNNNNNNNNNNNNNNNNNNNNNNNNNNNNNNNNNNNNNNNNNNNNNNNNNNNNNNNNNNNNNNNNNNNNNNNNNNNNNNNNNNUGAGAAACUUGGUACAUAAAAAGUCUUUUGCAAUUCUAAAACAAAACCACUAUUUAAAGUUAAAUAACAUAUCCCUAUUGCUUCCACAUGCGAGCCCAUCUUGUUUCCGGAUAAGAUGAAUUGCUCACUUGUCACUGGCUUCCUUAGGUUUUGCAUACCCUGCAAGGAAUUUGAAAUGUGGAUUGUAGAUCCAGAAUCAAUCCACCAUGUGUUGGUGUUUACAUUAACCAUAUUAGAUUCAUAGCAAACAAAUGAGGUAGGGUUACCUUUCUUCUCAAGCCAAUUCUGAAAUUUCAGACAUUUCUUCUUCAUGUGUCCUUUCUUUUUACAGAAAAAACACUUUUCGUCUUUCUUAAUGUCAGAUUUGGGAGGAAUUUGUUUCUUCCCUUUCUGACUAGCUUGAGAUUUUCCUUUCUUUCCUUUCCUUUGCGUCACCAGCAUGGCACUUUCUCCUUGUUCCAUCAAUAACCUUCCUUCCUCUUGAACACACAUGGUCAUCAAUUCAUUGAUAGACCACUUAUCCUUAUGUGUGUUGUAAGAGAUUUUGAAAGGUCCAUACUGAGGUGGAAGAGUGUUAAGAAUAAAGUGCACCAAGAAAGAUUCAGACAUUUCUACCUCGAGUUUCUUCAAUUGAGCCACAAUGUCCCUCAUCUCCAUGAUAUGUUCACGCACACCUCUUACACCGGUGAGCUUCAGGGAUGUGAACUUCAUAAUUAGGGUGCUUGCCAAGGCUUUAUCUGAAGUGACGAAUUGCUCGUCAAUAGCCUUUAGCAAUUCACGGACAUUCUCAUGUUGCUCGAUUGAACCACGUAUACCAGCACUGAUUUUUGUCUUAAUAUACAUCACGCUAAGGCGAUUAGAUUUCUCCCAGCGUUCGUACAAUAAAAUUUGUUCAGGUGUGCUGGUAUCUGUGAUCUUAUGCGGUUCAUCUUUCCUUAUAGCAUAAUCUAUGUCCAUGCACCCUAAUUGAAGAAGAAUUCUCUCCUUCCAUAUCUUAAAGUUAUCUCCUCUAAGUUCGGGAACCUCACAACGAAUAUCAGAUAUGCUAGGUAAAACUGCACAAAAGGAUUAGAAGCUUAUUAAAAAUUUGAGGCUUUAAUAUAAAUUCAUGCUUUACCAAUGUAGAACAUGCUUAAAAUUGAAUCUAAUUUUACUAAAAAUUGCCUGUGGGCUAAAUCUUUAAUUCAAUAAGAUUCAUUAUCUUUAUGAUAGACUUUAUCAAACUAUUUUAUUAAAUCAUGAAAUUUAUUCUAAAUAUAGUUUGAUAUUUUCUGUCUAUAAUCUUUAUGAUAAACUUAUUAAAUUAAUUCUUCCUAACUCCUGUGGGUAAAUUAGAAAAAAUUAAUUUUAAUAUUUUAUCCUAAUUAAUUAUAUAAACAUAAUGAAAACCCUGUGGGGUAAAACAUCAUAUUUAUAUAGUUAAUUACAAUUAAUGUCCAUAAUGCGAUCCUUAUUAAUAUAUAAUUUUUUAUAUAAUUAAGGAUGCUGUGGCUAUUCCUUAAUUAUUUAAAAAAUCAUAUGGAUUCACUAGACAUUAAAAUCAUAUGAUAUAAUUUUAAUAUAUCUAACUAAAUUUUAGGCAACAUUUGCAUGCAUACUAUAUGAUAUAAUCUUAAUAUAUCUAACUAAAUUUAGUCAACAAUGUCAACAAUUGCAUGCAUACUAUAUGAUAUAAUCUUAAUAUAUCUAACUAACUUUAGUCAACAAUGUCAACAAUUAGGCUAUAUUUUUACACAUACAAACAUAUAAAUUAAAAUAAAUAAUUUAAUUUGCAUGUAUAAAAAUCACACAUAAUUUAGAAUAAUUUAAAAGGAAUUCAUAUUAUGAAAGGGUGCCUAAAUCCAUAUAAAAACAAUUAAUUCAAAACCAAUAAAAUAAUUUAUCAGAUUUAACCCAUGGCCCAAUACACAAAGACCUUUAAUAAUUUUAUUGGUCACUAAUAAGCCUAAUGGGUCCAAAAGUAAAAACCCAAUAUCUCUCUAGUUUUUAUUUAUUUAUUAAUUUAUGUGUUCCAACAUUCAGCACGUUGGCAUCAUAACCACCCUAGUCUCCUGCAGCCGCAUCAUCCGCGGCACCAAAACAACACCUCAAAUGGCGCUUCUAGAACGCCCGAAAAUGGUGCCUGCAGCGGCGCUUGACUAGCUCCUGAAUGGCGCUUGCAGUGGUGCCUGAAUGGCACUCGGAACAGGCACCUGCAUUGGCGCUUGAACAGCGCCUGAAUGGCGCUCGUAACGGGGGCUUGCAGCGGCGAAGAUCAGCGCUUGAAUGGCACUGAAAUGAGUGCCUGAAUGAUGCUGGAAUGAGUGCCUGAAUGGCGCUCAGAAUUGGGGCUGAAUGAUGCUCAGAAUUGGCGCCUAAAUGGCGUUUGGAAAUGGCACUUGCAGCCCCUUUGACCAGCACCAGCAGCAGCGCUUUAAUGUCGCUUGAAUGUGGGGCCUGUAGUGGCUGAAACUGCAGCCCCAAAAGCACCGAAAAUGGCUCUUUUGGAACGCCUUAAAUGGUGCCUGCAGCGACGCUUUGAAUAGCACCUGCAGUGGUGCUUAAUGGUGCUCUAAAUGGGGCUCGAAAUGGCGCAUGCAGUGAAUAUAUAUAUAUAAUAUAUGUAUGUAGAUAGAGAAAGAAAUGGGUUUUUAUGGUGAAGAAAAAAUCUAGAUCAAAGACGUUGUAGUUGAAUGGGUGGCAUGGCUGUAGGUGGAAGUAAACCACAAAAGCUGAACCAUUUCACCCAAUUUCUUGUUCUAUUUGAUUUUAUUUCCAGAAAGGAAACAAUUAUCUAAGCAACUAACACCAAGGCAGAGGCAAGAUUGCAAGGCUCUGAUACCAAAUGUAAGCAAUUCAUAAUGCAUAUAAACAAUCUUAAUUUGUAACUUAUGCCAUACUUACCUCCAGCCAUUGUUGGGUUGCAAGUCUUUGGUUUCCAAAACUCUAUCUCUCCUUAUGGAUGGUGUAGUUUCUGAAGAUUUUCAGCAGCAUGAGAGAGGAGCUCGGGACCAAGACCGAUAUUUAAAAUACAAAGAAAACGUGGCUUCCCAUCAAAGCCACGUUUCUCUGAUUUGCCACACGAUGAGCAGUUGAGAGAAACGUGCUCCUUAACAGCAGCUACAUGAUGAAGGACGUGGCCAAGUGUUGGACCACUUCAGGGCAGCGGAACGUGGGUGAUUUGAUAAAUCUUUGAUGACAAAAUAAGGCGUAUGAUAUCUUUCUUCCUGUUCAGUUCCAAAGUUUUGUCCGUGAUUCUGUGUGUGGCAGAAACAAAGCAAAAUCAUCGUCAGAGGAUUAGUUUAGACCUGUAAAAGUUAGCCACUUAUCAUAAGUAUAUAUAGAAACACAAAGACAAGAAUCUCUUCAGAAUCCAUAAAGAACUAAAAAUUUAUUGUAUUCCAACACUCUUUAUGAAUAUUCACAGUUAAUAAAAUAAAAACUCUUAAUAAUGAAUAUGUAAACCUUAUAAGAUUUGACAACUCAAAAAUAAAAACUAAAAUAAUCACUCAAAAUCAAAAAGAAAAACCCUACCAAAACGAGAAAACCAACUGUAAAACUGCCUCCACAUUGCUUCAUACCAGAAAUUAUCAAAGACCUAUUUCUAGAAAAAAGCAAAAACAUACCUCCAAACUCUCAAAUUCAACAAACAGAGGGCACUGACUGCGAUCCCAAGAGACCCACUUCAGAAAAAUGGAAAAAGAACGCCCUCAAAGCUUCAGACAAGCAAGAACUCAACUACUGCAACAGAAAAGAUUAAAGUAGCAGGUUUUUUUUAUCUUUUUUGUUUGGUUUCAGAGAAAAAACUCAGAAAAGUGAGAAUGCGAGUGGGACAGAUGUUGAAGAUGGGUAGAAAAAAUUUCUCAGAAUUUUCCAUAAAUAAGAAAGGGAAUCGGAUUAUUAUGGAAGAGAUCCAUCUCAUAAAGUGCUCUUUAUUAAGCAUUCUAAGAGUUUGUUUCUUUAGCAAAUCUAUAAAAAAGAAUAAAUAAAUAAAUAAUAAAUAUAUUUUCAUGCCUUUUAAAAAAUAUUAUAAAUAAAUAAUUUUGAUCCAUGGGUUAAUUAUUCUUUAGAAGUAUUUUUUUCCUUAGAAAAUAAAAAAUAAAUAAAAAUAUUAAAUUUGUUUUUUAAGAAAGUAGUAUAAAUAAAUAAAUAAAAAGUUACUUAAUUGUUUGCAAUUUUCUUUUUUUUUUUUUAAUUAAAAUUGUUUUUUAAGAUAUUGUUUUAUAAAGUGAUAAGUAUUUUUAAAUAAAAUUUUUGUUUCUAAUUUAUGAUAGUAAUUUUUUUUAAUUUAAAAAAUUAAAUAAUAUCCAAACUUUUUGUAAGUUUUCAUGUUGUAGAGUGGAUUUUGAAAAAAAAUUAGAGAAUAUAAAGUAAAAGAGAAUUUAUGUACUUUUAAAAUAAAUAGUAUAAAUAUUGUGUAUCAAUUUAAAUAGGAAGGAAUUUAAGGAUUAAAAUAAAAUGAACAUUUUUAUGUUAAAUUCUUUAAAAAUUCUACUUUUCUUAUUGGAAGAGUGAGUUUUUGGGGUAUGGAAAUGGAUGGAAAAUUUUCAUUUUGAUGAAAAAAAAAAAGACACCUUUAAAUGACAUAUCUUGCAUCAACCCAAGUGACAUUUAGAAGGAUAAUAGGAAGAACUUUUUUCGGUACCUAUUCCAUUCCUCCCCUAAUAGGAAGAGUUUGGAAUAAAGAUAAAUCAGUUGGGGAGUGGUGUUUGGAAAGUUUUUAAAAACGCAAGACAUGUUUGGAUGAGUUUGAGUAUUAUUUUGUCUAGUUUUGUCUUGAAUAUAUGUAAUUUUAAAUAAAAAUUUAAAUGGAACGUGGUGAGGUUGGUAUGAGAGUUUUUCAUAUUUGUUCCACCCCAUCCCUUUUUAUUUAAUAUUUUUUUAUAUUUAAUGAAUUUCCGAUGGGGAAGAAAAAUGAGAUGCUUGAAAGAGGAAAAAAAUUAAGCGACAAAGGGAAGAAAAGAAUAAGGUAGAGGAAAAGAAAGUGACAAAAAAAAAAAAAAAACACUAAGGGAAUGACUUUUGGGUUAGUGUGAGAAAAAGAGAAAUAUUAGAGUUAUGUUUGGUUUUUAAAAAUGUUAAGAAAAGAAAAAUAUUGUUACAGAAAAUAUUUUCUCUUAUUUGAUCAUAUUUUGAAAAAUACCAAAAAAAUAAAAUAUAAUUAAAAUUAAUAACAAACUUAUGUAUUUUUAAAUAUUUCAUCUUUAUAUCCAAAAGUUAAAAUAAGUUUAAAGUAGCAUAUAAAAAAAAUUAUUGAUUUUAAAUUUAUUUUAUUUUUUAUUUACUUUUCCUUUUUUUUUUUCCCCUUUGUAUUUUUCCUUAAAUUUCUUAGGAGCCAAACAUAACCUAGAGAUUUAACAUAGUUUGAUGUGUUUAUAUUAUAUUAUUAAAAAAAUAUUUAAAAAAUAAUACAAAAUUAUAUAUUUGGAAGGGAAAAAGGUGAGGUUGAAAUAAACCCCCACCUAUUUGUCUUACUCAAUAUGUCUUUAUUUACUUUUCAAAGUCUUACUGUUUUUUUUUAUAUAAUUAUUAAGUAUAGUGCUUAUAUGCAAUAUUUCUUUUAAUUAUUGUUGUAAGAAUAAUAUAUAUAUUUUUAGUAGAUAAUAUUAAGCCCUAAUCACUAUUUUCAAAUCAUUUCUUUUAUCUUGCUUUUAGAUUAGUUGUUUCACUUUGAUUUAGUGUCAUAAAUCAAGUCGAUGCAAAGGUAAUGAAUGGAUUUCCAUAUUAUCUAUUUAAUCAACAUGAUGAAAUAGAUAAGAUAUAAAUGAUUGAUGUCAUAUAAUUUAUUCUAUUGAAUCUGACAUAAUUUGGGGUUAAUGAUAGACAUAAUUUGAGGUUAAUGAUAGAAAAGAUUUUUUUUUUCAAAUGAAAGACCUUAUAUUUUGUAUAUGGGGUUUGCCCUUGUGGUUUAAUAACGAUAUGAUUUAGGUUUUGGUAAAAAGAUUCUCUUGAAGCAAACUAACUCGUAUAUUUUACACAAGGCUUAUACUAUUGUUGGAAUGAACAUGAAUUUGGUUAGAGGAGAGUUAUGCCUCGGACAAACAAAAUUUAGAAAAUAAAAUUUGGAUACUUUGUAUAUGAGGUUUGCCCUUAUGGUUUAAAGAACGAUUUUUGAUAAAAAGAUUCUCUUGAAGCAAAUUAACUCAUAUAUUUUACAUGAGGUUUAUACUAUGGUUGGAAUGAACAUGAAUUUGGUUAGAGGAGAGUUAGAAAUGCCUCGAACAAACAAAACUUAGAAGAUAAAAUUUGGCAGAAGCAUGGUGUACUAAAAUUAUGUUGCAUCAUAUUAUAAAUGACUAAUAAUAUUUCAUUGUCUCCUACAAUUCAAUUCAAUUUUUAUUGGUGAAAGAAAACAAGAAAAUUCUUUCAAAUAACUUAUGAAUUUCAUUGAAUUGCAUGUACUAUAUAGAAGUCAUCAAACACUUUCUUUGGAUCUCUUGUUUAAGAAAGAAUUGCCAAAUUUUACUUAUGAUAAUGUUAUGUUUGGUUUUCAAACGUUUGAGGGGAGAAAAAUUUUUAGUUGUUCAUGAAAAAGUCGAAAAAAGCAACUUAUAUUUAUGAAAAUGCAUUUUUCCUAAUUUUAUUUUCAAAUUUGAUCAAUUAUCAUUUUAAUAUUAAAUGAAUUUUCAAAUACCAACUAUUAUAAAAUGUUACAUAUUAUAUCAUUCAUAUAUUAUAAUAUAUAAUAUGUGUAUUAUUAUUUCUUAUAUCAUUUUUAGGAAGUUUCCAAUAUUUUCAUAAAAUUUGAUUAGUUUUUAUUCUAUCGAUAUUUUGUGUUAAAAUAUCCACCAAUAUUUCCCAAUAUAUCCGUAAAAUUAAGUUAUCGAUAGAUUCCACCGAUAUUUUGUGUUAAAAUUAAGUAAAACACUUUUGGUAAUGGAUUAUGCAAAUUCUCCAUUUUUAGCCUUAGAAUUCUUUUGGUAAUGGAUUAUGCAAAUUCUACCUUCUUAGUUUUUUAAUAAUUCCUUUUAUAAGGAAGUCUAGACUAGAACUCUGGACUUCAAACCUUCUAAUAAUUACUUAAUAAUUUUAUAAGUUACAAUUUUAUUUUUGCACAGAAUCGUUAAACUUUAGCAAGAAUCUUGUUUAGCUUUUGUAGGGAAUCUUGUUAAAACUUUUUAGGGUUUUUUGUUCAACUUUUGUAAGGAAUCUUGUUAAAACUUUUCAGGGUUUAAUUUUGUUCAGCUUUUAUAGCGAAUAAAAUUUUACAAUGUAUUAAGCUUUUGCAAGGAAUCUUUUAGCUUUUGUAAGGAAUCUUUCAACUUUUGUAAGAAAUCUUAUUCAAUUUUUCAUUCAAAUUAUAGGCUUGUUAUUUGGUCCUCUACACAAUCUUCCUAGUAAUCCAAGUUAUCAAAAUCUUCAUUGUCUUAAUACAAAUGAGUGCAUCCUAUCCAUGGUUGAAUAAGUACUCUAUAGAUAUACCUUAUUAACCAAAAUUCAUUUUUUAUUUAAUCUAAAAACUAUAAAUUUUCAUAAGCUUCCUCUUGAUAGUUUUGCAUGUGAUAUGUAUGGGUUGAAAAUAACUGUUCAAUGGAUAGGGCUAUGCCUUGUUCUCCUCUAUGGCUAUGAUUGCAUAAGGGAAUAAGGAUAGGGGUCUUGCCCUAUAAUUCAUUAAGCCUCAAGAUGAGGAUGACCUCUCAAACAAUCCUAUGGCUUGUAAUAAUUUUCCUUCUAUGAUGGAAAAAACUACUUUAAGCAACCCUUUUUUUCUAUUGCUUUAUGCUAUUAUUGACCUUAAUUAAGAUUUCCAUGGGGAAGAAUAUUAUGAUGUACCAUGCUACUAUGUAUAUAAAUAGAUUUGCUUCUUUUUGUUGUGAAAAUGUGGAGUGUUUCCCAUGGAUGUUCUAGGUUUGGAUUAAGAGAAAUGCCCUUGUCCAAGAUGGUCGUGUAUACUCUAAAAAGUGUAUUUCUAAGGAUGAGAAUGAGAUAGGUUUUUUCAAGUACCCACCCCACCUCUAGUGAGAUGGGUUUGAAUUUAAAUAAAUGAAUUUAGGAUGAGAUUGAGAUUUUUUAAAAACCCAAGACAAGUUCAGGUAUUGUCUUGUCCCGCCUCAAUUAUAUAUAAAAUUUAAUUUCAAAAAUUAAAUUAAUUUCAUUUUUAUUUUCCUAUUUUUAAUAUAUAUAAUAAAAUACUUUUAAAAUAAGUCAUGGAAAAAUAUAAUAUUUUAAUUAUUCAUAAAUAUGUUUAUUUUAAUGUAAUUUAAAAAUUUUAAAAUAUUUAAUUUUUUUUAUAAAAAAAGGACAAACAAUUUAAACGAGGCGACUAUGAAAAUUUCUCAUACCCACCGCGCUUUGUUUAAUUUUUUAAAUGGGAUGGAGAUGAGAAAUAUUUUGAAUAAAUAGGACGGGUUGGGGAUAGGGGGAACCUGUCUAGAACUCGCACUAUUGUCAUCCCUAAGUAUUUUCUAUAAUAUGAUGGAACUUUGGAAUAGGAAAAUGGCUUCACUCCUACUAAAAUGUCUUGAAAGUACUUCAUUUGGUCUUAUCAUAAGAUAUCACCAAACCUGAUAUUCAAACUAUCCCAUGUACAUAUAGGGUUGAAUACCUGAAAAUGAGCACUCUACAUAUAGUCUAUCCCAAUUUCACAUUUCUCGAGUUAUUUCAGAUACUUCAAAGCAAAUGUGUUAUUCCAUAGAUUUACCAUGCAAUGAUCAACUUAGGAUGACAUGUUGACAUAUACAUUCUUAUAUUUCUUCUUUAUAUAAGAAUAAUCAUCUACCUCUUACAAAAAUAUUAUUGAGGAACAAGGAAGGCUGAAGGUUGAUUUCCUUUGGGAAUUAAUACUUGUUUCCUACAAGGUCAACCUAAUAUAUAAACAAAAGUUUACUCAUAAUACUCAUAAAAUAAAACUCAUAUUAAUCAUGGAUGGUCAACUAUAAAAGAAUAAGCAUAGAAAGACAAGCUAUUAAGGUGUCAUUUGGAUACACUAUCUUUUUUCUAUUUUUAAAAAAAUUUAAAGUAAUAAUAACUUAUAUAUAAAACAUAAUAUAUCUUAUGCAAAAUAUAUAAACUAAUGUUAUUUUCUUAAAAAUUAAUUUCAAAAUUCUUGAAAUUCGAGGUAGUAUUUUCUUUUAAAAAUCUAGUAUAUCCAAAUCAUGACUAAAUUAAAACAAAAGAGCUAGAAAUUAUUCAUAAGAUAGAUGGUACCAAUUCAUAAAUAUGCCCUUUCACAAUUUGUUAACAUUAAAAAGGGUUUUCUUAAUAAUUGAUUAUUUUUUCUCCUAAAACAAGAAUUCUAACUAUAGGCUAUGAUUUUCUAAUGACUAGGUCAUUUUUUUUUGUUCAAUUGCUUCCAAAGAACUUUUCAUGCAGACUUAUACAAAGAUAGAGAAAAUUAGAAGCUUUGCAACUUAUAUGAAGUAAAGGAGAUUUUUAUUAAUUUAAUGUAUUUUACAUUUAUUAACUCCAUAAAACCAGAGUAAUCAUUUUACCUCAAAACUUAAUCAAUCUUAUUGAUUCCCAAAACAAGUAUUUUUGAUAAAUAUAGAAUAUGAUAUUAUAAUCAAUAUUUGCUUUAAUAUCUUUUCAAUUUGGUUACUCAAUGCCCUUUUUCAAGAUUAUACUCGUACACUUUCGUUAAUUAUAUCAUGCUUUGAAUUUUUUUUUUUUGUGGAGAAAAUUUAUAUUUAGACAAUACGUUUAAUUCACUAAUUAUGAAGUAUCUAAUUAUCAAGUGCAUCAAUAGAAAUAUUUGUUUUUUUUUUUAUUUGAACCAAAAUUUAUUUUUUGGACCCUUGUCAUCAACAAGAAAUUCCAUUACUUUCUAAAUUAUCAUUUGGGUGUUCCUUAGGCCCAUCGAUAACACCACCUAAGAGGAUUGUUUGAUAUUUGAAUGAUCUCCUACAUUCCAAACUAAGGAAUAAAAUAUUGGAAAAAAAAUUCUAGAGAAACUUUUAAUGGAAUAAAAAUUGAUCAAAACGUGUAAAAAUAUUGAAAAAACUAAAAAUAAUGAUAUGUGCUUCAUAAUUUUUUUCAUAUUUUUAAGACAUAAAUCAUAAGAAAAGUAUCAAUUUUCUUGAAGAAAAACAUCAAAAGAAAUGAAGACAUACCCAUCAUUAUUUUUAAUUUGUAUUUUUAACACAAGAACCAUAACAAAAGUUACCAUUCUUCUCUGCCAUUUGUCCAUGAGUUGUUCAUCUUCCUUGCUACAUCUUUGGAAAAUCAACCAAAUAUGGUGGAGGAUUCCUCUCCAUAACCCAUAUUUGGUUGAAAAGAAAAAACAAAACAAGAAAAACGGAAAACUUUAUUGAAACUAAGAAUGACGAUGUUAUCUCCUAAAAUGCAUAUGAAUCCUCUCCCAAUGGUAAACAAAAGGUUAAUAAAUAACUUUCAUGCCUAACCCGAAUUGGAAAACACAAAAACAUCGCAAAAAAUGGCAAAGAAACCUUAAAAAAAAAAAUCAAGUGUCAUAAUAAAAUUGACAAAGUUAAUUUAACUUUAAUUUAAAAAAAUUAUAAAAAAAUGGUGUUUAAUUUAAUUUACCCUUUUGACUUAUGGGGUCCGAAAACAGUACUAUUGGUGGGGAAGGUUGAUGAAGAGUUGACUUUUGAAAAGACCCAUAAGAACAAAUUUUCAUAUGAUGAGAGCAUAGAUAUUAAUGAGGGUUAAAAUGGAUAUAUAAACAAUAAAAAGGAGGCAUACAACAAAUAAUAUGAACUACCUGUAUUAGGCUCCACCCACAGCUUGUCAACUUCCUAUAAGAGUAAGGCAUGAUUGAGAAGCGAAAAACAACCAUUGGGAUUUCAGUGGAGAAUGCCAGUGAUUUCGACACUAAUGAUCUCAAGGCAAAUCCAAUCCUAGGGAGAUCAAUGUGGUUACCGGCCCAUGUCAGUAUAUAUUUAGCUUGAAUAGUUAAAAUUUUGAAAAAUGUACAAACCUCAAUUUAUUAUUAUUAUUAUUAUUUUUUAAAUCUUUUGAGUUAUAAUUUUAAAUUUUUAUAAUUUGAAGAGUAAAAAAUUUCAAUUUUAAGCAUUAAAAUCUUAUCAGACCAAUCUAACUAGCUUUGAACCAUUGCAUGUGACUCAAUUUAAGUUCCUUUGAUUAGAAAAGCAUCAUGUUAUUUUGAAAGAAAACCUAAAAAUAUCUAGAUUUCAUGUUCGGAUCUUAUUACUAUAUAACCCAAACGAGUUAUAAUCAAGCUUCAAGCUCUAAAGUUAUGCUAAUACAUAAUUAAAUUUAUGUUAUAAUUAAAACUACAACUUGGACGGAUUAAUGACUAACCCAAAUCCAACCUGAAUUAAGAAACAAUUAAUCUGAACUCAACCCAACUUGAAAUCUAACCCGAGAUACUCAAUCUAAGCCCAACCUAACUUCAAUUUUUUGAGUUCGGGUUGUUCAAGUUAGACUUGGGGUUGAUCGGGUUAGAUUCAGGUUGAUCAAAUUGAAUAAUUUAAAACCCAUUUAAAAUAUUUUUAAAAAAACUUUUAUGUUAUUUUAUUUAAUUUAAAUGGAGAAUUGUGUAUAUUUUACAAUAUUAUUAACAAUUGAGAAAGGAUUAUUUAAUUGUAAGUGCCAAAAAAUUAUUCUUACGUCAAAGAAAACAUCUUCAAGGUUUAUAAACUUUAAACUUGACCUUAUUUGAUAAACAACUUUUAUCAAUAUUUGUUCAUUGAAGUCACAUCUAAAAUAUUUAAGAAAGUGAAGUUUACUUUUUAUUUGAAAAUUAUAUUAUCUUUUUUGACAAAUAUUUUUGAAAUAACUCAACUACUUGAUCAUUCAAUUCAUGAUAUUGAAGCUUAUAUUCUACCUUAUGUGAUUAAGGAGAUGCAAAAGGAGACUCUUGAGAGUAGAACUCCUAAAAAGGAAGUGUAUAAUUUGGCUAUUAAUUUUGCUACUCCCCAAAUUUUAGAAUAUAUAAAAAUUCUCAAAUUUCGGAGAAAUGAGAUUUUAGGAGUGCUAGAUGACACAAGACCAUUGUCGAAAUUGAAGAUAGUAUCAUAAGAGAAUUGGGACUCGCAAAAUGGAGCACACAAUAAGGAAUGGAUAAAUUAUUGCAAAAUAAAAGCUUUUUAAUCCUUCUAAGUAACGUUGAUUUUUGAUGAUUUAAAAGAUACUUUCUACAUAUACACUUCAUACAGGCUGUGACAAACGAUUGGAUUUGGAGAUUAGGUUGAAGGUUCCUCCCUUUGGGGUCUAAAAACAAUACAACUGGUUGGAAAGGUAGAUGAAGAGUUGACUUCUAAAAAGACCCAUAUGCCCCUUGAAAAAAUUCUCAUAUGAUGAGAGCAUAGAAAUUUAUGAGGGUUCAAAUGGAGAUAUAAACAACAAAACGGAGGUAUGCAAUAAAUAAUAUGAACUACCUAUAUUAGGCUAGGCUCCACACAAAGCUUCUUGUAGAGGUGAGGCAUGAAUAGCAUGAAUAGGAAGCGAAAAACGACUCUUGUUUCAGUGGAGGAUGCCAGCCACCGUAAAGCCGAAGUCAAUCCUGACCCGACCAUGUAAGCAUAUAUUUAGCUUGUAUGGUUAAAAUUUUGAAAAAUGUAUAAAUUUUUUUUUUUUUUUUUUUAAGUCUUUUGAGUUGUAAUUCUAAAUUCAUGUAAUUUUAAGGAUCGAUUUGUUCAAUUUUAAGUAUUAAAAUCUAAUUGAACCAAUCUAAUUGAUUUGUAACCAUUGCAUGUGACUAGGUUUAAGUUCCUCUAAUUAGAAAAUUGACUAUUUUAUGUUAUUUUGAAAUAUAACCUAAAAUAGCUAGAUUUUAUGUUAGAAUAAUUUAUACACAAACAUAAAAAGUAUUGUAUCUUGUUUGGCAUCUAAUACAAUGAGUUUGAGAAAAAUAUAAACAAGUUUGUAAAUCUUUUUAUCAAAGGAGGAUUUGAGUUUGAUUUUAUCUCGUCCUGAUUAUAUAAAUAAAAAAUUAUUUUAAUUUUUUUUCAUUUUAAUUUUUUAAAAAUAUAUUAAAUAUUACUUUUCAUAAAAAUAAAUUAUGAAUAUUUAUUAAUUUUAUUUUUUUUAAUAUAAUUUAAAAUGAAAAACAAAACUAAGAGUUUUGAAAAAAAAUAUAAAAAGCUAAAUGGGGCAAGAGAAUUCUCCCACCUUACAUGUUUAAAUUCAGUUUUUUGGAUAGAGAUGAGAAUGUAUAUAAAUAAAAAAAAGGUUGGGAUGGGGUGACCCGUCUUUCGCCUCUUAUCAUCCAUAAAAAAUUAUUUUUGAAAGGAAAUAAUAUAUACAAGACACUCGUGUCCAUAUUUCUAUAUGAAUAAUCAUCAGGUUGAUUUUAUUUUAUUUUAUUUUAUUUAGUUUUUAUAAUGGAAUACCACAAAUAUGAUAUUUUACACUUUAAAUUGAAGAGUUGUAUUUUACAAUAUUAUUAACAAGUUUAUGUCUUUGAGAAAGGAGUAUUUAAUUGAAAGUGACAAAAAAUUAUUCCUACAUUAAAAAAACAUCCCCUAGGUUUAUGAACUUUAGAUUUGACCUUAUUUGAUAAACAACUUUUGUCAAUUUUUGUUCAUUGAAGUCACAUCUAAAAUAUUUAGGAAAGUGAAAUUUACUUUUUAGUUUUUAUUUGAAAAUUAUAUUAUCUCUUCUAAGAAAUAAUUUUUAGAAAGCAUUUCCCAAGAGUAAUAUAUAUAUAUAUAUAUAUAUAUAUAUAUAUAUAUAUAUAUAUAUAUAUAUAUAUAUAUAUNNNNNNNNNNNNNNNNNNNNNNNNNNNNNNNNNNNNNNNNNNNNNNNNNNNNNNNNNNNNNNNNNNNNNNNNNNNNNNNNNNNNNNNNNNNNNNNNNNNNUAUAUAUAUAUAUAUAUAUAUAUAUAUAUAUAUAUAUAUAUAUAUAUAUAUAUAUAUAUAUAUAUAUAUAUAUAUAUAUAUAUAUAUAUAUAUAUAUAUAUAUCGCCACUACUAUCUAGUUGAUUAAUAUCAUCUUCAUUAUCUGAAUCAGUCCUUGAUUCAGAAUCUGAGGAGCUUAACAUUACCUUACAAAGCAUAUUUUUUAGGUCAUCUGAGACACUUAAGUUAUUAAUCUUUUGCUUAACUCUACAAUCUUUCUUAUAAUGGCCAACUUUGCCACAUUUAAAACAGAUCAUUGGCUUAACAUCUAAAGGAGUUUCUACCUUUUUCUGGGCAUCCUUGCUUAUUCUCCUUUGGACGUGUCUUGAAUGCUUGGUUUCAUUCAUCCUAUAAUUACCAUGAGUACCUCUUUUACUAUGGUAAAAUUUAUCUUUGCUAGGUUUCCUGUUGGUUUGUUGCUUAGAGGGAGGCUUAGUUUCCUUUUGGCUGAAACCAAACUGGCUACAGAAUGAUCCAAAUUCAUUCUUGUAGAUUUUCUGUUCAUUCUUCAUUUGUUGCUUGAGCUUGAAGUCAUUGCACAACUUAAUCCCUUCAGCUGUGACAAUGCUUAUAAUCUCACCAUAGGUUAGCUUAUCAUAAGGGAUUUGUCCAUUAUACUGUUCCCUUAUCUUGAUCCUAAUUCUCUCAGAGAUGAAUUUUUCUGAGAUGAAUUUUUCUUUCCAAAAAGACUGGUUACAGUCUGACCUUAGCAUGACUUUGGUUAGGAAGACUUCCUUAUACCACCUAAAAUCAUGAAGCUUGGGACACUUAAGGUUGGUUAAGAGAUCUGCAGUUUUAUCCUUAAUUUUUGCACGAUCUCCAAUGAAGUGCUUGGAUAUUGAGUAGAUAAGAGUAGCCACUGCAUCCUCUAUAUCUUGGCCAUCUUCGUCCUUAACAACUUCAUUAUUUUCAUUAAUCUUAUAGGCUUUUAGGAUACUAUUUCUAUCCUCAAAAGUGAGAUAAUUAUCCCACCAACCCUUAAGCUGACCCGUAAACCCAGCAACAAUGGUCUGAGCUACAGCAUGAUCUGGCAGUCUAUUGUUUAACUUAUAGGCUGUACUUACCAUGGUCAUUUCUUGAAGCUUAGUGAGUAUGUUAUACUCGGUCAUACCGUCUAUGUUCCAUUCAUAGAUAGUACCACUGGUGUAUGAGGCUUGAGUAUACUGAUUUCUUUCCUCAAACUGCAUGUUAGGAAAAGUAGGCCUAGGAUAGUAAUUCCUAGUCUUAAAGGCUUCCAAGUUGUUAAUAAUUUGAUUAUGGGGUUCCUCAAACAUCUUAAUUAGUUCAUCAGCUUCUUCUUCUGAACUAAUAUCACCUUUAACCAUAUUGAUUCUCUUAUCAGGUUGAACAGUCAAAAGGGCAACAAGAUUAUCCUUAAUCUUCUGAUUAAUCCUAUCAACAAAAGCCUGGUUGAUUUGGGGAUUUUCCUCGAAUUCCUUAGAAAAUUCAAAGGACUUAGUUUUAUCAGUGCUCUUAGUGUUGUUAAUACGCUUACAAGGAUAAUAUGGAUAUUCCUCUUGUUUGAAGAGUUCAAACCAAAUCCAAAACUUAAUAUUUUUCUUUUCUUGUCUUAAGUAAGCAUAGAAUUCUUCUUGGUAAAUGGUUCUAAUGACCUUAGGGACAGUGCUAAAGAACCAAUCAUUUCUUUGCUUAUUGAUUUCAGAAUAGAAGUCCUUUCUUAAGAGAUCCUUGUUGAUCUCAAAGUCCUCAUCGCUUAGGCUUAUUGUGUUAAUCAUCUGGGAAUAGGUAGGAGACAUAACAGGGGACUCAUCCUGUUGGGAUUCCUGAGUAGACUCAUUUUCUUCACUGUAAAAUGGUCUAGCCACGUUGAUGUGACUUCUAACACCUGUUAGCUUAAUGUUCUUAGGGUUUCCUGAGCUGGAUCCUUCUUCUUCCCUAGUGGUUCUAACUGGGAUGGAAGAGCUUGAAGCUCUAGAGGGUUCAUAAACAGAAACUCUAGGGCUGCUUGAGUGUCUGAAAGAUUUGGAGAAGACCAGUUCUCCUCCUCCAUCUGGAUAUUGAACUAUUUGUUCAAUACUUUCAGAACGCUGUGCUAUGGCUGGAACAACAUUAGCAAAAUGCCAAUUUUCAGGGAAAUCAACAUCUUUCCACAAGAUCUUCUUGGGGAUGAUGAAAUCUGACUUAUCUAGCAUAUCUGAGUGAAAAUAGGUGGUCUCACCUUUAGGACUGGUACAAAGAGCCCCAGAUCCAACGCUUGUGUUCAUGCUCUUAUAGGCAAACCUGGUUAUGAUAGAAACAGGAUUGUUUCCUAGUUUGAUCUUAAAGCCAUGAGUCUUAAUAUGCAGGACAACGGAAUCUAAGAUGUCUGCAUCUCUUAUUCUAACUGUGAAGUUAGGAUAGCACUGGAAAUAAACCGGGCCAUCAUUCAGUCCAGCUUCGACUGCGCCUAUAAUAGAAUCUCGAUAUUUCAGAUGCCUAUUAUCCCUUAAACACAUGGCAAUAGAGGUGUUUAAACCUAAUCUUGUCAAAGGCUUAGCUGCUACUUGAAUCAUACCAAAGUGUAUGAAAUUAUAGCCAUCUUUCUUAUGCUUAUCAAUGGAUCUGUUAUCUAGAAGUCUUAUGACUUGGUCAUCUUGUUCUAAGCUGACUGACAUUUCAGAGGUCUUAAUGGUAUAAUCUGUGAAGAACUUAAAGGUUCAUUUCUUAUAAAUUUCUUGAUUAGACACCUUGGGUAACUUCCAAUCAUCUAAAUCAUUUUGAAUCUUAGGAUAAUUGAUCUCUUCACUGUUUACAACAGUAUCUUGAGAAUCGCUGGAUCUCUUAGACAUGGUUCUGAAAAUUGAACUCAUUUUAGGGUUUUUGAAAUAGGGCCUAAUAGCAGAUUGACAGACCUUAUGAGACGUCACCCCAACCCUCUUACAGCCUAACAAACGCCUAUCCACGGCUAACAACGGCUCAACCGGCAGGGCUCGCGCUCCUAGGCACACUGCUACCUAUCCUAGGAUAGGCCAAGAACACCCAAAACAAGACCCAACUUCCCUCCCACAUGGCUCUGAUACCAUAGACACCCAGGACAAGGUCAUAUGCAAUGAAAACAGGAAUUAUGCCAUGAUUCAAAACAAAGAAGAGGGUUAGAAAAUACAAAAGAUAUCCAACAAUGAAAUUUAAAGAGAAGAAACCAAAAACUUGUUAGUUCAUAAUAAGCUUAAAACCGACCAUGUAGGCGGUAUAAAAUAAAAACAUAAACUUAAAAACAAAGCUUAAUUAAAACCGACCAUGUAGGCGGUACAAGAUGAAAACAUAAAAUUAAAAUAAAAGCUUAAUUAAAACCAUCCAUAUAGGAGGUAAUCAAAACAUACUUAUAUUAUACAUAAGGAGAAAUAUGUUACAAUGGACAAAGGUAGGAAAGCUUGAAGAAAGCUUGAAAACUUGAAGGGCUCACAUGAUGAGAGAGAAAGAAGAGAGAAGGGAGAGCAUAAGCUUGGGAGAGAAACAGAACUAAAAUUAAGCGUGCUUACAAAUGGGGACCGAGCCUCCUUAAAUAGGCAAAAAAGGAAUGUUGAAUAGUAACCAUGAAUAGUAGACCCGUGCUUGAAUAGUGAAUAGUGAAUAUUGAAUAGUAAGAUUCACUUUUAUACCGAAAUCCCCCGAAAAACCAUCUUUCGGCUGAAAAGACCUCUGGCAGGCUGCUUUAAACUGUGUAUACAUAUGCUUGCUGCUUUUUGGAAUAGAAACUGCAAAGCUUGAAAUAUUCUUGUUGACCGGCCAUCAUGAGUAAUCCUUACGAUGUUCUUCAAGAAGCUUGAUAUCUUCAGUAAUAGUCAUAGCUGGAAGAGGGUCUAACUUCUUGCCACAGAAAAUUUGAUGACAAGAAUCUGCAGCAAUGAGAUAUCCCAUAUUUCUUGGAAAAGCCUCAAAAUCUCUGCAAAUAAUUCUGGCUCUCCAGUGAUUGAUUUGCUUAAUAAUGGGUUCAGCACAAAUAUCAGAAAAUAGCAGAGGGUUAGACAGACGAGUAGGUCUCCUAUUCUGAUAGUGAAGAGAAACAAUGUGCUGAGCUGGAAUAAGCUUGCCACUAGAAACCCACUCAGGAGCUUUGCUGAUGAUGAUGGCGUUCGCGAAUUUCUUGUUUAUUUUAAAUCCUUGGGUUAGGCCAAGAGCAAUUUUUCUUCCAAACUGGGAAACUUAGUUGAGAUCAGAACAGAUGAUUUGAUGAACCAGACCAUGGUCCAAAAGCUUUUCUGGAGUUAAUAGUAAAUCUUCACCCUUGAAUUUGAUGCUGAUUGGCGAAUAGUAUUGCAAGUCCAAGCAAACACGACUGAUUGUGAAAUUUCUGUUGCAGUUGCAAAUCAUUUUCUUAAUGCCUUUUUGGUACUGGAAAUGAUCUUCAAUCAUUCUGCAAAUUUUUGAAUCAUCAACUUCCUUAUCAGUAACCAAGCUUAAACCUGGGACCUUAAGACCAAUAUUGGUAGAAAGAUAGAGAUGAAGAUCCUGAAAGUAUGAAGAGAUGAAGCUCUGUCUUUCUUCUGCUGAGGACUUAGCCUUUUCCAAAAUUAGGAGACGUAGAUCUGGCUUAAGAGAGUAUAGAUUCUCUGUCUUAUGAUGAUACAUUCUUAGCAUACGGUAACCCAACUCUUCCUCACUCAAUUUAUCAUUCACCAGUGGGGUAGAAUGCUUAUUCUCACCAUUUUCCAGUGGGGAAAAUGAGGCUUGAGCUUUUAACAUGAGCUUAUGAAAGUCAACUAAUUCAAGUUUUCUUUCAAGAGUCUCAUACCUUCCCUGCCAUUCAAAAAUGCAAUUGAUAUAAUCAGAUAAAGUGUUAGUAUUGUUAAAAGAUGGAUUUGUGGGGAAGGAAUCUUCCACAAAAGGUAGAGAUUCCGAGCUUGAAUCUAUAUCCCUGCUAGGGGAUGCUGAAGGAAUGUGAUGAUUGAAGUGGCUGGAAGAACCUGCUACUUCAAAAUGGUCAUAAUAAGAUGGCAUGAAUUUCUCAGAAAGAGCUGAAUGGGGAUUCUUAGAAUCUGUAGGUUUAAUGGACCUAAAAGGUUGUUUGUCUUUCUUGGGUGCCAUGUUCAUGUGAAUCCUGCAAAUUCCAUGAGUUGAGUGAUUAGGAAUGGAACUUUCUCCUUUAAUAAGCUUAAUUUGAAAAUUAGGGUUUAAAAUAAUCCAAUCAAUUAAAUUAUGCUUAAAAGCUAUAUACUUAAUUGUUUUCUCAGAUGUGAAAACAACUUUUAAAAUUCCUUGAUUCAAAAUAUCAGUUUGAUAUUUUGAAAUACAUAAAUGAAUGCUUAAAAUAUCAUUUAUAAUGAGCUUAUGAAUGCAUUGGGUACCUAACAUCUUAGGUGGAUCAUCAAUCUUAACAAGAUUAAUUUCUUGAUCACAAGGAGUGAUGCUUUCAACAGGAUUAACAAAUUCAAAAAGAAUUUCCUUAUCAAAAAGCUUAGUUCUUAUACCUUGGUUAUCUACCCACAAUGGAUAAAUAGAACUUAAGAAGGGUAUUCCUAGAAGGGCUUUUUCCUUAAGAUCCUUAACAAGGAUAAAGGUUUGCUUAAUACAGACGUCAUGGUUAUGGAUAUGAACAUCUGUUAAUUUAUACUUAAUGGCAAGUCUUUUGCCAUUGGCUCCAAAUAGAGACAUACUAGUCUCUUCGCAUAAAGGAAUAGGUACAAGACCUUCUUGAAGGCAAUUUUCAGUUGCGCCUGAAUCAAUCAGAGCAAUAAUAUCAAAGACAAAUUUAUCUUUGACUACUAUAGUAAGGGAGACUUCCCACCUCUGGAAGAUAACCCUACUCACAGUAUUCAAAAAAGUAUCUGUCUCAUUAUCAUUAACAUGAGAAGAUUCUGGAAUAUCCAUAUGGAUUUCUUGGUUGCCAAUUCUAUUGAUUUGAUCUUGGAGAUCGGAGAGACCUAGACUUAUGAAUUGUCUUAACUCCUUAAUCUCCUUUUUAUGCUGUUUAACUUUUUCAUGAAGUUCCUUAAUGCUGACUUCCUUGGGAGACUGUUGGUCAAACCUGUUUAAGAUAUCAUUAAGGUUGUAAGGAUUAACAGUCUUCUUGGCUUCUACUUUAACAACAGAUUUCUUAAAAACUUCAUAAAGAUUUUGCUUAGUCUUUUCAUCUUCAACUUUUCUUAAAGUAUCUAGGAUAAAUUCCUGAUCUUGGCUUAUGACAUUUAUAGUAUUAGGACGACAAUUACAAUUACCUUUAAUACAUUCUGCUUGGUCACUAGAAGAUUGGCUAGAAACUUCACCACUACUGUCUAGUUGAUUAAUGUCAUCUUCAUUAUCUGAAUCAGUCCUUGAUUCAGAAUCUGAGUUUAACAUUACCUUACAAAGCAUAUUUUUUAGGUCAUCUGAGACACUUAAGUUAUUAAUUUUUUGCUUAACUCUACAAUCUUUUUUAUAAUGGCCAACUUUGCCACAUUUAAAACAAAUAAUUGGCUUGACGUCUAAAGGAGUUUCUAUCUUUUUCUGGGUAUCUUUGUUGACCCUUCUUUGGACGUGCCUUGACUGCUUAGUAUCAUUCAUCCUAUAGUUGUCAUAGGUACCUCUCUUACUAUGGUAAAACUUAUCUUUGCUAGGCUUCCUGCUUGGUUUUUGCUUAGAGGGAGGCAUAGUUUCUUUUUGGCUGAAACCAAACUGGCUACAGAAUGAUCCAAAUUCAUUCUUGUAGAUUUUCUGUUCAUUCUUCAUUUGUUGCUUAAGCUUGAAGUCAUUGCACAACUUAAUCCCUUCAGCUGUGACAAUGCUUAUAAUCUCACCAUAGGUUAGCUUAUCAUAAGGAAUUUGACCAUUAUACUGUUCCCUUAUCUUGAUCCUAAUUCUCUCAGAGAAAAGCUUGGGUAAUCCUGAGAUGAACUUUUCUUUCCAAAAAGACUGGUUACAAUCUGAUCUUAACAUGACUUUGGUUAGGAAGACUUCCUUAUACCACCUAAAAUCAUGAAGCUUGGGACACUUAAGGUUGGUUAAGAGAUCUGCAGUUUUAUCCUUAAUUUUUGCACGAUCUCCAAUGAAGUGCUUGGAUAUUGAGUAGAUUAAAGUAGCCACUGCAUCCUCAAUAUCUUGGCCAUCUUCGUCCUUAACAACUUCAUUACUUUCAUUAAUCCUAUAGGCUUUAAGGAUACUAUUCCUAUCAUCAAAAGUGAGAUAAUUAUCCCACCAACCCUUAAGCUGACCUGUAAACCCAGCAACAAUGGUCUGAGCUACAGCAUGAUCUGGCAGUCUAUUGUUUAAUUUAUAGGCUAUACUUACCAUGGUCAUCUCUUGAAGCUUAGUGAGUAUGUUAUACUCGGUCAUACCAUCUAUGUUCCAUUCAUAGAUAGUACCACUGGUGUAUGAGGCUUGAGUAUACUGAUUUCUUUCCUCAAACUGCAUGUCAGGAAAAGUAGGUCUAGGAUAGUAAUUCCUAGUCUUAAAAGCUUCCAAGUUGUUAAUAAUUUGAUUAUGGGAUUCCUCAAACAUCUUAAUUAGUUCAUCAGCUUCUUCUUCUGAACUAAUAUCACCUUUAACCAUAUUGAUUCUCUUAUCAGGCUAAACAAUCAAAGGGUCAACAAGAUUAUCCUUAAUCUUAUGAUUAAUCCUAUCAACAAAAGCCUGGUUGAUUUGGGGAUUUUCCUGGAAUUCCUUAGAAAAUUCAAAGGUCUUAGUUUUAUCAGUGCUCUUAGUGUGGUUAAUACGCUUACAAGGAUAAUAUGGAUAUUCCUCUUGUUUGAAGAGUUCAAACCAAAUCCAAAACUUAAUAUUUUUCUUUUCUUGUCUUAAGUAAGCAUAGAAUUCUUCUUGGUAAAUGGAUCUAAUGACCUUAGGGAUAGUGCUAAAGAACCAAUCAUUUCUUUGCUUAUUGACUUUAGAAUAGAAGUCCUUUCUUAAGAGAUCCUUGUUGAUCUCAAAGUCCUCAUCACUUAGGCUUAUAGUGUCAAUCAUCUGGGAAUAGGUAGGAGACAUAACAGGGGACUCAUCCUGUUAGGAUUCCUGAGUAGACUCAUUUUCUUCACUGUAAAAUGGUCUAGCCACGUUGAUGUGACUUCCAACACCUGUUAGCUUAAUGUUCUUAGGGUUUCCUGAGCUGGAUCCUUCUUCUUCCCUAGUGGUUCUAACUGGGAUGGAAGAGCUUGAAGCUCUAGAGGGUUCAUAAACAGAAACUCUAGGGCUGCUGGAGUGUCUGAAAGAUUUGGAGAAGACCAGUUCUCCUCCUCCAUCUGGAUAUUGAACUAUUUGUUCAAUACUUUCAGAACGCUGUGCUAUGGCAGGAACAACAUUAGCAAAAUGCCAAUUUUCAGGGAAAUCAACAUCUUUCCACAAGAUCUUCUUGGGAAUGAUGAAAUCUAACUUAUCUAGCAUAUCUGAGUGAAAAUAGGUGGUCUCACCUUUAGGACUGGUACAAAGAGCCCCAGAUCCAACGCUUGUGUUCAUGGUCUUAUAGGCAAACCUGGUUAUGAUAGAAACAGGACUGUUUCCUGGUUUGAUCUUAAAGCCAUGAGUCUUAAUAUGCAGAACAACGGAAUCUAAGAUGUCUGCAUCUCUUAUUCUAACUGUGAAGUUAGGAUAGCACUGGAAAUAAACUGGGUCAUCAUUCAGUCCAGCUUGGACUGCGCCUAUAAUAGAAUCUCGAUAUUCGAGAUGCCUAUUAUCCCUUAAACACAUGACAAUAGAGGUGUUUAAACCUAAUCUUGUUAAAGGCUUAGCUGCUACUUGAAUCAUACCAAAGUGUAUGAAAUUAUAGCCAUCUUUCUUAUGCUUAUCAAUGGAUCUGUUAUCUAGAAGUCUUAUGACUUGGUCAUCUUGUUCUAAGCUGACUGACAUUUCAGAGGUCUUAAUGGUAUAAUCUGUGAAGAACUUAAAGGUUCCUUUCUUAUAAAUUUCUUGAUUAGACACCUUGGGUAACUUCCAAUCAUCUAAAUCAUUUUGAAUCUUAGGAUAAUUGAUCUCUUCACUGUUUACAACAGUAUCUUGAGAAUCGCUGGAUCUCCUAGACAUGGUUCUGAAAAUUGAACUCAUUUUAGGGUUUUUGAACUAGAGCCUAAUUGUAGAUUGACAGACCUUAUGAGACGUCACCCCAACCCUCUUACAGCCUAACAAACGCCUAUCCACAGCUAACAACGGCUCAACCGGCAGGGCUCACGCUCCCAGGCACACUGCUACCUAUCCUAGGAUAGGCCAAGAACACCCAAAACAAGACCCAACUUCCCUCCCACAUGGCUCUGAUACCAUAGACACCCAAUAAGAAAAUCUAAGUAAUCAUCAGCCUUUUGUCUUCCAUCAAGAAUAUUUUACAAGCUUUGCAGUUUCUACACCAAAAGCAGCAAGCAUGUGUCUACUCAGUAUAAAGCAUCAUGCAAGAAGUCUUCUCAGCCGAAAAAGGGUUUUUCGGGGGAUUUCGGUAUAAAAGUGAAUCUUACUAUUCACUAUUCACUAUUCAAGCACGGGUCUACUAUUCAUGGUUACUAUUCAAGAUUCCUUUUUUGCCUAUUUAAGGAGGCUCGGUCCUCAUUUGUAAGCACGCUUAAUUUUAGUUCUGUUUCUCUCCCAAGCUUAUGCUCUCCCUUCUCUCUUCUUUCUCUCUCAUCAUGUAAGCCCUUCAAGCUUUCAAGCUUUCUUCAAGCUUUCCUACCCCUGUCCAUUGUAAAGAUAUUUCUCCUUAUGUAUAAUACAAGUAUGUUUUGAUUACCUCCUAUAUGGAUGGUUUUUAUUUAAAUUUUGUUUUUCAUUUUAUUUUAUGUUCUUGUACCGCCUACAUGGUCGGUUUUAAUUAAGUUUUAUUUCUAAGUUUAUGUUUUUUAUUUUGUACCGCCUACAUGGUCGGUUUUAAGCUUAUUAUGAACUAACAAGUUUUUGGUUCCUUCUCUUUAAAUUUCAUUGUUGGAUAUCUUUUGUAUUUUCUAACCCUCUUCUUUGUUUUGAAUCAUGGCAUAAUUCUUGUUUUCAUUGCAUAUGACCUUGUCCUGGGUGUCUAUGGUAUCAGAGCCAUGUGGGAGGGAAGUUGGGUCUUGUUUUGGGUGUUCUUGGCCUAUCCUAGGAUAGGUAGCAGUGUGCCUAGGAGCGCAAGCCCUGCCGGUUGAGCCGUUGUUAGCCGUGGAUAGGCGUUUGUUAGGCUGUAAGAGGGUUGGGGUGACGUCUCAUAAGGUCUGUCAAUCUGCUAUUAGGCCCUAUUUCAAAAACCCUAAAAUGAGUUCAAUUUUCAGAACCAUGUCUAGGAGAUCCAGUGAUUCUCAAGAUACUGUUGUAAACAGUGAAGAGAUCAAUUAUCCUAAGAUUCAAAAUGAUUUAGAUGAUUGGAAGUUACCCAAGGUGUCUAAUCAAGAAAUUUAUAAGAAAAGAACCUUUAAGUUCUUCAUAGAUUAUACCAUUAAGACCUCUGAAAUGUCAGUCAGCUUAGAACAAGAUGACCAAGUCAUAAGACUUCUAGAUAACAGAUCCAUUGAUAAGCAUAAGAAAGAUGGCUAUAAUUUCAUACACUUUGGUAUGAUUUAAGUAGCAGCUAAGCCUUUGACAAGAUUAGGUUUAAACACCUCUAUUGUCAUGUGUUUAAGGGAUAAUAGGUACCUCGAAUAUCGAGAUUCUAUUAUAGGCGCAGUCCAAGCUGGACUGAAUGAUGGCCCAGUUUAUUUCCAGUGCUAUCCUAACUUCACAGUUAGAAUAAAGUCACCAUGAUGUAAUUUUAAGUUAGUUAUACUUUAAUUUAGAUGGUUUGUUUUUUAAUUGAAUAAAAAAAUCAAAAUAUUUGACUUUUUUUCUAUUCAGAUAAAAAUAAUCUAUUAAUAUUAAUUAAUAUAAUUAAAAGUGAACUUGUUAUUAAUAGAUUCAGUUUAGUUAUAUUAGUUGAUAUAAAUAAGUUAUUUUUAUCUGAAUAGAAAAAGCUCAUAUCCAAAUAACAAACACCACUUUAGUCUCUCAAUUUUUAUUUUUUUUUAAACAAUGUUACCUUGAAAUUAUGCCUAAAUAUUAAAUAUGUAAUUUUGUUAAAAAAAAAAAAAAACCAUAUGAGAAGCACAUAUAUAUUGUUAUUGGUUUUAUGUGGUAUGUUUGGAUAAACUUAAUCUAUCCAUAUGUUUGUUAGGUGUAUACACAAUUGAGUCUAAUUUUGAGUAUUAAAAUUACUAUUGAACCAUCUAAUUGAUUUUCAUCUAGUCAGAACUAAGCAAACUAGAAUUACGAAACCCGGUGGUCCAACAAUCAUAAUAACUUGUCUAAAUUGGUGUACUUCACUUUGAUUUGGUAUAAUUUGAUUUAAUAUUAAGAACUAUUUUUUUUUUAUUAAUUUGGGUGAAAACCCAAUAGCUUACAAUUCAAUAUCAUGGGUUAAAGAACUUAAAUAAUACUACUAUAAGAAGUUGUCUUAAGAACUAUUCAAAUCAUAUCAUUAGAUUCAUUACAACUCAUACUAGUAAUUUUUUUUUAAUAUCUCAAAAUUUUAAAUAAUUUGUAAAAUUAUUACUUUUUUCUAUAAGAGUUUUUAUGUCUUAUAUAAAAGUUAUUGCUAUUAUCUAAUUUUAAAAUUAAAAAACAAAAAACAUAUACAAAUUCAAUAAAAAUAUAUUUAUUGAGUUCUAUGUUUUAAAAAAAAAAAUUCUUUUACUUUUCCUUCUUCAAUUUUUAUCCUUAUUUUCUCUCCAUUGUACAUUCUCUUAAACAUAUUUAAAUUCGAACAAAGUUUUAAUCUUCCUCCAUCUUCAUCUCAUUUUAUGUUAAGUAGUGAUUUGUGGUUGGUGACAAAGCUACUUCAGAGAUCCCUCUUGAAACAUUUUUCAAAUACAAAAAUUCAGUAUCUUUUCCCGAAUUUGUGAAUUAGCCAAGAUUCUUUUAUACACGAUAAUAAGUAGCACAUAAAUUUUAUUAUAAAUGCGAAAUACUUAUCAAGUAAAAAUGCAAGGUCAUUUCUCUGCUUGGCUAGUGAAGCAUGGGCUAGUUCAUAGAUCUUUGGGCUUUGAUUAUCAGUAUAAAAAUGGUUUUACCUUAACACUUCUAUCGAUUGCAUUUCUAUUAGAUCAUAUACAUAAAAAAAAAUAGUUAGUGUUUAAAUGUAAAUAAAAAACUAUUUUCAAAGUGUCAUUGAUACUAAAAAAAACAAACUAAAAUAAAUAUAUGAAGUGCAAAUCUAAGAAUUGGGUGAUUCUUUAGGUUUUUACUAAUUUUAAUCAUAUUUGAUUUUAUUUACUAUUUUUCAUAGUAAGAUUAAAUAGAAGAAAAUUAUUUUCCUUCAUAAUACAUAUAUAUUUUUUUUACUUUUUUUUAGUACAUUUUAGGAACCAAAUAUAGCAUUAAUGGGGUAUUUGUAAUUUCAUCUUCUCAAAUAUUUUUUUACCACUUUUAGGAGGUUUUGGCAGCAAGCUUUAAGAUGGUGGGCUGGAGCAGUGAUCUUCUCUUAAAGCAAGCAGCAUGUGACGACAGGUGGCAUCGGAUACUUUUCUUGAAGCAACCCGCAUGUGACAGGUGGUAUGGGAUUCAGAGGCCGUUGGGAGUAAGCUUGGGCAGUAAGAAAUCUGAGCCGGAGGGUGAGAAAAACAGAGAGGAGCGGAUGCAUUGUUUUUUUUACAGAGAACAGGGUGAGAGGUAAGGAUUCUGGACAGAAAACCAUGGUAAGCUGAGCUUAGACCAUGGGUGAGCUGUAAGAGUGAGAGAGAACGGAGGAGAAGGGUUUUCUAGAGAGAGCUAAAACAGAGGAAGAAAAAUGAAGUGAGAGCAAGGAGGAGAGAGUGAGCUGGGGAAGACAUCUGAAACAAGAGGAGCUAUAGGGAGGUGAUUUUGAGCUGAGCAGGGGAGUGAGUUGGAUUUUGAGAGGGUUUGAGGCUGUGAAAAUGAGCUGAACAGUGAGAGGGGCAGAGGAGAGAAAGGGAGUGGGUUUGCUGCGGUUUUGAUGUAAGCUUAGGAGAAGAAGCAGAGCAGCUUGAAGCCCAGUUAGUUCCGCUGGAGGGGAGCAUUUCCAGGUACGUUUGCUAGACCACGUAUUGAUUGCAGUUGAUUUUCUUUGGGUUGCUGUGACUGUGUUAUAAUAAAUCCAUGCUUGGUUCUUUAUGUGAAAUUUGUUUAAGAGUGAUCUAGCUCAUUUUUAGCUUUCCUUUGAGCGUCCGAGUCAUAUUUUCGAUCUUAUUUUCUCCUGGUUUUUCCCACCCACACAUAAGCCCAUCGACUUCAAUAUGAGAAGGGGCUCGGUUUAAUGUCUUCUUUGGCUCAUUUGAUGCUCUGUUUUUCCCUGAAAAUUUACCAUGAGUGGGUUCUACAUUUCAUGUGCACCAAAAAGGUGCUUAUGUUUUUCUCUAGUUUCUGAGUUUCUGAGCGCCCAAACAGUAAAAAUGCAGAAUUAGUUCUAUCGUUUUUGGUGUUUUUUUCACUUUAUUCAUGAAAUUUCUGAUUGUAUAUUGAAAUUGUAUAUUAUUACAUUGUUUUUGGUUGGAUGCUUCCUUUAAAUGCUUGAAAUCUUCAUUUUUUUUAUUGCCCGGAAUGGAAUUUUUGGUCAUAUUUGAUGAUAUAUGAGUGCAUAACAAAUGUUUGCAUGUCCAAAUUUACAAUAUUUUAUAAAUUUACACCUGCAACUUAGGUUGUGCCUCAUUUUUCUUUGGUGCUCCUUGGGUGUUGUCCCUUGCAGUUUAGUCACUAGGAGUCUUCUGCACCUUGUGCCUUUCAUAUUUCAUUGCAAUCCUAUUUAGGGAAAAUAACACUAACUUGCCUUGAGGUUUGUUGUUAGAAUUAUAGUGACCUCCCCUCACAUUUGAAAAAAGAUGCUAUUCUCACUCAAGGUUUGAUAUAACUAAAGCAGUGAUAAACACAACAGACAUGUAAUGUGGUCCGGUUCCUUUUUUACAAUCGUAAUUCUCAGAGGAUUUCUUCACCAAUGAGGGGUUUUUCUUUGAUUAUGUAGGAGUUUAGCUUUAAGUAUUCCUACAGUGGAUGAGUCUUUUUAAUUGGUCUUGUGGCUGAGAUAUGCAUCUGUUAUUUCCUUAGAUUACUUUUUCCAUUCGGUUGAUUGGGAGGAACGUUUCCAAAUGUGUCCUAGUGCAUUUUUCUUAGACCACUUUCUGAUCAUUUCUUUUUACUGUGGUGGGGCUAGGAUUUGGAGAUGGAGAUGUUCUUUCAGGUUGGAGAACAUGAGGCUUCGAGUGCAUACAGUGCAUGAGUUUGGAGUUGUUAAAAAUUGGUAGUUUACCUAUCAGUUUACGGGUCUCUCCAGUUUUGUCCUUUGCUAGAAAGUUGAAGGCUCUGAAAGAUGAUCUGAAACAUGGACUAGAGAGGUAUUUGACACUGUUCCCUUUCAUAAAGUUUGUGUCUUGGAGUGAAUUAGCUUUUAGGAUUGUAAGGGUGGGUAUAAGCUUUAUUUGGAUGAUAACCACUUAGCAGUGUGGGAAGAGAGGUCUGAGUGAUGGAAGUCAAGAGGUGUUCUGUGCAUGCUAUUCAUUAACAUGCACAUUUGUCCCAACCACUAAAACAUAUUAAACUACAUGUUCAAUAUCCACUUCUACCCAAUGCUGAAACCUGUGUUCCAACACAAGUAGCCCUGUACUCUGUUCACAGUCCAUGGCUAUGCCUGAUCAAGGGACGUUGGUGUCUUUUUGUGCCAAAAUGUUUUGACAUCGUGAAAUUCAUAAUCAUUAUUUCAAAGUUAAAAAUAUAAUUAUAAAAAAUUAAUGAAGGAAACAAAAUAUUUUGUAGUUAUACUUGAUUGUACUUGAGAUGCAAACCAUCAAGACCAAAUGACUCUUAUAUUAAAAUAUGUGGACAUUUGAACAGCUCUUCUACACGUAGAUUAAUAUUUUUAGAAUUUUUAAAAGUUGAUGAUGCAUAUACUAAGUGGUUGUCAUAACCUCAAUCUGAUUUUUUUUUUUUUUUUGAUUAAGUAAUAAGAUUUAUAUAAUAAUAAUAUUAAAAGUAAAAGAAUAUUUUCAGAAUUUUUAAAAGUUGAUGCAUAUACCAAGGGAUUGUCAUAAACUCAAUCUGAAAAAUAAAUAAACAAAUUUUAGAUUAAAUUAUAUUUGCAUAAGUAAUAAGAGGUCUUAUUUAUAUCUUCAUUUAUUUAUUUAUUGCCUUAGGCCACAUUUCUUGUUGAGCCUCCCUUUGUGUCUUUUGUUUUGUUUUCUUCCCUCCCCUGCCCCCUUUUUUAAGCAUUUGAUCCCCAUUAUCGUUCAUCUAAGUUAUUGUUUUGAAUUUGAAUUCUUUUUUUUUUCAAUUGAUAUUCUGACUUCAAUGUUGUUGGUACCAGAAGGAUGGCCUUAGAAGCAGCAGCAGUGGAAGCAGCAGUGACUGAUGUAUAUAGAGAUGGGCGAAGCUUAUUAAGUUGGUAUGGUCGUAAAUUUGGUUAUUGGAAGAAUCUAAAAAGAAACAAUGAAGAUUUAAUGCAGAAAGCUAGAGAGCUUUGGGAACUGAGAAAUGGCAUAAGGGAAGGAAUAAGCCAAAAUAGAAUCAGGCCAGACACAACAGCAUGGCUGAGAUGAAUGAAAGUGAAGCGAUAGAACUAGACACCAAAUACAAUGAUAGAAAAAACCACCCAUGGAAAUUGUUUCGUUUUUGGAAGGGUGCUAGUCUUAGCAAAGACAUGGCUGAGAAGUGCAAGCAAGUUCUUAGUCUUUGGGAAGAGGGAAAACGUAAAAGAGGAGUGUUGGAUGCGGAGCUGCCAAAGCGUGUCGUGGGAAUACGUCCAGCCAAAAUAGAAUAUAAUUGAAAACUUGAACACUCAUGACAAUAUUAACAAAAUGUUUGAUAUUGUCACCGGGUAACUGUCCCAAAGGAGUGGAGCGAGGUAGGGUUGCAACAGAGUAGGCUAAAUUUGAAUAUGGGAGGCCCUACAGACAUUGAGGAAAAUACACAGAUAAUAUUCGAAGAGUUGAAGGAAAUGAAGUGUUUGAUNNNNNNNNNNNNNNNNNNNNNNNNNNNNNNNNNNNNNNNNNNNNNNNNNNNNNNNNNNNNNNNNNNNNNNNNNNNNNNNNNNNNNNNNNNNNNNNNNNNNAUAUCAAACAUUUUGUUAAUAUUGAUCAUGAGUGUUCAAGUUUUCAAUUAUUGUGGUCUUCCCGGUUCCCACCAUUCCCCAGAUUCCUAUUCUUUUUAUUUCCGGAUCCUCUAGAAAAAGCACUAGAAUAUCUUUUUAUUUCAAUUAUUGUUGACUUAUUCUUAUAUGUUUAUCAUAAGUUCUAUAUAUAUACUAAGAAUUGCAAAGUCUUUAGAAUAUCUUAUUUCUCAACUCGGUACUAGAGCAGCUCAGUCACGACAAUGGCUACCUCUUUUCAAAGUAAUCAAUGAUCAAGCUUGGUAUGUCGAUAGUAGAGCCACUGAUCACAUCACAACCAAUCUGAGCACACUUUCUCAAAAGACAGUGUACAAAGGUAAAGAGAAGCUGGUUGUAGGAAAUGGUCAACAAUUUUAAACCAUUAUUCAUGAAUCAUGUUCUACAUGCCCCUUACAGUUUACUAAAACAAUAAUGUUUGCUGAAAUUUACAAUAAUCCAUCAAAGAAAUUUAGUAUUUGGCAUAGCUAACUUGGCCACCCAUGUGUACCAAUUCUAAAAUAUGUUAUGAAUACAAUUGGUAUUUCGAAUAAUUUUGAACUUGAUUUUUGCACUACUUGUUAACUUGGAAAGUCUCACCAAAUUUCUUUUUCAAAGUCGACAAAUGUAUCAUCUUAUCCUCUUGAACUAAUUCACUUAGACAUAUGGGGUCCAACACCCGGCAGCUCAAAGGAAGGAUACAAAUAUUACAUACAUUUCAUAGAUUACUACACAAAAUACACUCACUACAAAAAACCACCCUUUUGAUGUUUUCAAUAAUGCAAAAUAUUUAUGCUACAACAAUUUGUCAUCACAACAAAUAUGCAUUUGCUAAAAAUAUUUCUAUAAUAAAUUUAUUAUUUUAGUUAUAAUAAUGUUAUGAUUAAAGAUUUAUUUUUAAUUACAAUUAUAUAUCAUGAAAUAAAAAUUUAUUUUUGAUUAUUGCAUUUAUAUGUAUUUAUAUAGUCAAACUAAACUUUAACUAUAAUUACAUAUCACCAGGAAAAUUUUAUAAAUCUUCAAUGGUCUUGAACAAGUGCAUUUUAUUGGUGGUACAUGAUUAUCCCCAAAAAGUAUAAAAAUGUAUUUUUUAUAUAAUUAUUACAUAAGAAAUAGAUAAAGUAAAUGUUAUCACCAAAAAGAAUAAAAGUGUAUCUUUUAUAUAAUUAUUACACAUUACAAUAAAAAUAGAUAUAAGAAAUAUAUAAAAGUAAUUAUAGAUGGAAUGUCGCCUGCCACCAACUGCAAGAAAACAAAUAAAAUAAUAAUUAAAUUAUUAUUGCAAAAAGAAACACACAGCACACACAAAAAUAAAUAAUAUUAAAAAUUAAGAAAAAAGAAAUCAUAAAUAUUUAAGAUUAGCUUCUAUUCAUUCGUAUAUAUUCAAUAGGAUUAAAAAAAAUGAAGAGCAUUAUUUAAAAAAAAAGAAGAAAUAUUAAAUAAAAUUUUUGCAUAAAAACAGAAAUCCAAGUGAAGGAAAAAUUUAAAUACCGAUUGUUUUUUCAACCGUAGUCUUUCAAAGAGAACUCUCCCUUGAACACUUUGAAAGAAAAAGAAAUGAAGAAAACUUCAGCAAAUAAAAAAAAUCAAAUAACUCUGUUGAAAAAAAAAAGUUUUUUCUAAAUGGAAAUAAAUAAUAGUAGGAUAAAAUCUCUCUAAAAUAAUAUUUAUAUAGAAAGUCUUUUUAUUCAUCUUUGACAUGGCAAAAUUUUAAAAUAAGCCUAUGAGUUGACAUGGUGCCCCAAUUAAGAGUAGUACAUAUAGUGGGACUAUUAAAAUUCACCAAAGAUAAGCUGGGACCAAUGUUUUCAAAAUCGGAUCGGUCAUCGAAUCGGAAAAGUCAUCGAUUCACAGUUUAUUGAUUGGACUGGUGGUUGAAUCGUUUUCAGAAUUGGACCGGUCAUAGAAUCAGAAAAGUUAUCGAUUUACGGUUCAUUGGUUGGACUGGUGGUUGAACAACGAUCGAACCGGUGACGUCAUAAAUAUGUAAUUUAUAUAUUAUUAAAAUUAAAAAUAAUUAUAAAAAUUUUAAAAUAUAUAUGAAUAAAUUAAAAAUCAAUAAUAUUAUUUUAUAUCUUUAAUAUUAUCAAAUUAAAUCAUAUUAAUAUUUUAAAUUUUAUUAAAUGAAAUAUGUAUAAAAUUUAAAUGUAAAUAUAUUAAAAAAUGAAAAUUUAAAAUAAUUUUGCAAUUUUUAAAAAUAUUAUAUGAUUUUUAUUUAAUAUUACAAAAAAUUUUAAAAUCCAAUAUAUAUUGUUUUGUUUGAAAUAUUAGAUAACAAAAGGCAUGUAGCUGAGUGGUGUCCUAGGUUGGUUACAGAACCUGAGGUUCAGGCUUCAAGCCUUGGAUUUCCUCAUUAGGGUCAAGGCGUCACCACGUGGGCUCAAGACUCAGCCUACAAAAUGGUUGGGGGUGGGUGUGGGCUUUGUCAUUAUAAGACAGGGCCAGCAUGGGCUUUUAACAAAAAAUUUUAUACAAUGGAGCCUUCCAUGCUUACAAAAUGAGGGGGCAACUUCAACCGUUCGGUUCGUUUAAAGCAGUGGCUAGGACAAGCAAAAAUAAAGCAAAAAUAGGAGUGAGGCGGAAGCAAAGAGUGCAGAUAUCAAGCUGAGAUGCCGGAGUAGUGCAACAGCAAGGCCUCUACUGCCUAUAGUUCGACUCCUCAUCAUGAGCACUGCAGUCUGGCCUGCAACAUAGACGCUUAGAAAUCCCAUAAACACCCACAUAGCUAGUCGGUUUGCUUCGAAAACAGAAACGGGGCCUUGCAUAUACUUCACUCCAAGUACAUAAAUCAGGAGGGGAAUGAAAAACCCUAAAGCAGCAUCGAGUUGAACUGGGAAGCCUUGUCCACUAUAGCUGCACACAUGCACCACCAAAUCAUUAAAGUCAAGUGCCAAGCAAAAGGAAGAGCAUAUGUAGCUCCGCAGUCCAGGAAGACCAAAAAAACAAAGUGAAAAGUAGUUAAGAGUUAAGACAAGCUCCAACUAGCAAAAAAACAAAAGAAAAGAUGUUGUUAUAGCUAAAACUUUAAUGAAAAUAAUAUUAGUUAAUAGUUCAAGAACAUAAAGGUAAAACCAUCUAGACGGAUUAAGAUAUAUAAGAUUUAAAAAUGAUUUGACCAAUCAAUUAUUUUUCUGACUCUUUCUAUAAAUGUUUUCCAACUCUUUCUAUCUAAACACUGAAUUACUUCACUCUUUCUGGUGUCUCCCCUUUUUUCUUCCAUCUCCAUCCAUCAUGCGUAAUCUUGGAACAUCCAUCUUCAUCUCAUAACCUACUAAUUAGAAUUUGAGACACUUUCUACGAAAGAGAAGAAAAAAAGGUUACAGAAAGAGGUCAUGGGAACAAGGGGACAAAUUAACUCAACAAGUUCCGAACAAGAAAAACUGUACUGUCAUAUCUUCUUUCAACGGAAAGUUGGAAACUGAUAUGGCAACCAUGCAGAGAUGAUUUCAUUGUGGAUGCAUGAUCAGAGGAAGACUGAGAAUGAGAAUGAGAAUAAGAAUAAGAAAACUGGGGAGAAAACGAAGACCAUCAGCAAGCUAGAAUGAAAAUUUUAAAAAUUUGAUAAAAUAAUUUAAAGAUUUGAUAAAAUUUCUUAAUAUAAUAAAAUGUUUGGUUUUGCUUGCUUUUUCUAGAACUAAACUUCUUAAACAAUAAUAAAGAAAUAUGGUAAGAUCUUUUUAAUAAAAGUUUUUUUUCUCUCUUUUGUUAACAUUUGUCUUGACUACAACAUAAUUACUUUUCCCCUCGUAGUUGUAGAAUACAUGAGAAUGAGAAAUUAAAUUAAAUUUUAUAAUUAUUAAAUAAAUAUAUAGUUUAUUUAAUAUAUUAUUUUAUAAACUCCACAUAAAACUAUAUGCAAUAUAUAACAUUAAAAAAAAAUCAACCUUUAUUUUAGUGUUUUUAAAAAUAAAUUUUAAAAUCUUAAAACUUUGAUAAAUAUUUUACCAAAAAAAUGAUUUUAAAAUAUGGCAGACAUAAAAAAAAUGAAGAUAAUUUAUUUAUUUGUCUCAAAUUUUAAUAAAUGAAUUAACUUAAAUUUUAUAAUAAUUUUUAAAAAUUAUCCUAAAUAUAAUAUUUAUAUAGGAAUGUUUUUACAAAUUCAAGUAUGAGAUGAAGUGUAAACUUGCAUAUGCAUUAUUUUCAUCUUUAAUAAAUUUUUAUAAGAAUUGUAUGAUUUUAUUCUAAAUAUAAAUUUUUUGAUAUAUUCUAUUACUAAUUUAAUUUAUACAUAAAUAUAGAUAUAAUAUAUAUUGUUGCUUCACUCAUAUUAUAUUGUCAUUAAAUGCAAUCAUUAAAAAUCUUUAGAGGCAAUAAUAUAUUUGUGUCAUGAAAAAUAGGGUUUUAGUGACUACAUUUCAAACAUAGCUAAAAUUGUUGUCACUAAAAGUCAUUUUUCUUGUAGUGACUUGGAUCCAUCCCUUACGGUUGAAAUCAAAAUCCAAAACCAAAAUUCUAAAUCCUAGUUGAAAGACACUUUGAUAGGAAAAUCAAAAUACUACAAACUAAUUUCCCGUAGGGGGGGUGUUGGGGGGAGGGGGGGUGUGUGAAUACCGCAAUCUUAAACAAUUUCUUGAACAAUAUGCAUACAAUUCAGACAUCCAUGCAUAUACACACACCAACUGUGCCCUUAUCUUUCUUGUGGAAAGCCUUUAGCACAACAAGCUUUCUCAUAAACCACCUACCGACUCUUGCCUUUCGCCUAUCUUUCUCCAAUUGAGGCCUUAUUCUAUCAAAAACUAGACUUUCAAUUUUUAAAAACUUUCAGUUGUGCUUGCUAUCCUCACUUAAGACCAUAUAAUAAUAAGAAGCCACAAUUUAGAUCCUCUAAGUGUGUAUUUUUAGGUUAUAGUACUUAUCACAAAGGUUACAAGUGCCUACAUCCCUCUAGAAGAAUUUACAUUGCUUGUAGUGUCUGCUUUGAUGAAAAUGAUUUCCAUUGUAUUUGGUUUUCCAUGUUCCAACUCACAUCCAGAUUACUCUUCCACUGAAAAUUCAUUUUCUCCUUGUCAUCAGUGGAUUCCUAAGUUUGAUUGUCCAAGUCCAAUUAAUGUUGGCAUGACAGUUUCUGGUGCACUUCAGAUCUUAGAAUCCACUACAUCCUCACCAAGCUCUUUUGGUUCAAGUCAAAACAAUAAUCAAGGUAAUAGUUCUGGUCUUUCUCUUACCAAUAAUAUUGAAAUUCCUUCCAUUGAUUUGUCUGAAGAACUCUUUUUUAAACCUAUUGAGCAACAUCAAGAUCACAUACAAAAACAACCCGAAAUAGUCCAUCCUAUACCUUGUCAAACCUCAACUCACCUUAUAACCACUAGAUCCAAAUCAGGCAUUUCUAAACCCAAGCUCUACCUUACUAACACAAAACCCAAAUCAGCAUUUGUCUUAAUUGAGAACUUAGAAGCAAGCCAUGGAUUAGGGAUAUGAGGCCUUAAUGAAAAAUAACACUUGGGUUUUGGUACCAUAUGAGGUUGGUAUGAACAUUGUUGACAAUAAGUAGGUAUUCAAGGUUAAGAGAAAUUCAGAUGGUACAAUUCAAAGAUAUAAAGCCCAACUGGUUACCAAGGGCUUUCAACAAACACCGAGAGUUGACUACUUUGAAACAUUCAGUCUAGAAGUGAAGGCUUCAACAAUCUAGGUUGUUUUGACUUUGGCAGUAACAAAAAACAGGGAUAUACAACAACUUAAUGUAAAUAAUACUUUUCUGAAUGGAGAAUUACAAGAGGAAGUGUAUAUGCACCAACCGGUAGGCUAUAUCAAUCCAUUCAAAGUAGAAUUUGUUUGUAAACUCAAAAAGGCUCUCUAUGGAUUAAAACAGGCACCCUGAGCCUAGUUUGACAAGCUUAAGGUAGCAUUAAUCAGUCUUGGUUUUGUGAACUCCAAAUCAAACAACUUUUUAUUUGUGUUCAAGUCUACAAACGCAAUUCUCCUAUUGUUGGUAUAUGUUGAUGAUAUCUUGAUAACUGGGAAUGAUCAAGUGAAGAUGAAAAAGAUUAUUGAAAGCUUGAAUGCACAAUUUGCCUUGAAGAAUUUGGGAUCAUUGAGCUAUAUCCUAGGUUUUAAAGCACAUUGAACAAAGUCUAGAAUCUAUCUCUGAAGAAAUAUAUGAUUGAUCCAUUGUACAACGCUAACAUGUUGAAUGUUGAAAGCAACCCAACACCUAUGUGCCAAGGAACAAAAAUUCACCUUACUGAUAGUGAUUUAUUUGAACAACCAACUCUAUAUUGGAGCAUCGUUGGAGCUUUGCAAUACCUAACUCUAACCAGGCUAGACAUAUCAUUUGUUGUAAACAAACUGAGUCAAUAUUUGCAGACACCAACAGUUAAUCACUGGAAAGCUUGCAAAUGCAUCCUUAGAUACUUAAAUGACCCUUUUGACUAUGGGCCUCUCUUCUCGCCAACAACAUAAGUGACACUAGAAGGGUAUGUUGAUGCAAAUUGGGCUAGUUCCUUGGAUGAUAGAAAAUCUACAAUAGGUUAUUCUAUUUAUCUUGGUGGAAACUUAGUUGCAUAGAACUCCAGAAAAUAAAAGGCAGUAUCUCGCUCAAGCACUGAACCACAAUAUUGUGCCCUUACUUAAGCUAUAACUGAACUUGUUUGGUUGCAAUCUCUAUUAUUUAAAUUAGGAAUUGAGAUAAAUAGGUGCCUUACACUCUGGUGUAACAAUACUGGAGCUAAACAACUUUCUUCUAACUCAAUCUUCUACUCAAGAACAAAACACAUUGAGAUUGAUGUUCAUUUUAUCGAAGAUAAGGUAAUUGCAAAAGAACUGGAGAUAAAAUAUGUGCCAACAGAAGAUCAAACUGCUAAUAUCUUUACAAAGUUAUUAUCCAUAUCUCAAUUCCACUUUCAUAAAGGCAAGCUUGUUGUUGUUCAAUCCCCACGGUCUCGUUUGAGGGAGCAUGUUGAAGACUUUUUUGUAUGUGGAAAAUGACCUAUCUUAUCAAAAUUAGUUAUAGAGUCCCUCCAAACUCAAACUCUAUCAGAGCUCUCUCGGACUCUUUCUCUUUCUGAGAAGCUCCAUUCUCAUCCUUAUCUAUUGGUUAUGAUAGGCUUUCCCUUAUUCUUAUCUGUUAUCAUAAGUUUUAUAUUCUAUAAAACCACUCAAGUAAAGUUAAAAUAGACUAAGAAUUGCAAAGUCUUUCAAAGCUCCAGAAUCUCCUAUUUCUCAACUAUAUGAUAUCCAAAAACCUUUUUAAUGUAGCAGUAGAAUGAGCUAUAUAUAAAUUCAAUUAUUAUAAAGUCAAACAAAUAAAAUAAAACUAGAAGAUAAGACUUCAUUUAAAAUAAAACUAGAAGAUAAGACUUGAUUGAGUCUUAUUAUUCUGGGUUGUUUAGUUUGGAAAAGUCCUAGAUUUUGAGGAGUUUGAAUUUAAAAUAACAUCAGAAGAUAAGGCUUGAUAGAGUUCUAUUAUUCUAGGUUGUUUAUUUUGGAUGAGUCUUAGUGUAUUUAAAUUUGAUUUUAUUUCUAAUUUGAAUUAGAGAGAAUAUUUGAGUAUGUUGGUUAGUUGCUAAAUUUAGGGAUUGCUUUGUUUAUUUAAGUUCUUGAUGUAAACCAAAAUUUUUAAUAAAGUGUUAUCUAGUUUCUCUUCCAAAUUCAAUAUGGUCUUAGAUCUUUAGUGACUUUGCCUAUAGAGAGCAGGUUACACGUAGGCAAGCAAUCUAAAGCUAUUCUGAAGAAUGGAAUAAUGGCACUCCCUUUACCGGCCAUUGGAAGAAUGGAAUAAUGACACUCCUUUUACCGGCCACUGGUGAGAAAAAGCUAUCAACAAUUUUAAUUUUAUUACUCUCAAAACAAGGUUGAUAAGAGUGAAAGAGAGUUAUAUCAAAGGUCAUGUGAUCAGAUGCACCGAAGUUGAUAAUCCAUGGGUUUGACUUCGAGAAAGCAUUCAAGGCUCUAGAACAUAUACCUUUCUAGGCAAUGGAACCAGAUCCUAUAGUGGAGGUACUUGAAGGAUCACAUGUGAGGAGUUUCUAAAGUAGCUCCAUCCUUUCUCGGUUGAAAGGAGUUUUGUUGGCUGACUUAUUGGAUUGUGGUGGUUCAUCAUUGGUAGCACGAUAACCUCAAGGUCCAUUUUCAUAUGUUUUGUUACUUUUCCAAUUGGGCAGCUUCCCAUGAAUUUUCCAACAAGUUUCUCAAGUGUUACCAACUCAAUUACAAUGAUCACAUCAUGACCUAUUGGAUCUUCUUCAUGAAUCAAAGUGUUGAGAAUUUGGUCCCUUGGUGGCUAGACUGAUCCAUCCUUGCUUAGAAAGGACAAUGAUGAGGUGUGAUCCUUCAUCAUGACCUUCUUUUGUCUCUCUUCUUACCAAACAUCAAAACACACUUCUUGAAGUAAUGGGUGUGGUUUGGUGUUAAGAACCCUUUAUUGGACUUCAUUGAGAUUCUUGUUGAGUCCAACCACCAAGAAUGUGAAGAUCCUUUAUUUUGCCACAAUUUUCUAAUAUUUGAGGCUAUCACUAGUGCAAUCUCAUUCCAAUUAUUUGAACACGUUUAGUUUUUGACAAUAUUGGAAGAGAAUGCUAAAGUAUUAGGUCACACUAAGGUCCCUUUUCCAUAAUUCUAGAAGUUGGCGUUUGAUUUUGAACAUCUUUGCUAUUCGAAAAAAUCUCCUUGGUUGCAUCCUAGAUUUCUUUUGCUAUCUUAUAGAAUAGGAAUGUCUGGCCUACUUUCGUCUCCAUGGAAUUAGUAAGUCAAGACAAAAUCAUAUUGUUCUCAAAAAACCAAGUUUUAUAAGAUGCAUCGUUCUUUGUCAAGGUUGUCUUCAAGCCUGUGAAGUAAUCAUCUUUGUCUCUCCCACAUAUAUACAUUAUUACUAAUUGAGACCGUUGGAGAUAAUUUUUGCCAUUUAAUUUGUAGUGAACAAAAUUCUCAAAACCACCAUUACUACCCAAAUUGACAAGAGUAGAAUCAGAGAUCACCUCCAAAAAUCUUGUUGGAUGUUCGCCAACCAUUGUAGUUUUCACCAUAUUUAAGUUUAGAUCUUAGGCUUUGAUACCAAAAUUUAGGUAACAUAAUAAUUGAUACUAAUUUGACUAUAUUAAAUGACUUGGAUGUUCCUAUUGCAUUUUGGAAAGGGGUUAGAUUGUGUACCACACAUCCCAUUGUUGAUUUUGUUUCCUCUCAAAGAUUAUCUCCACAAUUUCGAGCAUUUACUACUAAUCUUUCUAAAGGUGAUAUACCCAAGGAUGUUCAUGAGGCAUUACAACAACUAAAUUGGAAGACAGCUACACAUGAUGAGAUUAAAGCUCUUAGGAAAAAUGGAACCUAGGAAUAGACCAAAUUGCCUUUGGGAAAAUCUAUUGUAGGAUGCAAGUGGAUUUUCAAUGUGAAAUAUAAAUCUGAUGGGAAUAUUGAUAGAGACAAGGCAAGAUUGGUGGCUUUCAAUGUGAAAUAUAUGUCAAGGCAAGAUUGGUGGCUAAGGGGUUUGCGUGGGAUUUACGCAAAAGUAUGGAAUAGAUUAUUAGGAAACAUUUGCUCCAAUUGUGAAACUUAACAUUCUCUAAGUUCUACUCUCCAUUGCAAUCAACAAUGAUUGACCUCUUCAUCAAUUAGAUAUAAAAAAUGCAUUUCUAAAUGGUGAUCUCAAUGAAGAAGUUUACAUGGAAAUUCCACCAAGAUUCAAAGACGUUAAAAAAAGGAUCAAGUGUGCAAACAAUCACCUAGGGUUUGGUUUGAAUGUUUUAAUUCAAUUGUUAAGAAAGUUAGGUACAGUUAGGAACAAUCAGACCAGAUGAUGUUUUUUAAACAUUCAUUAGAUAGGAAGAUCAUCAUUCUUAUCAUCUAUGUUGAUAACAUAAUUCUUACAAUUGAUGAUGAAACAAAAAUGAUAAAUUUGAAAAACACCUUCUCUCGAGAAUUUGAAAUCAAGGACUUGGGAGCUCUUAGGUACUUCCUUGGCAUUGAGGUGGCUCGAAUUUCAAAGUGGAAUAUUAGUCUCUCAAUGGAAACAUGUCCUUGAUCUUCUGAAGGAAACUAGUAUGGUCAGAUGUAGACUAGUGGAAACACCUGCGGAGCAUAAUGGCAAGCUUAAUGAUGAAGAAGAAAGCCCUUUUAUUGACAAAGGUCAAUACCAGAGACCUGUUGGGAAGUUGAUCAUCUAUUUAUCCCAUAAUAGGCUAGACAUAGACUUUCCUAUUCAUGUGGUUAUUCAGUUCAUGCACAGUCCCAUUGAAGAACAUCUUAGUGUAGUUCACAUAAUUCUUCGAUACUUGAAAAUGACACUUGGAAAGGGGUUAUUUUUCUGGCUAAAGUAUUAGGAAAGGAAUCAAAGUAUAUUCUAACAUAAAUUGAGUAGAUUCCGUGAAUGAUAGAAGGUCCACCUCAAACUACUAUACCUACGUAUGGGAACUUGGUCACUUAGAGAUGUAAAAAGCAAUCCAUAGUAGCUCGAAGUAGUGGAGAAGCUAAGUUUCAGGCUAUUGCACUUGGUGUAUGUGAAGGACUAUGGCUAAAAUGUGUGAUGGAGGAGUUGAAGAUUUCAAAUGAGUUUUUGAUGAAAUUGUUUUGUGAUAAUCAAGUAGCCAUCAACAUCUCCCAUAAUCAGGUUCAUCAUGACAAAACCAAGCAUGUGGAAAUAAACUAACAUUCCAUUAAGAAGAAAGUUGACAAUGGAGAGUUUUUACUGUAGUACAUGCCUACCACUGCAAACAUUCUUACAAGAGCUCUACCAAGAUAACAUUUCAAUUCUCUUAUAAGCAAACUGGAAAUGAUCAAUAUUUAUUCCUUAGUUUGAGGAAUGUUGAAAUCGUGAGUUUUUUAGGAGUAUGAAUUUAAAACAAAACCAGAAGAUAAGGUUUGAUUGAGUCCUAUUAUUCUGGGUUGUCAAGUUUAGAUAAGUCUUAAUGUGUUUAAAUUUGAUUUUAUUUCUAGUUUGAAUUAGAGAGAUUAUCGAAUGAUAUUUUGCAGGUUGGUUAGUUGAUAAAUUUAGGGAUUCCUUCAUUUAUUUAAGCUUUGGAUGUAAACUAAAUUUUUUAAUAAAGUAUUAUCCAGUUUCUCUUCCAAAUUCACCUAUUGCAAGUGGAGACACCUACUCUAUUGGAUGUUAAAUAUUACCUACUUGUUUUCUCAUUAUUAGAUUCAUAUAAUUUGUUACUGCUUUUAUAAUGAUGAUAAUCACACAAACAUAUUUUUAGAUAUAUAGUUAAUAUGAUUCCACAUAAAUUAUGAUUCCACAUCCAUUUAUGAUAUACUUGUCGACUAUUUUAUGUUUACCUAUUAUUUUAAUUUUUUUAGAUGAAGAUGUUGGAUUAAAAGACCUCAAGUGGAGAGGUUUUGUAGUCACCUUAAAAAGACAAUAAGCAUGUCAGUUCAAGGCUCUGGCUAAUCAAUGUGUCAACUACUGCUAGAACAAUUUUUUAUUUUUUUUUAGUCCAUCUUUUGCUUAGAAUUUUCUACUAUUUACAAUUGAUAUUGUGGCUUUAGUUGUAUUCAAGGGGUUUUUUUUUUAAAUUUUUUUUUAUUUAUUUUUUAAAAAGUUAUGUUUGAUUUCUAGAAAGCAUUGAGAAAAGGAAAAGAAAUAUUGAAAAAAAAUUAUCAAAAAUGUUUGGAUUCUAUAAAAAGAGAUAAGGUUGCAAUUUGACCAAAUUGGGUGAAUUGGUCAGAACAAAAAGCCUAUAAUGGAAUCGGCAAGUUAUGUUUGAUUCCCAAAAUGUUUGAGGGAAAGAAAAUAGACAACAAAAUAUAAUGAAAGAGUUUAGGAAAAUUUAUAAUAUUUUUUUUUCUCGUUUGAAUGUUCAUGUUUUAUUAAAAAAAAAAUUAAAUUCUGAAGUAUCUAGAUCAUCAUGGUUGUAGCUUUGGUUAGAUGUAAAAUAUAUCAAAUAUCAAUAAAUGAGAACACUUACAUUUCCAUUUUCUUUAAGGCAGUUGUGGCCACAAAUGCAAGGGCCUUCAUGAAGCCACCAGAACCUGUCACUCAUAGACAAACAGCCAACAAAACAAACCAAAUAUUAGACAGUGAAUUUCGAAGGGCACAUGGAGUUGGAAAUUAGUAUUUCCCCACCCUGUUUUUAAGUAUGCAAAUGAGUUAGAAUACCCAUCUUAAGUGUUAGAAAUUGGAAUCUAAUGUCCAUAUGAGAAUACCUGAUCCAAACCUUAGGGGAGUCGGAUAAAUGAGUUAUACAUUCAGUGAUAUAUAUAGAUACACAAACAUCCCAAUAGAUGGCAGUAUAUCACCGCUAGUGCAAGUGUGCAUAUACCUUUUCCAGCAAAAGAGUAAAUAUUUUUUUAACAAAAACCAGCAACAUGUGCACAUGCUUUUUUCGAUUCAACCUGAAAAUCUGUGUAUCCUACUGGAUCAUUUAUGUCAAAGAAUAGAUCCAAAAUGCAAUGAAUUAGGCAAUGUACAUACCAGUUAUAAAUAAAGUGAAUAAAAUGGAGAUCACAUCUAUCUAUGGAAAGGAAAAAAAGACAUGAAAAAUAACCUAACCUGACUGUUGAGAAGGCUUUCUUUCUUGCCUCUCAGCUUCACCUGACUGUUGAGAAGGCUUUCUCUCUUGCCUCUCAGCUUCACCUGACUGUUGAGAAGGCUUUCUUUCUUGCCUCUCAGCAAGAAGCUGAUUCUCAAUUUCUUCUAUCUGAGUCGCCAAAUCUGCAUCACUUUUAAUGGGGACAAAUACAUUAUGCCACUGAGCAAGUCCAAAAUAUGAACUCAUCUUCAAUGUACUCCACCAGUCUUCCUCUCCUAUGAUCACCUUUAUACCAUGACAACAGACUUCCAUAUCAGACAGAGUUUCAAGGCGUGGACAGUUAUAGAAGCUCAUCCAUUCUAAUUUUGGUGCAAUGCGUAAACCACUUGAAAUGUUGACCAAUUUAGGCAUGUAAUGAAGUGAUAUCUUCCUCAAAUUAGGGAGAUAUGUUCUCAAGGGGAAUGGUCUAUGUUCAGCAGGAUCUUCAAGGGUCACUAUGCUGUUGAUUUCAGGGCACCAUUCAGCCACAAGCUCCUCUAAGCUGUUGAGAUUUUCAAGCAAACCCAAAGUAAAAAUGGUAGUCAGCUGUGGGCAUUCAUGCAAUGCCAAGGACUUUAGACUAGAUAGACAACCCCUCCAAACUGGUCCCUUCCAGAUGCUCACUAAAUUCUUCAUAUAAUGAAGCCUUAAGAAUUGUAGAGACCCAAGUAUAUUUUCUCCAUAAACAUCUCCAUCAUCUUCUUGUUGUUUACAAUUUUCUGCUUCAUCCACAAUGGUUUCAAUCUUGUAACAUUCCCCCAAUACACAAAAUUCUAGCUUCUUCAUAUUUCCAAUCCCAAAUUCAGAUAGCUUGGUGAGAGUUAAAUGGCGAUCCAGGAACAAAGCAGUGCAAUGCUGGAGUAACUCCUUGAUUUGACUUGGAAUGCCUUCACCAUUCACAUACUUCAGGCUCUUUUCCUGGAGUUCAAAUUUAACUGCAAGUUCAUGUGGCAGUCGAGAUAUAAUGCGGCUGUGAUGGCUGCCAACAACAAAUCUAAAGUGGACCAAUGACAGGUAUACCGACGAAGUUCCAUCCUUCAUAAAGUGAUCAAGUGGUGCAACACGUGGCACGUAAAGUUUUAGAGCCUCCAACUGUUCUAAGCUGCACACUUCCUGUACAAUAUCUUCAAUGGCCGCAUUCCAUCGUUCGUCAUCAGGGUUCACAUCUAUGCUUAAAUCUUGCAAUUGAAACAAUUCUUGUAUCACAUUCAGAGGAAUCGGUGUAGAUGACUGACUUUUUCUGUAUCCAUGAAAGGACAAUUUCAAGAAUUUUAACUUUUUUAGUCUUGAAACUUCUACAGGUAGUUUUAUAAUUUUAGUGCCUUCAAGAUUGAGCACCUCAAGAUUCCCGAGUUUUCCAACUUCAGGUGGCAGCUCCAUUAAAAGUUCACAGCCUCUUAAAAAGAAAAUUCGAAGUUCGAAUAACUUAAAGAGAGAUUGUGGUAAAGAUCUGAUUCUAGUGUAGGACAAGUCUAGAAUUUGGAGGACAGGCAAGCCUUCAAAGAACAUUGGAGGAAUAGCUCUCAAAUGGUGAUUGGACUGCAAAAACAACACUUUGAGUUGUGAGCCAUGAGGACUCGUUGGUAGCUCUGAAAGUUUAUUAUUCAUCAAAUGCAUCUCACUGGCCUUUUCCCAUGCCUCAUCUUUUGGUGGUUCAGUUAGUCCCCAUCCACCCAGCCUAAGAAAGGGUGAACAUGAUUCAAAUCUUAAGAAGUUUAAUAACUCCUCAUGAAUUUCGCUUCGCAUUCGGACAAAAUUAGAAUCUCCAUACUGAAAACUCUCUAACAAGAAGGCAUUGACAAGAUCCCCCACAAUCUGUUCACCUUCAUCAAAUGUUCCUACCAAGCCGCUUGUGAUCCACUCUUCAAUCAAAUGCACUUUAUCCAUCUGUCCCCAAUUCUCCAUGUCUACACAGUAUUGUAAAUACUUGUUUGUCGAACCUGAACGGCCCCACAUGAAUGCCAAUGCAUUAAAUAAGACUCUAUCUUUUGUCUGAGAUCUGUGCUGCAAUCCUAGUGUAUAAGAUGCAUAUUCCCAGAUCAAAACAUCAGUCACGUCUUUCAAAGCUCUUGCCAUUAUAACAACAGCGAGUAAAUGGCCACAACACUUUUCAACCACAUUUAUGGCGAGGCGUUGGAUCCCUGAAGAGUGCACAACUUCCCCAACAUUCACACAGAACAAUUCCCAUGAUAACAGAUGAUUCUCCAUCCUGAUCUCUACACCCACUGCUGUUACGUCAUCAACAUGCUGAGAAUUAGUUGUAUAAACUAUUUUUUGAAUUUUCUUUGAGUUCCACCAGUUGGUCCCCAUGUCAUAAAGAUUUACCCUUUCACCAACCUCAUGAAGAAGGAUGAAGAAGUUUGUGCCUUUCAGUGUUUCAUCUAAUUUCCGUUCUCCUGAUGUGGAGGGAAACAACUCCCCUUCAAUUGAAAAUCUAAUCUCUUCAAUGGUGGAACAUCUUGAGACAUCAACAUCAAUGACAUGAUCAAAUAUACAACAUUCCUGUAGUUCGCCCCACAAUUCUGAAAUAACUGUUUCUCCAUGGCUUCCUGAAAUCCCAAUCUUCCGAAUUUUAGGGUAUUCUAUGUGUUGUAAAAUUUCACGAAUAGCAAAGUCUACUGCCAAAUCAUAUAUUCUUUUUGGCGUAGGCAUUAUUUGGCCAUGCCUUUCUACAUAAAUCCCGCUGAAGCUCUUCGCAAUCACAACUUGGGGAAAUAGAGGUUCAAUUUCAUCCAUGUAACGAGUCAUCAGUGUACUGAUUCGAUUCUCUAACUUAAAAGCAUCAAUCUCUUUCUUUUUUGAAGGUGCUUCCAUUUCUCUCACCACAUCAUUGAUCUUCAAAAUGUCCUGAACCCACUUAUAUUGAUUCCGCUUGUAGCUUUCUUCGUUCACCAAGCUCAUAGGAGGAUAAGAUAUAAUAAGGCACACAAUAUCCUUCAUCCUGUUCAAUAUCUCAGCACUCUGCUUGAUUCUUUCGUGGACACUCCUGUCAUCUUCUAACCGUGUGGAAGGCCCAGUUAUAUUGAUUUUGCUUCU
Molecule: long non-coding RNA, 127128 nt
Filed under: Vitis vinifera (wine grape)
Lineage: Eukaryota; Viridiplantae; Streptophyta; Magnoliopsida; Vitales; Vitaceae
Description: long non-coding RNA (VVIN_LNC003958)
Source: RNAcentral